GAUAAUUCAACUAUGCAAGCAAUGAAAAGAAAAUUGCAAAGGCUCAGACUGGCUUGGACCAAGGAUGAAUAGAUCUAACUCUUUUUUGUGGCUUUUUCUUGGACAAUAGGUAAGAAAAUAAAUCUAAUCUAGGAAAACUGGAAAUUCUCACCGAGCAACCUGAAAACUGAUACCACUUGAUAGAGGCGAGGGUGUCCCGAUCUUUCGAUGAGAUGAUAACUAUCGAUUUGGUGGAGACGACUUUGACGAUCCGACUACGAACGUGCGAGGACGUCGCGCCUUAGCAAUCGCUAAACCAACUCUGAGAGGUUAUUGACCACGCCGGAGCACGAUCAACCUGACCACGAGGGUCUGUUUCCUGCGAGCAAACGAAGAACAAGCAAGAAACUAAGAUUGCAAUCUGGAUAUUGCGAAUAUAAGAUGAAAGCUUUAUUGAUCAAGGUGGGGUUCUGUGACGCCUUUGUCUGGUCGUUGAACACAAACGAAGUACGCGAAGUUGCAGCUAUGGUGAACUUUUAAUCUAAACAAAACCCAAGGAAAAGCUACUAGAUGGAUCUACUUAUAUAGGAGCAAGGGGUGUCGGCCAAGGAGGUGCUCUGAUACCACUUGAUAGAGGCGGGGUGUCCCGAUCUUUCGAUGAGAUGAUAACUAUCGAUUUGGUGGAGACGACUUUGACGAUCCGACUACAAACGUGCACGAUGUUGCGCCUUAGCAAUCGCUAAACCAAUCUCCUGAGGUUACUCACGAUGCCGGAAGCACGGUCAGCCUGACCACGAAGGUCUAUUCCAGCAAGCAAUCGAAGAACGAGCAAGAAUAUGAUAAAGCAAUCUGAAUAUUGCAAAUAUAUAUGAGGUAUUGAUAAUGGUGGGGAUCCGGAAGCGGUCUUGGUCUGGUCGUUGGACACAAACGAAGUACACGAAGUUGCAAUGGCUAACUUUUAACUAAACAAAUCCCAAGGAAAAACUACUAGAUGGAUCUACUUAUAUAGGAGCAAGGGGUGGCGGCCAAGGAGGUGGGAGGAAGUCCCAAGGCAGCCUAAAACUAAAUCUAGGUCGUACAUGGCCAAUGGGCCCAAGUGGAGGUGAUGUAACACCUUUGGACUUGUAGUUUGACUCGGAUUCUGCUGCAGCAUCAGAUUGUUUCGUCCACAACUCAAUGCUCCGGACGAAUUUGAAGGUGAUUCCAAUUGGGUUGGAAAGUGCACGAAAUCUAGUUUCCAACAAAAAAAGAAUCACCCAAUUCGGAGUCCGUAUGAAAAACUUGUGUGCGUUUUGAGUCAGGUAUGUCUGUGCAGUCCGAAUCUGAAUCCAGAACGUGAGAGACUUGGACUCUAUCUUCUCUUGGGCCAAAAGUAACGUGAGAGAACUUUUUGGACAGCAAAUAAACAUCUCUUUCUUCCUUAUCUUCAUAUGUGGAUUGUACAAAUGUCCCAUACACCUGCAAUUAGACAAAACACAAAAGUGUGUGAAGUAUUUUUGUUCUGGAUAACAUAAAUAGAUUAUUGAAUAGUUUGCACUAGAAAUCACCUGACAAAUAUGCAUAUAUGCAAUAUUUUUGGUCAUAUCCAAGGUAGUCAUGUCCUCAUCAGAUGGGCACGAUGGCGAGGCGAACGGCGCUCGAUGGCCGCGAGGACGGGCGAGGCACGGCGGCGACCGUGUCGGCCUCCUCUCCAGAACAAAGGAGUGGGAUAGGGAGAGGCGGAGAGGGCGAGGGGGUUCGAGGCGUGGGUGGAGGUAGGUGGGGAGGAGGUCGAGGCGUCGAGGGGAGGGGCCCUUAUCCACCCGCGGCGUUGCCGGGGAGGUGGUCGGGCGGCGACGCGCCCCUGUAGCGGUGCGCACCGGGGGAACAGGAGGGAGGGGAGAGCGAUGCGGGGAGCUGGGCCGGCUGGUUGAGGUGGGCCGAGGCCCAUGGGGGGGCACGGUGGCCAGCUGGCCAGUCGGCCCAGUUGAGAGGGGGGGCUUUUCCUUUUCUUGGUUUUUUUUUGUUUUUCUUUUCCAGCAGCUUUUGCAUUUUCUUUUUGCCACAAUUGACUUUGCAAAAUUAUGCCACUGGCCAAAACAAUCUCAAAGAAUUAUUAGGCACUGCCAAAAAAAGAUUGUGAGGCUUUAGAAAUAGUUUGCCAUUUUCAUAAAUUAAAAAGGCAUUUAAUUUAUUUCUUAGGCCACUGUUUGAAGUAGCUUAGGCCACUCAAACCUUUUUGCAAAAAUGUUGGUUCACCACCAAUAUUAGUUGUGGAUUAUUCUGCACAUGAUGAACAUUUUUGUUUUCAUGUCUGAGCAUUUUGAAUUUCAGACAAAAUUUGAAUUUGAAUUCAACUGGAAUGUGAAAGAACAUGAGACAAUAAUGAUCAGGCACAUGUUUAGCAAAAAGAUUAACUUAACCCCAGGGGUUACUGUAGCAUCAUUACACCGGGGUGUUACACAUGGUGUCCCAAAUCUCCAUGAUCGGCAGUGAGUACAAGGUUAGAACCAUCACCGGCGAUGAGUUCUACAUCAUCUACACCCGUUCUUCCGCAAUGGUGAAAGAAUGCCUUGCUCGCUUCAAACGCAUGUUCGAAAACUCAAAUGAUGAGUUGGUCGCUGGGCUAGAUGUUGAGUACAUCACAGUCUUGGGAAGCGAGGAGAAUCUAAAGGAGGUAGAGAAGAAGAAGCCCGCCGCGAUCCAGGUUUGUGUGCAUGACUUAUGCUUGGUCUACCACAUAUGCCAUGCCAAUGUUGAGUCCCAGGAUUUUAAGAAUUUCCUCAAGGACAGCCGAGUCAAAUUUGUUACUGUAGACUUUAGGAACGAUAAGGAUGUCCUAGAUUGGAUAGGCCUAGUUGUAGGCAACCCCUUCGACCUCCAGAAGAAAGGGCUGGUGCCCUCCCAUGAUUAGCCUUCAAUGCUGACCCUGGCAGGAGCCAUGGUUCAUCCUUCGUACGGUACACUGAAGAAACCUCCGUUCAAGUUUCAUCAUGCAUGGGAGUGGAAUGUACUAGAUAUAGAUAGCAUCCACUACACUUCAAUGGAUGGCUACCUUUGUUUCAAUAUCUACAAGGGUUGGAUGAAGAGCAAGAGCCAAGUGUGCGGGUCAAGCAAAGAAGUAUCGGCCAAGAGGAGGAGGGACAAGGACGAAGUCGAGGACGUGGAUGAGGAGUCCGAGUAAGGUGGCAGUGUCGUUGCUCAUGGUGGUUCUAAUGCAGUGUCUACCGGAUUAGUUGCUUAGUUUUAUUUGAGGGGUGUGUUGUGCUGAGCCCCCAGCAGAACUAUGUUAUGUUUCUUCUUGUUAUAUUUCGUACAUUUCAUCUUUUAGUUGGUAUAGUACUACCACUCGUUUCUUCACAUUAUAUACGCACAAUAUAUAUGGCCAACAUCAUAUAGCCAGCAGUUUAGUUGUCAAAGAAUUUUAGGGUGCUUAGUUUUGACAAAGAUAUCCAGGGUGCUUAGUUUUAUUUGAGGGGUGUAUUGUGCUGGACACCAUUAACUUAUCAUUGUGAGAAUCAGCUUAUUUUUGUCAUGUAACAUGGUCAACGGGUUUGACGUGAAAAUAACAAUGUCUAAUGGCAUUUCCGAGCAAACAUCUAACUUAACUACGGCAUUUUUAGAUAUCUAAUUGCAUUUUGAGCAGGCAUCUCAUGGAUCGAUGGCUUUUUUGAGUAGUUGUAACUUCUAAUGGCAAAACUGAGUAGUGAUACACAACUAGUGGCAUAAAUAAUAAGAACCCAAGAAUUAAAUAGGUAUGCUAAUUUCUUUAUUUCUUUAUACCUUUGUGUGCGAAACAAUAUACACUGCCUCCCCCAGAUUUUCUUUACAGAGGCAACGUAGAACUAUAUGAGUGCCCUGUUAAAUUUUGGAAUUAUUUCGGGUUCAUUUGGCCUUUUUUAUACAUCAAUUGAGUUUCUGGUCAUUUAAUGUGCAUAAUUCAAAUUUGAACUACAAGCACAUGCUCCCGUGCACCAAAGUUGAUUGAAAAAUCACAUGUGUGUCCUCGGGUGAAUUUCUAGGUCCCAUGCAAGAAAUGGGAAUGAAGUUCAAACAUCUGGGCAUCGUGGUUUGGCCGAGAACAUUGAGAAUCUUGGUUUUAAAAUUCUUGUAAAUCCAAAACACGCCUAAAACUCAUGAAACUUGGCAUGGUGUCAUGUCCUGGUACUACCAUGUUGUGGUAAAAAAAAUACAGAAUAGGAACAAGUUUUGGUAUAAGUUUCUUGCAAACCGGAGCUUCUCUCAAGACGGCUCGUGGUUCUGAGAGGGAACGUGUCACCUUUGUGUGCAUAAUUCAAAUUUUAAAUACAAGCACGUGAUCCAGUGCACCAAAGCUGGUUGAAAAAUCACAUGUGUGUCCUCGGGUAAAUUUCUAGGUCCCAUGCCAGAAAUGGGAAUGAAAUUCAAACAUCUAUGCAUCAUGGCUCGGCUGGAAACAUUGAGAAACUUGGUUUUUUAAUACCUGUAAAUCUGAAACACGCAUGAAAAUCAUGAAACUUAGCUUGGUGUCUGAUAGGGGCGAGGGGCCCGAUCUUUCGAUGAGAUGGUGGCUAUUGUUUUGGUGGAAGUCGACUUUGACGAUCCAACUACGAACGUGCGAGGACGUCGCGCCUUAGCAAUCGCUAAACCAACUCCGAGAGGUUAUUGACCACGCCGGAGCACGAUCAACCUGACCACGAGGGUCUAUUUCCUGCAGGCAACGAAGAACAAGCAAGAAAUUGAAAUUGCAAUCUGGAUAUUGCGAAUAUAAGAGGAAAGCUUGAUUGAUGAAGGUGGGGUUCUGUGACGUCUUAGUCUAGUCGUUGGACACAAACGAAGUACGCGAAGUUGCAGCUAUGGUGAACUUUUAAUCUAAAGAAAACCCAAAGUCUAAACAUUGCCCUAAGGGCUGUAUAUAUGGAGGAAGAGGGGGGAAUUUCGUGGCCCUUGGAGGAGGGGUCCGAAACCAACCCUAACUCUUGUUUCCCCACACAUACGGACUCUAAAAACAGCAUAUACUUAAGUGUUUCGAAAAUACAUGGACUGGCCCAAUAAUAAGGUGAUGCAGCACCCAGAAUAGCCUCUGGAGGAAAUUUAUGAAGUGGCAUCUUGUAUGUCGUCCAAGGCUUCAUGCACUCCUUAUGGUGGCUUCAAAGUCCUGAAAUCAUCACUUGCAACUCCGUUCUGGAUCCCCUUGCGCAUGCCAUCAUCUCCAUGCUUGGUCUUGCUCUAGUGUUCAUCCCUCUUAUCCAUGCCAAGCCCUUCAUUUGUAAGCAAAACAAAUGUAUCCAAUUUAGGCAGCAUCAUAUUCUCAUGAACAUCAGAAUCAUUAUCAAGAAACAAAAGUACCUGAUAAUUUAAUUGGCGUGCGCGAGCUCUAGUAGUUGGUCCAGUAUGUAUAGCAGCAGGGGUUGUGGGUGUAACAAUGGUAUUGAUGUCCUCAUCAUCCUCCCUUCUUCAAAUGAAGUCGUCCUUGAUGAAAGCUCAUCUUCCUCACCCAAAUAAGGCUUCAAAUCUACAAUGUUAAAAGUGGGACUAACCCCAAAAUCUGUAGGCAGAUCAAGUUUAUAUGCAUGAUCAUUUAUUUUCUCUAACACCUUAAAAGAACCAUCAGCACGUGGCAUUAGCUUUGAUUUCCGCAAAUUAGGAAAUCUAUCCUUACGCAAAUGUAACCAAACAAGAUCUCCAGGUGCAAACACAACAUGUUUUCUACCCUUAUCUCCAGCAAGUUUAUAUUUAGCAUUCAUACGCUCAAUGUUUUCCUUAGUUAACUCAUGCAUUUUUAAAAUCAAUUCAGCAUGUUCUUUAGCAUGAAAAUUAACCUUCUCCGAAGAUGGAAGAGGCAACUAAUCAAUAGGUGCACGAGGUAGGAAACCAUACACAAUUUCAAAAGGGCACAUCUUAGUAAUAGAAUGCAAUGAACGAUUAUAAGCAAAUUCAAUAUGAGGCAAGCAUUCUUCCCACAUUUUCUUAUUAUUCUUCAAAACAACCCUAAGCAUAGUAGACAAUGUUCUAUUGACUACUUCAGUUUGUCCAUCAGUUUGGGGGUGACAAGUAGUACUAAAAAGCAGUUUAGUCCCCAAUUUAGCCCAUAAACAUCUCCAAAAGUGGCUAAGAAAUUUAGUAUCAUGAUCUGAAACAAUAGUAUUUGGCACACCAAGCAAGCGAAUAAUUUCACGAAAGAACAAAUCAGCAACAUUAACAGCAUCAUCGCUUUUAUGACAUGGUAUAAAGUGUGCCAUUUUCAAGAAUCUAUCCACGACAACAAAUAUGCUAUCCCUCCCCUUCUUUGUUCGAGGUAAACCUAAAACAAAGUCCAUAGAUAUAUCCUCCCAAGGAACACUAGGUACAGGCAAAGGCAUAUAUAAACCAUGAGGAUUGAGUCGUGACUUAGCUUUUUGACAUGUAGUGCAGCGAGCAACAAAACGCUCAACAUCCCGUCUCAUCUUUGGCCAAAAGAAAUGUGUAGCAAGUAUAUCCUCCGUCUUCUUGAUGCCAAAGUGUCCCAUCAAUCCUCCUCCAUGUGCCUCCUGCAACAACAAAAGACGAACGGAGCUAGCUGGAAUGCAUAGCUUGUUAGCACGAAACACAAAUCCAUCAUUAAGAACGAACAUGUUCCAAGUUCUCCCUUCCUUAGAAUUCUGCAAUACAUCUUUAAAUUCAGCAUCAUGCAUAUAUUGAUCUCUAAUGGUCUCCAAGCCAAAUAUUUUAAAGUCAAGUUGUGAAAGGAUAGUAUAACGACGAGACAAAGCAUCAACAAUAACAUUUUCUUUACCCUUCUUGUGUUUAAUGACAUAAGGGAAAGUCUCAAUGAAUUCAACCCAGUUAGCAUGUCUACGGUUCAGUUUUGCUUGACUUUGAAUGCUAUUCAAAGAUUCAUGAUCAGAAUGUAUAACAAAUUCCUUGGGCCAUAAAUAAUGUUGCCAUGUUUCUAAGGUCCGAACAAGAGCAUAUAAUUCUUUAUCAUAAGUAGAAUAGUUCAGACUAGGUCCACUCAAUUUUUCAGAAAAGUAUGCAACAGGUUUGCCAUCUUGUAAUAACACACUUCCUAAUCCAAUUGCACUAGCAUCACAUUCAAGCUCAAAAGUCUUAUUAAAAUCAGGAAGUUGGAGUAAAGGAUCAUGUGUCAACUUAUCUUUCAAUACCGUGAAGGCUUCUUCCUGUGCGGUACCCCAAACAAAAGGCAGAUCCUUCUUUGUAAGCUCGUUGAGAGGUGCGGCAAUGGUGCUGAAAUCUCUCACAAAACGCCAAUAGAAACCAGCGAGACCAAGGAAACUCCUCACUUGUGUGACCGUUUUGGGCUGCGGCUAACUCUCGAUAGCUUCAAUCUUGGCUUUAUCAACUUCAAUUCCCUGUGGAGUAACAACAUAGCCAAGAAAAGAUACUCGGUCGGUGCAAAAGGUGCACUUUCCAAGGUUACCAAACAAACGUGCAUCACGUAGAGCAAUAAAAACAACACGUAAAUGUUCCAAAUGUUCCUCCAAAGAUUUACUAUAAAUCUGUAUAUCAUCAAAAUAGACUACCACAAAUCGUCCAAUGAAAGUACGUAAAACUUCGUUCAUUAACCUCAUGAAAGUACUAGGUGCAUUAGUUAACCCAAAAGGCAUGACUAACCACUCAUAUAAUCCAAACUUAGUUUUAAAUGUUGUUUUCCAUUCAUCUCCCAAUUUCAAUCAAAUUUGAUGGUAUCCACUACGCAAAUCAACUUUGGAGAAUAUUGUAGAGCCACUCAAUUCAUCAAGCAUGUCGUCUAGCCUAGUAAUAGGAUGACGAUAACGAAUAGUAAUAUUAUUAAUGCCUCUACAAUCAACACACAUACGCGACGUACCGUCCUUUUUCGGCACUAAAAUGAUAGGAACAGUACAAGGACUAAGGGAUUCCCGUAUAUAACCUUUGUCGAGCAGCUCCUAUACUUGACACAUAAUCUCCUUCGUCUCCUCUGGAUUGGUACGGUAUGGCACACGGUUGGGUAAUGAUGCACUGGGAAUUACGUCAAUUUGAUGCUCAAUCCCUCGAAUAGGUGGUAAUCCCAGUGGCACGUCUUGUGGAAAGACGUCAGCGAACUCCUACAAAAUGUUAGUGACAGCAGGAGGCAAAGAGGAAGGCACGUCCUCGAAUGAAAAUAAUGCCUCUUUGCACACAAAAGCAUAGCAAACAGAUUUGCUAAAAUCUAGAUCAUCAAUAUCAGAUUUGGUGGCAAGUAAACAUGCACUUUUCAAUUUAAUUUCAGAAGCAACACUAGAUGGUUUAUUAUUAGGCUUCAUUUGUUGCUCAAAUUCUUUUGCCACAAUCUGAUUUUCACUCUUAUUUUUCUCCUAUUUUGCUUUAUUAGCUCUAUUAAUAUCCUCUUUCAAAAUGGAAUCAGGAGUCAUAGGAAGAAAAGUAAUUUUUUUGUCCUUAUGAACAAGAUUAUACUGAUUGUUUCUACCAUGGUGUACAAUUUGUUUAUCAAAUUGCCAUGGUCUACCAAGUAAUAAGGAACAUGUUUGCAUAGGUACCACAUCACAAUCAACAUAAUCAGCAUAUGUAGAGAUACUAAAAUGCACAUGAACAGUACGUGUUACCUUAACCUUGCCGCUGUUGUUGAACCAUUGGAUGUAGUAAGGAUGUGGAUGUGGUCUUGUGGUGAGAGAUAGCUUCUCCACCAUCUCCAUGCGAGCCAAGUUGUUGCAGCUCCCUCCAUCUAUGAUGAUACGAAUAGAACGUUCCUUCACAACUCCCUUUGUAUGGAAAAAAUUAUGCCUCUGAUUUUGCUCAGCUUGUGUGACCUGCACACUCAAAACACGUUGAGCAACUAAACAUUCAUACCUGUCAUCAUCUUCAGGAGCCAUGUAUUGUGUCUCAUGAUCAGAAUCAUCUCCACCGUGUUCUUCACGUGUAAUAAGAGCCAAAGUCUCCUCAUCAUAAUCACUAGAGGACUCAUACCCACCAUCCUUAGUAGCAAUCAUCACACUAUGAGAUUUGCAUUCUCUCGCAAAAUGUCCUCUUCCCUUACAACAACGACAAAUAAUAUCACUUGUGUGCCCUGUUGAUGCCUUGGAAGAAGAAGAGCUCUGCGUAGGCCCAGCAGGUGUGCUCUUGGCAGAUAGUGGUGGUUGUGCCUGCUUUCUUGUAUCACGGCUAGAGGUGGCACCUGAUGGAGAUGCUAGUGCAAUGGAAGCAGAGGAUGCACAUGGUGUCCAUGAUGAAGAUCGACCUGCAGAAAAGUUAGUUCGCGCCAAUGCCUGUUGAUCCUGCACUUCACGUUCAGCUUUACAAGCAAGAUGGAAUAAACGAGUGAUAUUAGUAUACUCCUUAUACUCUAGAAUGGUCUGAAUCUCUCUAUUUAAUCCACCCAUAAAACGUGCAAGCAUAGCUUCAUUCUCCUCAACAAUACCACAUCUAAUCAUGCCAUUUUGUAAUUCGUGAUAAUAUUCUUCUGCAGAAUUUUUUCCUUGUCUUAAAUGCUGCAAUUUUUGAAGUAAUUCACGUUGAUAAUAUGGUGGAACCCAACGAGUAUGCAUAGCAGUUUUCAAAGCAGCCCAAGUAGCUAGAAUAGGAUAUAAUCUACAAUGCUCAGACCACCAAACACAUGCAAAACUAGUGAAAGCACAAACAGCAGCAGGAACACGUCUCUCCUCGGGAUAUUGUAAACAUGUAAAUCGUUGUUCAGUUUCUAACUCCCAAGUAAGAUAUAUAUCAGGAACAUAUCUACCCUCAAAUGGUGGAAUAUUCAAUUUUAGUUUAGGGAGAUGGUCAUGAUCUUGUACCUGAGGGGGAGCCCUACCAUUGCCAUUAUUUGCAUGUGGACGACCUCAUGGUUGCGGUGCUGGUGGUUGCACGUAGUUCUGAUUUUGAUAGAGGCAAAGGUGUCCCGUCUUUCGAUGAGAUGGUGGAUUUCGCUUUGGUGGAAGUCGACUUUGACGAUCCGACUACGAACGUGCGAGGACGUCGCGCCUUAGCAAUCGCUAAACCAACUCCGAGAGGUUAUUGACCACGCCGGAGCACGAUCAACCUGACCACGAGGGUCUGUUUCCUGCGAGCAAACGAAGAACAAGCAAGAAACUGAGAUUGCAAUCUGGAUAUUGCGAAUAUAAGAUGAAAGCUUUAUUGAUCAAGGUGGGGUUCUGUGACGCCUUUGUCUGGUCGUUGAACACAAACGAAGUACGCGAAGUUGCAGCUAUGGCGAACUUUUAAUCUAAACAAAACCCAAAGUCUAAACGAUGCCCUAAGGGCUGUAUAUAUGGAGGAAGAGGGGGGAAUUUCGUGGCCCUUGGUGGAGGGGUCCGAAAUCAACCCUAUCUCUUGUUUCCCCACACAUACGGACUCUAAAAAUAGCCUAUACUGAUGUAUUUCGAAAUUACAUGGGCCUGGCCCAAUAAUAAGGUGACGCAGCACCUAAAAUAGCCUCGGUACGAAAUUUAUGAAGUGGCAUCUUGUAUAUUUCGUCCAAGGCUUCAUGCACCCAUUAUGGUGGCUUCAAAGUCCUGAAAUCAUCACUUGUAACUGCGUUCUUGUUCCCCUUGCGCAUGCCAUCAUCUCCAUGCUUGUUCUUGCUCCAAUGUUCAUCCUUCUCCAAGCUAGGCCCUUCAUUUGUAAGCAAAACAAAUGUAUCCAAUUUAGGCAGCAUCAUAUUCUCAUGAACAUUAGAAUCAUUACCAAGAAACGAAAGUACCUGGUAAUUUAGUUGGCGUGCACGAGCUCUAGUAAUUGGUCCAGUAUGUAUAGCAGCAGGGGCUGUGGGUGUAACAAUUGUAUUGAUGUCCUCAUCAUCCUCCCCUUCUUGAAAUGAAGUCGUCCUCGACGGAAGUUCAUCUUCCUCACCCAAAUAAGGCUUCAAAUCUGCAAUGUUAAAAGUGGGACUAACCCCAAAAUCUGCAGGCAGCUCAAGUUUAUAUGCAUUAUCAUUUAUUUUCUCUAACACCUUAAAGGGACCAUCAGCACGUGGCAUUAACUUUGAUAUGCGCAAAUCAGGAAAUCUAUCCUUACGCAAAUGUAACCAAACAAGAUCUCCAGGUGCAAACACAACAUGUUUUCUACCCUUAUCUCCAGCAAGUUUAUAUUUAGCAUUCAUACGCUCAAUGUUUUCCUUAGUUAACUCAUGCAUUUUUAAAAUCAAUUCAGCACGUUGUUUAGCAUCAAAAUUAACCUUCUCCGAAGAUGGAAGAGGCAACAAAUCAAUAGGUGCACGAGGUAGGAAACCAUACACAACUUCAAAAGGGCACAUCUUAGUAGUAGAAUGCAAUGAACGAUUAUAAGCAAAUUCAAUAUGAGGCAAGCAUUCCUCCCACAUUUUCUUAUUAUUCUUCAAAACAGCCCUAAGCAUAGUAGACAACGUUCUAUUGACUACUUCAGUUUGUCCAUCAGUUUGGGGGUGACAAGUAGUACUAAAAAGCAGUUUAGUCCCCAACUUAGCCCAUAAACAGCUCCAAAAGUGGCUAAGAAAUUUAGUAUCACGAUCUGAAACAAUAGUAUUUGGCACACCAUGCAAGCGAAUAAUUUCACGAAAGAACAAAUCAGCAACAUUAACAGCAUCAUCGCUUUUAUGACAUGGUAUAAAGUGUGCCAUUUUCGAGAAUCUAUCCACGACAACAAAUAUGCUAUCCCUCCCCUUCUUUGUUCGAGGUAAACCUAAAACAAAGUCCAUAGAUAUAUCCUCCCAAGGAACACUAGGUACAGGCAAAGGCAUAUAUAAACCAUGAGGAUUGAGUCGUGACUUAGCUUUUUGACAUGUAGUGAUAGAGGCAAAGGUGUCCCGUCUUUCGAUGAGAUGGUGGAUUUCGCUUUGGUGGAAGUCGACUUUGACGAUCCGACUACGAACGUGCGAGGACGUCGCGCCUUAGCAAUCGCUAAACCAACUCCGAGAGGUUAUUGACCACGCCGGAGCACGAUCAACCUGACCACGAGGGUCUGUUUCCUGCGAGCAAACGAAGAACAAGCAAGAAACUAAGAUUGCAAUCUGGAUAUUGCGAAUAUAAGAUGAAAGCUUUAUUGAUCAAGGUGGGGUUCUGUGACGCCUUUGUCUGGUCGUUGAACACAAACGAAGUACGCGAAGUUGCAGCUAUGGCGAACUUUUAAUCUAAACAAAACCCAAAGUCUAAACGAUGCCCUAAGGGCUGUAUAUAUGGAGGAAGAGGGGGAGAAUUUCGUGGCCCUUGGUGGAGGGGGCCGAAAUCAACCCUAUCUCUUGUUUCCCCACACAUACGGACUCUCAAAAUAGCCUAUACUUAUGUAUUUCGAAAUUACAUGGGCCUGGCCCAAUAAUAAGGUGACGCAGCACCUAAAAUAGCCUCGGGACGAAAUUUAUGAAGUGGCGUCUUGUAUAUUUCGUCCAAGGCUUCAUGCACCCAUUAUGGUGGCUUCAAAGUCCUGAAAUCAUCACUUGUAACUCCGUUCUUGUUUCCCUUGCGCAUGCCAUCAUCUCCAUGCUUGUUCUUGCUCCAAUGUUCAUCCUUCUCCAAGCUAGGCCCUUCAUUUGUAAGCAAAACAAAUGUAUCCAAUUUAGGCAGCAUCAUAUUCUCAUGAACAUUAGAAUCAUUACCAAGAAACGAAAGUACGUGGUAAUUUAGUUGGCGUGCACGAGCUCUAGUAAUUGGUCCAGUAUGUAUAGCAGCAGGGACUGUGGGUGUAACAAUUGUAUUGAUGUCCUCAUCAAAUCAACACACAUACGUGAUGUACCAUCCUUUUUCGGCACUAGAAUAAUAGGAACAGCACAAGGACUAAGGGAUUCGCGUAUAUAACCUUUAUCGAGAAGCUCUUGUACUUGACGCAUAAUCUCCUUCGUCUCCUCUGGAUUGGUACGGUAUGGUGCACGGUUUGGCAGUGAAGCACCGGGAAUUAAGUCAAUCUGAUGCUCAAUCCCUCGAAUAGGCGGUAAUCCCGGUGGCACGUCUUGUGGAAAAACGUCAGCGAACUCCUGCAAAAUGUUAGUGACAGUAGGAGGCAAAGAGGAAGGCACGUCCUCGAAUGAAAAUAAUGCCUCUUUGCACACAAAAGCAUAGCAAACAGAUUUGCUGAAAUCUAGCUCAUCAAUAUCAGAUUUGGUGGCAAAUAAACAUGCACUUUUCAAUUUAAUUUCAGAAGCAACACUAGAUGGUUUAUUAUUAGGCUUCAUUUGUUGCUCAAAUUCUUUUGCCACAAUCUGAUUUUCACUCUUAUUCUUCUCCUGUUGUGCUCUAUUAGCUCUAUUAAUAUCAUCUUUCAAAAUGGAAUCAGGAGUCAUAGGAAGCAAAGUAAUAUUUUUAUCCUUAUGAACAAGAGUAUAGUGAUUGUUUCUACCAUGGUGUACAGAAUUUUUAUCAAAUUGCCAUGGUCUACCAAGUAAUAAGGAACAUGCUUGCAUAGGUACCACAUCACAAUCAACAUAAUCAGCAUAUGUAGAGAUACUACAAUGCACACGAACAGUACGUGUUACCUUAACCUUGCCGCUGUUGUUGAACCAUUGGAUGUAGUAAGGAUGUGGAUGUGGUCUUGUGGUGAGAGAAAGCUUCUCCACCAUCUCCAUGCUAGCCAAGUUGUUGCAGCUCCCUCCGUCUAUUAUGACGCGCACAGAACGUUCCUUCACAACUCCCUUGGUAUGGAACAAAUUGUGCCUCUGAUUUUGCUCAGCUUGUGUGACCUGCACACUCAAAACACGUUGAACAACUAAACAUUCAUACCUGUCAGCGUCUUCAGGAGCCAUGUAUUGCGUCUCAUGAUCAGAAUCAUCUCCACCAUGUUCUUCACGUGUAAUAAGAGCCAAUGUCUCCUCAUCAUAGUCACUAGCGGACUCAUAUCCACCAUCCGCGGUAGCAAUCAUCACACGCGGAGAUUUGCAUUCUCUCGCAUAAUGACCUCCUCCCUUACAACGAUGACAAAUAAUAUCACUUGUGUGCCCUGUUGAUGCCAUGGAAGAAGAAGAACGCUGUGCAGGCCCCGCAGGUGCGCUCUUGGCAGAUAAUGGUGGUUGUGCCUGUUUUCUUGUAUCACGGCUGGAGGUGGCACCGGAUGGAGGUGCUGGUGCAGUUGAAGUAGAAGAUGCACGUGGUGUCCAUGAUGAAGGUCGGCCUGCAGAAAAGUUAGUUCGCCCCAAUGCUUGUCGAUCCUGCACUUCACGUUCAGCUUUACAAGCAAGAUGGAAUAAACGAGUGAUAUUAGUAUACUCCUUAUAGUCUAGAAUGGUCUGAAUCUCUCUAUUUAAUCCACCCAGAAAACGUGCAAGCAUAGCUUCAUUCUCCUCAACUAUACCACAUCUAAUCAUGCCAGUUUGUAAUUCCUGAUAAUAUUCUUCUACAGAAUUUUUUCCUUGUCUUAAACGCUGCAAUUUUUGAAGCAAUUCACGUUGAUAAUAUGGUGGAACCCAACGCGUACGCAUAGCAGUUUUCAAAGCAGCCCAAGUAGUUGGAAUAGGAUAUAAUCUACAAUGUUCAGACCACCAUACACAUGCAAAACUAGUGAAAGCACAAACAGCAGCAGCAACUCGUCUCUCCUCAGGAUAUUGUAAACAUGUAAAUCGUUGUUCAGUUUCUAACUCCCAAGUAAGAUAUAUAUCAGGAACAUAUCUACCCUCAAAUGGUGGAAUAUUCAAUUUCAGUUUAGGAAUAUGGACAUCAUCGUGUACCUGAGGUGGUGGUGCAGGCCUACCAUGACGAAUAUAUACCUGAGGUCGACCUGCUGGUGGUGGUGCUGGUGGCUGCUCGUAGAUCUGAUUUUGAUCAACCUCAUCCUCAUAAUCGCCCGCAUACUCAUCAUCCUCCUGGGUACCAGCAACAGCAGUAGCAGGAGCCACAGAAGUAUCAACAGCAGCACCAACAGUUUGGCCAAAUGCAAGAGGAACACGGCUCGCUCGGCGAAGGUCUGCUUCGCGACGUGGAGGUAGUCGUUGUUGUUGUUGUUGGAGAGGUGCGUUAGGUGCAGCGGGUGGUGGUGGUGGAAGACGCGCGAGCAAUUCAUUAAAUCUGUUAUCGAGCUUUGUUUCGAACGUCUUCUCAAGGCCAGUGAUCUUCUCCAUGGCCUCUUCAAAAUUGUUCAGCACAUCUUGCACCUGUUCAGUCAUCAUUUGCUGAAACUUAUCAUGAAGCUCCUUGUUCGAUAAAUUCUCCCAGUCAAUCUCGUCGGCUUGUGAUCCUGGCAUGGUUAGCAGCAAUAGAAACACACAAGAAUAUGAUCCUACAGACUAUUAAGAAGUGGUGGUGGUGUAUCACAAAUCCGUCAAGCAAAUCUCAAAUUCUUACCAGUUCUUACCCAGCAGCAGGCGGUGAUCGGCAACCGUUGUAGUCAAAAACUCUCAAAGCUUGGAUAGAGCGAUUACCAGGGAGAGUCGAACACACGACGUAGAUGUAUGUGGAGCUGGGAAGGCUUAUAGUAUGGUAGCAAAAAGGGUCAGCAAUAAUCAAUUCAGAGAUGCAAAGUUGAAUAAACGCUCAACGACGGUACUGUGCUGGUCCUAGGCUAGACUGUGCUAGAGACGCGAGCCUAGAACACCAACAAAAUCACGGCGCGGCACGUAAACAAGGGAAAAGCACACUCUGAAUUUUUUUUCGCUCUUUUUUUUUGCGCUCUUUUUUUUGCGCUGUUUUUUUUUGCGAAAAAGCACUAUAAUGGCGAGUGUCUCAAAACUCUUCCUAGCUCAAACUGACAGGAUGGGCACGAAAUUUUUCGACCAAUUUUUUUUUUCGACUGCCCGGACCCAAAAACUGGAAACGGGUCAAAAAAAACUUCCUAUAAUGGCACCUGUCUCAAAACACUCAGAAACACCUAAAAAUAGGAUAGCCAGAAAAUUUUUCGAAAAAUGCGUUUUCGAAAAAUUUUGGGCCUAAACGGAGCGUGGCUACCCGACUCCGGCAAGGAAACACGAAUCGGAAUCUAGAUGGAUCCCGAAAACAAACCUAAUAAGCAAAGAACUCGGAUUGGUGGUGGAUAUAUGGUGGUGGUAUAUGGCAGCGGUGGUGGUAGCGGUGGUAGUAUAUGGAUAUGGAUCGGUGGUGGUAUAUGGACACGGAUUGGUGGUGGUAUAUGGAUACGGAUUCGGUGCGGUGGUGGUAGAUGGCAGGGGCGAUGAUGAUGGUGCGGCGGCGGCGUGACAACUUAUGACCAGAACUCGAAACUCUAAAAGACUAGACUCUAAGACCAGCAACUAGACCGACGAUGCAACCGCAAAUUCAACAAAGCAAAACCCUAAAAAGAUUAUGCAAAGGCUCAGAUUGGUUCGGAUAUGAUGAACUAACCCUAAUUUUUUUGUGUGGCUUUUUCGUGGACUGUAGGUAUGAAGAACAGACUCGAUCUAAACUACGAAAAACUGUAAAAUCUCACCGAGCAACCUGGAAAUCUGAUACCACUUGAUAGAGGCAAAGGUGUCCCGUCUUUCGAUGAGAUGAUGGAUAUCGCUUUGGUGGCAGUCGACUUUGACGAUCCGACUACGAACGUGCGAGGACGUCGCGCCUUAGCAAUCGCUAAACCAACUCCGAGAGGUUAUUGACCACGCCGGAGCACGAUCAACCUGACCACGAGGGUCUGUUUCCUGCGAGCAAACGAAGAACAAGCAAGAAACUGAGAUUGCAAUCUGGAUAUUGCGAAUAUAAGAUGAAAGCUUUAUUGAUCAAGGUGGGGUUCUGUGACACCUUUGUCUGGUCGUUGAACACAAACGAAGUACGCGAAGUUGCAGCUAUGGCGAACUUUUAAUCUAAACAAAACCCCAAAGUCUAAACGAUGCCCUAAGGGCUGUAUAUAUGGAGGAAGAGGGGGGAAUUUCGUGGCCCUUGGUGGAGGGUCCGAAAUCAACCCUAUCUCUUGUUUCCCCACACAUACGGACUCUAAAAAUAGCAUAUACUUAUGUAUUUCGAAAUUACAUGGGCCUGGCCCAAUAAUAAGGUGACGCAGCACCUAUAAUAACCUCGGGACGAAAUUUAUGAAGUGGCAUCUUGUAUAUUUCGUCCAAGGCUUCAUGCGCCCAUUAUGGUGGCUUCAAAGUCCUGAAAUCAUCACUUGUAACUCCGUUCUUGUUCCCCUUGCGCAUGCCAUCAUCUCCAUGCUUGUUCUUGCUCCAAUGUUCAUCCUUCUCCAAGCUAGGCCCUUCAUUUGUAAGCAAAACAAAUGUAUCCAAUUUAGGCAGCAUCAUAUUCUCAUGAACAUUAGAAUCAUUACCAAGAAACGAAAGUACCUGGUAAUUUAGUUGGCGUGCACGAGCUCUAGUAAUUGGUCCAGUAUGUAUAGCAGCAGGGGUUGUGGGUGUAACAAUUGUAUUGAUGUCCUCAUCAGUAAAUGUUCCAAAUGUUCUUCCAAAGAUCUGCUAUAAAUCAGUAUAUCAUCAAAAUAGACUACCACAAAUCGUCCAAUGAAAGCACGUAAAACUUCGUUCAUUAAUCUCAUGAAAGUACUAGGUGCAUUAGUUAACCCAAAAGGCAUGACUAACCACUCAUAUAAUCCAAACUUAGUUUUAAAUGCUGUUUUCCAUUCAUCUCCCAAUUUCAUACGAAUUUGAUGGUAGCCACUACGCAAAUCAACUUUGGAGAAUAUUGUAGAGCCACUCAAUUCAUCAAGCAUAUCAUCUAGCCUAGGAAUAGGAUGACGAUAACGAAUAGUAAUAUUAUUAAUGCCUCUACAAUCAACACACAUACGUGAUGUACCAUCCUUUUUCGGCACUAGAAUAAUAGGAACAGCACAAGGACUAAGGGAUUCGCGUAUAUAACCUUUGUCGAGAAGCUCUUGUACUUGGCGCAUAAUCUCCUUCGUCUCCUCUGGAUUGGUACGGUAUGGUGCACGGUUUGGCAGUGAAGCACCGGGAAUUAAGUCAAUCUGAUGCUCAAUCCCUCGAAUAGGCGGUAAUCCCGGUGGCACGUCUUGUGGAAAGACGUCAGCGAACUCUUGCAAAAUGUUAGUGACAGCAGGAGGCAAAGAGGAAGGCACGUCCUCGAAUGAAAAUAAUGCCUCUUUGCACACAAAAGCAUAGCAAACAGAUUUGCUGAAAUCUAGUUCAUCAAUAUCAGAUUUGGUGGCAAAUAAACAUGCACUUUUCAAUUUAAUUUCAGAAGCAACACUAGAUGGUUUACUAUUAGACUUCAUUUGUUGCUCAAAUUCUUUUGCCACAAUCUGAUUUUCACUCUUAUUCGUCUCCUGUUUUGCUUUAUUAGCUCUAUUAAUAUCAUCUUUCAAAAUGGAAUCAGGAGUCAUAGGAAGCAAAGUAAUAUUUUUAUCCUUAUGAACAAGAGUAUAGUGAUUGUUUCUACCAUGGUGUACAGAAUUUUUAUCAAAUUGCCAUGGUCUACCAAGUAAUAAGGAACAUGCUUGCAUAGGUACCACAUCACAAUCAACAUAAUCAGCAUAUGUAGAUAUACUAAAAUGCACACGAACAGUACGUGUUACCUUAACCUUGCCGCUGUUGUUGAACCAUUGGAUGUAGUAAGGAUGUGGAUGUGGUCUUGUGGUGAGAGAAAGCUUCUCGACCAUCUCCAUGCUAGCCAAGUUGUUGCAGCUCCCUUCGUCUAUGAUGACGCGCACAGAACGUUCCUUCACAACUCCCUUGGUAUGGAACAAAUUGUGCCUCUGAUUUUGCUCAGCUUGUGUGAUCUGCACACUCAAAACACGUUGAGCAACUAAACAUUCAUACCUGUCAGCGUCUUCAGGAGCCAUGUAUUGCGUCUCAUUAUCAGAAUCAUCUCCACCAUGUUCUUCACGUGUAAUAAGAGCCAAAGUCUCCUCAUCAUAGUCACUAGCGGACUCAUAUCCACCAUCCGCGGUAGCAAUCAUCACACGCGGAGAUUUGCAUUCUCUCGCAUAAUGACCUCCUCCCUUACAAUGACGACAAAUAAUAUCACUUGUGUGCCCUGUUGAUGCUAUGGAAGAAGAAGAACGCUGUGUAGGCCCCGCAGGUGCGCUCUUGGCAGAUAAUGGUGGUUGUGCCUAUUUUCUUGUAUCACGGCUGGAGGUGGCACCUGAUGGAGGUGCUGGUGCAGUUGAAGUAGAAGAUGCACGUGGUGUCCAUGAUGAAGGUCGGCCUGCAGAAAAGUUAGUUCGCCCCAAUGCUUGUCGAUCCUGCACUUCACGUUCAGCUUUACAAGCAAGAUGGAAUAAACGAGUGAUAUUAGUAUACUCCUUAUAGUCUAGAAUGGUCUGAAUCUCUCUAUUUAAUCCACCCAGAAAACGUGCAAGCAUAGCUUCAUUCUCCUCAACAAUACCACAUCUAAUCAUGCCAGUUUGUAAUUCCUGAUAAUAUUCUUCUACAGAAUUUUUUCCUUGUCUUAAACGCUGCAAUUUUUGAAGCAAUUCACGUUGAUAAUAUGGUGGAACCCAACGCGUAUGCAUAGCAGUUUUCAAAGCAGCCCAAGUAGUUGGAAUAGGAUAUAAUCUACAAUGUUCAGACCACCAUACACAUGCAAAACUAGUGAAAGCACAAACAGCAGCAGCAACUCGUCUCUCCUCAGGAUAUUGUAAACAUGUAAAUCGUUGUUCAGUUUCUAACUCCCAAGUAAGAUAUAUAUCAGGAACAUAUCUACCCUCAAAUGGUGGAAUAUUCAAUUUCAGUUUAGGAAUAUGGACAUCAUCGCGUACCUGAGGUGGUGGUGCAGGCCUACCAUUACGAAUAUAUACCUGAGGUCGACCUGCUGGUGGUGGUACUGGUGGCUGCACGUAGUGGUGAUUUUGAUCAACCUCAUCCUCAUAAUCUCCCACAUAAUCAUCCUCCUCCGCAUCAGCAGCAGGAGCCACAGAAGUAUCAACAGCAGCACCAACAGUUUGGCCAAACGCAAGAGGAACACGGCUUGCUCGGCGGAGGUCUGCUUCGCGACGUGGAGGUAGACGGAUUCGGAGCGGUGGUGGUAGAUGGCAGGGGCGAUGAUGAUGGUGCGGCGACGGCGUGACAACUUGUGAACAGAACUCGAAACUCUAAAAGACUAGACGCUAAGACCAGCAACUGAACACGACGAUGCAACCGCAAAUUCAACAAAGCAAAUACAGAAAAGAUUAUGCAAGGCUCAGAUUGGUUCGGAUGGGAUGAACUAACCCUAAUUUUUUUUUGGCUUUUUCGUGGACUAUAGGUAUGAAGAACAGACUCGAUCUAAACUACGAAAAACUGUAAAAUCUCACCGAGCAACCUGGAAAUCUGAUACCACUUGAUAGAGGCAAAGGUGUCCCGUCUUUCGAUGAGAUGAUGGAUUUCGCUUUGGUGGAAGUCGACUUUGACGAUCCGACUACGAACGUGCGAGGACGUCGCGCCUUAGCAAUCGCUAAACCAACUCCGAGAGGUUAUUGACCACGCCGGAGCACGAUCAACCUGACCACGAGGGUUUGUUUCCUGCGAGCAAACGAAGAACAAGCAAGAAACUGAGAUUGCAAUCUGGAUAUUGCGAAUAUAAGAUGAAAGCUUUAUUGAUCAAGGUGGGGUUCUGUGACGCCUUUGUCUGGUCGUUGAACACAAACGAAGUACGCGAAGUUGCAGCUAUGGCGAACUUUUAAUCUAAACAAAACCCAAAGUCUAAACGAUGCCCUAAGGGCUGUAUAUAUGGAGGAAGAGGGGGGAAUUUCGUGGCCCUUGGUGGAGGGGUCCGAAAUCAACCCUAUCUCUUGUUUCCCCACACAUACGGACUCUAAAAAUAGCCUAUACUUAUGUAUUUCGAAAUUACAUGGGCCUGGCCCAAUAAUAAGGUGACGCAGCACCUAAAAUAGCCUCGGGACGAAAUUUAUGAAGUGGCAUCUUGUAUAUUUCGUCCAAGGCUUCAUGCACCCAUUAUGGUGGCUUCAAAGUUCUGAAAUCAUCAUUUGUAACUCUGUUCUUGUUCCCCUUGCGCAUGCCAUCAUCUCCAUGCUUGUUCUUGCUCCAAUGUUCAUCCUUCUCCAAGCUAGGCCCUUCAUUUGUAAGCAAAACAAAUGUAUCCAAUUUAGGCAGCAUCAUAUUCUCAUGAACAUUAGAAUCAUUACCAAGAAACGAAAGUACCUGGUAAUUUAGUUGGCGUGCACGAGCUCUAGUAAUUGGUCCAGUAUGUAUAGCAGCAGGGGCUGUGGGUGUAACAAUUGUAUUGAUGUCCUCAUCAGAUUUUGAUCAACCUCAUCCUCGUAAUCUACCGCAAAAUCAUCAUCCUCCGCAUCAGCAGCAGGAGCCACAGAAGUAUCAACAGCAGCACCAACAAUUUGGCCAGGUGCAAGAGGGAGACGGCUCGCUCGGUGGAGGGCUGUUUCGCAACAUGGAGGUAGUCAUUGUUGUUGUUAUUGUUGUUGUUGUUGUUGUUGUUGUUGUUGUUGUUGUUGUUGUUGUUGUUGUUGUUGUUGUUGUUGUUGUAGGGGUGUGUUAUGCGCAGCCGGUGGUGGUGGUGGAAGACGCGCGAGCAAUUCAUUAAACUUGUUAUCGAGCUUUGUUUCGAACGUCUUCUCCAUGCCAUCUAUCUUCUCCAUGGCCUCUUCAAAUCUAUUUAGCACAUCUUGCACCUGUCCACUCAUCAUUUGCUGAAAUUUAUCAUGCAACUCCUUAUUCAUCAUGUUCUCCCAGUCAGUCUCGUCGGCUUGUGAUCCUGCCAUGGUUAGCAGCAAUAGAAACACACAGGAAUAUGAUCCUACAUACUACUAACAAGAGGUGGUGGUGGGUGUCACAAAUCCAUCAAGAAAAUCUCAAAUUCUUACCAGUUCUUACCCAGCAGCAGGCGGUGAUCGGCAACCGUCGUAGUCAAAACUCUCAAAGCUUGGAUAGAGCGAUUACUAGGGAGAGUCAAACGCACGACGUAGAUGUAUAUAUAUAAGGACGACGAGAGUGGAUAAUAAUUUUUUACAUAAUUAGGAAGAUAAUUAAAAAACCCACAUGCGGCUACGCCCCAAAUACACAAGGGCAAAAGAAGAAGGAAGACGCAUACAACGACCUGGCUCGUUGAUCUCUACUUUCUUUAUGCGUUGCAGGUCACGGAGACUAGUUCUCGCGGCGGGCGAUGAUCUCUUUCAUCAGUUUCAUGUCCUUAAUACGCUGAUUGGCAGCAUCCAUGGAUUCCUCCACCAGCCUGUUGCGCUCGAUGCGGAGCAUGGCAUUCUCGUCCAUAAGUUUCUAGAUGAUGACGCCCAUCCUCUGCAACAAGGCAGCGGUCUCCUCCUCCUUCUUUGCCCUUUCGGCGAUCUUCACCCUUAGCAGGUCGGGCUCGCCCCGGAGAUUCGCAUUGCCCUCCACUAGUUGUCGGAUGACACUGGUAGCCUCGUCCUGCAACAUCGCCCAGCCGGAGAUCUGAUCCAUAUGGCUAUGGACCAUCGCAUGCAUGCGCCUGUAAGAGUCCUCGCCUGCCCGCGAGAAAUUUUCCCAGGCCGCCGCGGCGCGACAGGACAUCUCUGUUGCUUCCGCGGUGUGGCCGGACCAGUCUGCUACAUCGAUGGCGCAGCGGGACCUCUGUGCUGCUACUGCUGCGGGGCUGGACAUGUCGGCUACUUUGGCGGCGAGGCGGGACAUCUCUCAUGCUUCCUCUUCCAUGCUCACCUCUCCCUGGUGGAAAUCUCUUGACCCAGAACUCAUGCUGGCUAUGGCUUGAUUGACUUGAUUGUUUUUUGUGGAUGAGGAGUUGAGGAGGAAUGUGUAGUCAUCUUAGCAUAGUAGUAUUUAUAACCGAGUACUACUAAUACGCUCCUAAGUGGGAAACCAUUUAGGUUGUGAUUGGUGUGAACAGGUUUGCAAUUAAAUAUAUCAUGGUAGUAGUAAUUUGGCAUGUGAUGAGAUGCGCUCAAAAUUUAUUGACAGUUCUAUUUUUGAAGUGCGGCACUAUUCCCGAAUGGCGUAACGUCGGCACGUUUUAUUGGCCGUGGUGUAGCAUAUGCCAUGGUAAUAGUUCUUUUUCUACUGCUGUGUACGUGCAAAAACUGGCACCGUCAGAUACAUAUCUUACGCUUGGCGUUCGACAGGAAUAGCCUCGUGGCGAGCUAUAGACUAGUCUUUUUUCAGACGCAUUACACCUAUCUCUCGGGACAUCUCACACGCACCAUCACUUCUCCCUAGGUCGAUGCCACCCACAUACACUUGUACUAUGAGAAGAGGUUCACGCAUGCACUCGUCCUCUCUCACACACGCAUCUGUAGCUAUGAAUUGUAGUGUUCUCAACCAUCCGAUUGGCUCUAUCAUAGGUUUCACGUUGCUCCUUGGCCUUGAGAUUGAGAAGUUUAAAACGCGGAGGCUAAGAUGGAGGCGUGAGGUUUUGGUUAAUGUGCGGGCCGCACACGUCACCAACAUGACACGAGCUUCGUCUCCCUGGUGCGCAUGCAGUCGGGUGAGUUGUCCAAGUAUAGACACAACCAGGCCCUCGUUGGUAUCCGCGCCUCGACUUUGGCUGGUCAUAGUGGAGAGUAACAUAGACUAGUUACUAGUCUAUGUUACUAGUACCUUCAUAGUGGGUAGUGUCAUAUAGUACAUGCAUAAUUUGGCGACGAGCACUCUCUAUUGUACCACUUUUUAUUAUUUAAUUUCAUCUUGUUAGUUUUGCUCCAUGGCGCAAUCCAUCGAUACUACUAAUGUACAAAUGUAUACAUUUUUUAAAUGGCUAGAGGGCGGGGCAGUCUAGCUUGGUCCUUUUCACGAGAGGCGAGGGCCUUUGUGAUUUGACGGCUCAUUACUGCUGGAAGGCGGGGCCUUGUGAUUUGACUGCUCGUAUAAAUGUGCCGAUGACCUGAGGAGGAGCAAAGAACCAUGCGGUAUACUCAAGUUUUCCACUGGAGUAGUACUAGUACGACGGAGGAGCACGAAACACGGCAGCCUAGUGCCAUAUGGCGAUAAAAAUGAUCUAAUUUGCUAGUCAUCUCAUUGUUAGCAUUGUUCUAUUCAUGCCUCGCAGAAAACGUGACACGUGCGGCGAAACACCCGAAGCAAAAGAAGAAACACAGGAGAAAAAGAAGAAGGAAGAUUAUCACCCAAAUGAUCUAAUUCGCCGCGGAGUCGUAACUGCUUCUUCAUCGCCUCCACGACCACCAUCUCCUUGCGCGUCUCCUUCGCCAUCUUCUUCAUUCUGUCCGUGACGCGGGAUUUCUCGACGCGAGCCUUCAUCAUCUGUUCCAUGACCGCAUUACGUACCUUGACAGCAGCCGGGUGCUCGAUGCGGAGCUUUGCCAACUCCUCCUUCUGUUCCAUGACGAGGGCCUGCAACAUCUUCAUUGAGGAACUACUACUCUCAUGCAGCUUCUUAAAGCCGGCGUUCUUCUCCUUCAGCAGGUCGAGCUCGUGGCAGAGCUUCGCCUUGUCCUCCUGAAGUUGCGGGAUUUCUCUAGUCGCCUUCUUCUCUGAGGAAAUGCUCUUCUUGAGCAGCAUCACCAAGCCGGCGGUCAACUCCCCCUGCUUAUUGAGCUCAGCGUGCAUGUCGUCGAGGCUCUCCUUCAGCAGCGCCACCAAGCCGUGGAUGAACUCCUUUUGCUUAUUGAGGUGCUUAUUGAGCUGAUCGGGCAUGCCGUCGAGGGAUAACGACUCCAGCGCCACCACCUCGGCAUGUUCGCCUCCACGGCUAGGGCGCUCCUUGGAGCCAUCGCCAGCCCAUGAGAGAUCUUUCAAGGUCUCUGCGUGGCAGCAAGCCCUCUCUUUUUUCCACAGCCUUGGUUGCCGCUCCCUUGUCACGAGUAGUUCUCGACCUAGAGCUCUGCGCACCAGACAUGGCAAGGACGGACGAAGAAGAAGCACUUAUGAGGAGGAAAGGUAGAGUAAUUUUCGGUUAGGUAGUUCCCCUUUUUAUAACCUAAGUACUAGCACUAGUACUAAUACCUGCAUAGUAGGAACACGUUCAGGUUUGGUACAUACUAAUAGGUGUGAGCAGGCUUGCACUUAAUUGUAAGUACUUUCAAAUGUGAUGGGAACAAGGUAAAGAUAAAUUGAUGGGUUUUGGUUUCGAGGCCCGAAACGGCUUCCAAUAAAUUUAGUGGAACAUAAAUUUCAAGUAGACUACACUGCUCAGAUGCGUAAAUAUUAUGUUACUAUUAAAAAUUAGCACAAAAUACAAAGGAGACCAAUGGGAGUACUAAUAGCAACCCAUGACUUAACUACUCGCAUGGGCGCAGUGAAGUAGUAAUGUUUUCUUCCGCCCUCACGUCCACUCAAUUUGCAUGCGCUGUAUUAAUUGACCAUCAAUGAAGUGAAGGACUUUACACACGUCAAAUUAUCACAUGGGGUGGAUUUUGGUACAAAAUUGCGUCAGCCCAUGUACCUGCGUGUGUGUGCGAGGGAAUGAGUGUGUGCCUGGCAUGUGUGCACAUCUUCUCUUCGUGCAUGUACCGCCAGUGUGGCUCAGGGAGGACGAGUAUAUUCUUCUAGAACCAGCAGCACGUCACUGUGAUCAAUCCACACAAGGGUGUCGCGACAACGCCUCCACAUGUGCCACGUGGCUUCAUGAACUGUAAGAGAGACACUAUGUAGCGUGCCAUUGUGUUUUGCACAUACUCGAAGUACUAGUAAGGUACACAUGCAUUGCACGCGUCAUAUUUUGCAACCAAAUUAUGAAAAUACCGCACUAUAGCAUAUAAGAUCUAAGUCAUAUAUGCCUGAUGUAGACCUUCGUUUAAUUCUUAUAGUUCAUCUCAUUCAAAAUCAAUUAGUUUUUUAUGAAAAACCUAGGGCCUCUUCGAUUCGUAGAUUUCCAAAACGCGGGAAUAGGAAGAACAUGGAAUUAGAGUGGAAUGUCAUCUUGAAUCCUACAGGAUUGUAUGAGUGUUUGAUUGUGCAUAGAAAAAACGCAGAAUUUUUUCAAAGAGAUUUGAGUGGAUGGGAUGUUUCCUAUGAAAUCUAGUGCAAAUGAAUCAUAUGGAAAAAUUCCUAUGGUUUACUACGAAUGAAACAACCAAGAUAGAAAAAAUUCCUAAGGAUUAGAAUCCUCCAAAAUUCCUUUGAGAAUCCUUUGAAUCAAACAAGCCCUUAAUCUAUUUUAUGAUUCAUGGAAUUGUGUGUUGUAAAGCAUAAAGUAAAAAACAAAUAAUGGCAAUUCAACUAGAAAAAAAGUUUGGGCAGUUAUUAAUCGGAAGAUUCUAGAACAAAGGAGAAUCACUAUUACUUUGGUAUUUGUGCAUUAUGCUUAAGUUCAACCAUCGAGUCUGCUAGAUUGUACAUGUGGCAAAAUCCUGUGUGGGGCUAGAAGAUGGUGCGAGGGGCCGAGUGGAGGGAGACUAUGAAAGAGUGCACAACUGCGAGAUCGAUAUUUAGAGAGAGGGGGCGAGAACGUGCGCUGUUGCGCAGUGGCAGAGCCAUGAAAAAUGUCCCAUGAGCUAGGGGGCCAUGCAUUGCUAAUCCUUUACGAGGAGGGCCAAUUCAUCAACGUAAACCAUUUUACCAGCAAUUGUCUAACGAUCACAUUCAUAUUAGCCUCGAUAUAUUGUGAUGUUGGGGGGGGGGGCAGGGCCCUUGCUGCCCCUGUCUUCGCCAUUGUGCGCGUGUCUGAGAGAUGAAGCAGAAGGCAUGGAUGUUGAGAGGGGGGUGUUGGAUAUAUAAUUAAUGUGGGUGUAUUAGCUAUAUAUGUAAUCCUAUAUAGAGAGGUAUAGAUUGAAUGAUGUGGACGUGGGAAAGAGGGUGAGACCUCACUAGGUAUAUAGAUUGAUCGGUUUAUGUGGAAAACUAUGAAAGACCUAGCUAUAUACACACACAUAGAGGAACAUCGAUCGUUGCACAUGCACGUGAGAGAUAAAGAAUGCCCGAUAUGAUGGAGAGGGCGGUGUGUGUGUGUGCGCCUUCAUGGGAGACCGACUUGAAGAAAAAUAUUGCAUGUGUGCGAUGGAUAAUGCCGACUGAUAGUGUGUGUGCAUACAUGCAUGAGAGAAAGUUAGUGGUACAAUUAUAAAGAGAAGACCAAUGUGAGGGUGUAAAAUACUAGAUGAGGUCAUAAUCAAUGUAAAAUUGAAUUCAAAUCUUUACCUAAUAUUAAAAGACGGAGCCUUUCAUAGUUCUUCAUAUGUCACCCUUUAAUAUUCGUUGAUUUUAUGUCAACUAUAACAAUUGACGGCUGAGAUAAACCAUGUAUUGUGUCUGGUCGUCUAUGGUCGUGGCAGUUUUGCAAAAAGGUCCCUGUUUUAGUGGCGCUGGAAAAAUGUUUCGAUUUUACAAAAAAGACCCUAUAGUCAUUUGAAUUCAGUCAGCAAUCCUCCCCUUCGUCUUAUCCAUUAUGUCCUGCGCCGAUGGCUUCGUCCAUUCCGUCGUGUGCCGGCGGCCGCCGUGCCUCGCAAGGGAGGAUGGAGGACGCUCGCCGGGACUAUGUAGGAUGUUCGUCGGGGCGAAUGCAGCGGAGACGGCGCGGCGAGGUGGGGUCGUGGUGGUGCUUGUCCGGCCGUCGUGCCUCUCGCGGGAGGAUGGGCGACGCUCGUUGGGGCGUGUGCGGCAAACACGGCUUCUGGCGCAUGUCGAGGUGGAGCAGCGGCAUUGGUUGUCGGCCAACAUGAGGAGGCAAAGGCGGCCAAGGCAAUGAGGCACCGCGUCGGCUAGCGAAGUGGCGGCCAGAGCAGACGACGACGGGAAGGCAAGGAGGCACGGGCGUCGGAUAUUCAAGGGGUGGCUGGAGGAUAGGACGACGAGAGAAAAUCGACCAUGGAUGCGGAGGUGUUUGCAUCAGGUAGGAGCAGAGGCGACAACGGAGUGGAUUGGGCUUCAGCACUCGCACUGCUGGUGAAGAGAGAGCAUGCCCGGAGGAGGAAGGGUGAGUACGCUAUGCACCAACGCCGGCCGCGAGCACGCCCACUAUGAGUUGUCUGCCACUGCCAGUCGUCUCUGGCCUGCACCGUAGUAGGCUUCAGAAUCUCUGACGGACAUCCUGCUCCCAUGUUCGAUUUGAAUCUCUGACGCACAUCCUACUCCCGUGUCCUUCUCCAACAGAUAAAUCAAUUGAGUCCCGACCCGGAUUGGAGUUCGCUGCUAUAAGAAGGAAGUGUUCUUGGCCGGAAUCUCCAUCAGAAAAAACAUCAAAUCCCAGAAUUCUUGGUCUAGAGAAGCAUCAUUUCGCCUUUGAGUUCGCUGGAGGAAGAAGCACCAAGUUCGCCAGAGGUAGAAGAACGUUUGUCGAGCCAACCAAUAUCGCCAACGGUGGCUACACCAGAGGUAUGUGAUGCCUCGACCACCCUCAAAAACAGCCUUGUUGUUCUCCCUUCCCGUUCUUCUUGAGAUUGGUUGUAGCUAACUGAGUACCCUUAGUCAGUCCCUCAAGCUUUUGUGUGUUUAGAGAUUUAUUUAGAGAUGGUAACUGAGCACUAGGCUGUUAUCUGUGCUGUUUGAUUCUUUCCAUGCACUGUGGCUGGACAUGAUGUUGGUAAAUACACUAGAGAUCAUGGGCUGAGACAAUACAAUAGAGAUCAUGUCGAGGCUGGAAAAUUUGCUGAACUUGUGGUGCCUGUGUUCCUUCUCACAGUAGUUGUUUUAUGUGGUGAAAGUUUUAGAGGCCAAAUAACAGUUAUAUUGUUCCAGGAUUUUCAGUCCAAGCAAUUUUAUGUCUUGCAAGAAUUAUGUGGUUAAUAUUUCUGCAGAGUUUACAAACAAGAGUGAAACCAAUAAUGAUGAGUGAUGAUUACGGUAUGAUUGUUGGAUCAAUAAUUCAUAGCAAGGAAGCUAUUUUACUGGAAAAAGUAAAUCCAGUAUUAAACUUAGUAAAUCGUUGGGUGGAUCAGAUUAGAUGUGGCUUAAACCUUCGCCGCUCCCUGCCAUUUAGUAUCGGCCGGAGUCUGUUUGGGCUAACCAAUGUGGAGCAGAGUGGCAAUGGAGAUACCCAGUCUCACAUGCUUUAUUCUUCUUCAUGUAGUAUAACAGAGCUUGGUUGUAGCUAACUGUGCCCUCAGUCAGUCCCUCAACUUUUUGUGUCUUCAGAGAUUUAUUUAGAGAUGGUAAAAUAAAGAUCUUGAUGUAUCGACGGUUUGCGGUCAUGGGGCUGUUCUGUUACAGUUCAGGAUACUCAGUUUCCUCCUGCUGGUAUCAUCAUCUCCCUGUAAUGUGAUGUAGCACAGUACUAUGCACUUCAGCACUAAGCCAAGAACCUAAGCUAGCUUACUUGUGGGUCUGCUCCAGAUUUUGUCGAUUGUAUUUGUGUAUAAUUCGUGAGGGGUUAUAGAGAGUCAAUUAACAAGUCAAUUAAUACGAACAUGUUUGUCUCUACUGUCCUAUGAACAUACUCGCUAUAAGAACACUAAUUACAAGAAUAUGACGAUGCUAGGUGUUUAAGAUAUUUGAAUUUCCCUUCGGAGUGGACCUGGGAUAGUUCUGACAGAGUAUGGACUAGAAGACGGAGGAAACAAAAAUUAGGCGGUCGAAUUGGUUGUAUCUACCAUGUAUGUCUGGUGAGCUUUUAUCCCAUCGGAUGUUACUCUUGGUAGUCACAGGUGCACUUGCUUUGAGGAUGUGAGGUGUUAUAAUGGCUUCCUUUAUGGCACUUUCUAAGACGCGUGUUGACAAGCCCAGGGCUUAGUCAGGGAUGAUAAAUAAUGGUUCAAGAUUUUCGAAGUAGCUAUUGUGUUUUUUUUGGAAAAAGAUGUAAAAUCUACAGUCUCUGCAUCAAUUGAUGCAUCCAGCCAUCUUAUUAACGAUAAAUAAACAGAGUCUUAUGGUCACCUAUGAACCCAAAAUCAAAGUAGCUAUUUUAUGGGCUACUCCUUUUCAGUUACAACAUCUCUUUAUGAUAAUUUUGUUGCAUUGUGAAAUUACAAGUGGCCUUGAGCUGUUUGACAGGUAUUGGCCCAACAUGGCAGAAUAUAUAUCUUCCUCAUUUUACAACACAUAUCUUCCCUAUUACUCCCUCCGUCCCAUAAUAUAAGAACGUUUUUGACACAGAUAGUAAGAACGUUCUUAUAUUAUGGGACGGAGGGAGUAUAAUUUUAAUUAGUUGGGAUUCUUAUAGUGGUAAUCUUCCUCAUUUUGCAACAUAGGUCUUUUUAACUCUUCUAUUUUGUAUAUCGUUCUAUUAAAUAAUUGGAAUUCUUAUUUGUUGCAGGAUAACCUGUUGUGGACGAAGUGCAGAUGUUGAAAGUUUCAGUACAACAACUUCAUUUCGGUUGCAAAGUUUGCUUAAGUAACUUUUGGUUAGGAUGGUACAAUAGUUCAUCGUCUCUUAGCGCUGCGUAAACAAUUUAGGUUAUGGAUUUUGGUGGAUCUCUUUCUUAUUCUCGUGGCUGUUUUCUUAAUUUCUUUGGAUGGUCUCUUUACACGACUUUCAGAUUGAGCCCAUUUGUACCUGUCAAUCUUAUAGAUAUAUAUGUGGCUGGCUACACCUAUCCAUAUCUACUACCACAGUUACCAUCUUACUAUCUGUAUCAGCCAAAUUGUUCCAGGUCUUUCUAACUCUUUCAUGGAUAUCUUCUAUGAACCAGAGCACACUGUUCUGCACUCUGAGCAAGCGCCACUGAUGCUACAAUAUAUCAAAGGUACUGGUUUUUUUAGAUCUUUGACUAGAUAUAUUGGCUAACCAUGGAUCCAGAUUAUCUGUUUACUUUAUUUUGUUAUGAGCUUACAAACUAAUAGCCACGGGUCUUCUUUCCUUUUGCACUUUCUUGCAUCUUUCUUUAUACACCUCUUCUUUUUCCAAGCCAUCAGUUGCAAAUAUGCUGAACAUCUUUCAUUUUCUUUAUUUUCCACGUAGUUCUGAAAUUGUGAGCAUUCAUAUACAAUCUUUGGAUCAAAUAACAAAGGCAGCACACAUAAUUACAAGGUAAUAGAAAUUUCUUGGCCUUUUCUUUCUCUGUUCCUUUCUUUUUUGUGACAAUAUCAUCCAUGUCAUGAUCCUAACUUGACCAAACUAUAUUGUACUGUACUAGUGAACAUAUAGGCCUAAAGUACUAUAGAUAUACUUCGACAAAAUUUUUCUCAUACAUAUCCUAUGAGUGCUUUCAGCCCAUUUUAGAGUCAUGUCAAAUAUUUCUGUUGUUGACCAGAGAUACCAAUUUAUAUUCUCUUGAAUAAUUUUUCUUUAUGCAUCCAUACUGUUUUCAUACAUAUUAUGCAGUCUUCCUUAUGUACAUCCUAGCCUUUUCUUCUUUUGUUUAUAUAAUUUGAAAACUGUCAGCAAUCAUGUAAACUAUUUGGACCAAGUAGCAGCAGUGAUUGAAACAAGAGUGAAACAGCAAAAAAAUGUCUAUGCUAUUGUCAACUAUUUGUCUAGCCCUUUCUCACGUUAUUGUCCAUGCUAUACAUUCCAUCUCUGUUAAUUAUCCUGCUCUGAUGUACACACUUAUCAGUUAUCACAUAUUGUGCAGUUUGCACUAGUUGUUCUCCUAAAUACUCCUACAUUCGCUACAUUGUUGAUUAUUCCAAGGAGUAUUUUUUUGUUCUCUGCAUCAAUAUUAUUCCAUACGACUGUCUCCUUUUUCUUAAAGAAAUCAUCUGCUUUACACUGCCUGUCAUUCAUACUUGUUUGCUGUGAAAUUCCCCAGGACCAUAACGAAACCCAAUAAUGACUUCCACAAUAAUGUAUUCAUGGGCCACACACAUCAGCAUACAAGACUGCAAUGUGGCAUUAUCCAUUUAUCAUUGAGCCGCUUUCUCUAAUCUUCACGCAAGCACCCGAAGCAAUUAUUGCCGCCAUAAACGAGAGAUUCGACACACAUGUAGAUCCACACGUACACAGGAUGAAUGACCGAAGAAAAAGUGGUCCUCUCUCUAUUCCUGACCAUUUUAUAUUUCUUAGUUUUAUUUGCUUCUAUUUCCAAGUUCCUAAAACUGUAAUGCAAGUCGUUGAGUUUUUUCGUGUACAUGAAUUGAUCAUGUUUACGUUAUCAGUGUGAACAUACAAUACUACCCACAUCAAGUCGGAAUCGAAAGCGAAGAAAUGGCUAAUGUAGCCCUCACCGCCCACCUCUACAGCCCUCAGAUUUACUGCUUUCAAGAUUUUAACCAUUUUGCUAUUAUUAUUGCUACUGAUCGGGUUGGUGGUGACGUACCAGAUCAGAACGAAUGGCUAGAUGUGGAUCGAGGGUGCCGGCUCGGAAGGGUUAACCCUCACCGACGACCUCUCCUGCUGCUCGGUGGCGAGAUGUGAUCGCCCGUAGUGGUCCGAGGUACAAGAAGGACUCAAAAUGUGGUGUUUACUCAAUUGUGAAGCACAAGACAUUUCCUUAAGGGAUGCAUGAGGGUGGUCCGAUGAAACAAGUCUGCAACAUUAAGUCAAAAGUGAAAGGAGGGUAUGAGGGCGGUGUACAUAUGGACUAGGUGCAGGGUGUAGCUCAUGGAGGUUGGCCCUCAUGUCUAGCUCAAUGAGAUUAUAGUUUUAAAGAUUUAAAUAUUCCAUUGUGUUGGUGUGGUUCAAUGACAUGUGCGUCAUGUGGUGUCUGAACUCGUUGCCUUGGCACUGACCAUGUUCGGGCGCAUUGUGAUCAGGUGCUGACAGCGCAGCUGCUGACGAAGGUGGGAGGAGGAUAAGAAAUUACAUGGGUGGGGCACCAGUUUGAAAUAGAGGAUCCAGACACCGUGUGUUUUGAGUAGUGUUGGGCGUGUGUUUUCUUUCCCGUUGCAACGCAUGGGCAUGUUUACUAGUAUAUAUGAAUAAGAGAUCAUGAUGUUUGAAACCCAUGCAUGCAUGAAUAUAACGGAGAUCUGCGCGGUGUGGUUUGGAAACGAGCAUGCUGUAAUGUAUACACAUUGAACAAGGUCAGAUUGGUUUGAAUUUGAGAUACCGAUGGCAGACAUCAUUUGGCCACAUUGCAUCCGUGCAUGGACACACUAUUCUAAUUGGAGAUGAUGGGUGGCUUUCGCAUCACAUAUCUACAUCUAUACCCCUAUAUAUAUUAUAUAUUUUAUAUUUUUUAUAUAGUGUGCGGAUAACUUUAAUUUUGAAAGAUGGUUUUUGGAUGAGGCCAAUCUGAUGGUGCAGAGCUGGCAAAUUUAAGCACUACUCGCCGUUGGAUAUCAUCUAGAUUCCACCAGAUUUUGCCACAUGUACAAUCUAGAAGACUCUAUGGUUGAACUUAAGCAUAAUGCACAAACCUCAAAAUACAAGUACUUCUUCUUUGUUCUAGAAUCUUCCGUAUCAGAAUUGCCCAAAUGUUUUUCUACAUGAUUUGUUUUUACUUUAUGCCUUACAACGCACAAUUCCAUGAACUUAAAAUAGAUUAGCUUUCUUAUAAAAACUAGAUGAUUUUGAAUGAAAUGAACUAUAAGAAUUAAACGAACAUCUACAUCAUGCAUAUAUGAGUCAAAGCUUACAUGCUAUAAUGUGGUAUUUAUUCAUAAUUUGGUUGCCAAAUCUCAUAUGUGCAAUGCACGUGUACCUUACUAGUCUAAAUGGUGUCUGUGUGUGUUGUGCGUGUUAAACACAUUGUAUGUAGUAUUUCAUACUAGUCUAAAUUGUCUUUUUUUGGGUACACGUUAAGCUUGUUCUCCCGAAAUUUCAAGCCGCGCCUUGUUAUGCCAAAAUUUCAACCUAGUGUCUUUGUCUAUCGUGUUGCGAAACUCCCGCCGCUUCAACCCGCGCCUUGUUACCCCGAAAUAUUUAAGAUAAAUCUUUGUCUCGUUGUGCUCCGACAACUCCCUCCAUCUCAACCAGCGCCUUGCUAUUCCAAAAUUGCAACGCGCGUGAAAAAUCCCACCUCCUGUGAAAUCCCGACACGUGAAAUGCCCGUGAUACCCCUGAACCAAAAGAACCGCCUCAAAUCGGUGGGGGUACUUUCAUAACUUACCCCACAUUUCGGACAAGCGCGUCCCUAAGCCAUGGUUCCUCACUCCCAUCCCAUCCGCCCACCCAUUCGUACACCAAGGCAGGGAAAACUCGCGAAGCCCCAUACUCUCCUUCGUCCGCCACCCAGCCGAAGCCUCUUCCCCGACGACGUCGUCCACAGUAACACCUCGAUGUCCCUCAUCCAUCGUACUGGAUGAGGAUCCGUCGUCGAUCUGGUCGUCCCGCCGGUUCAGCCACCCCGUCCUCCACCUCCAAGGAGCUGCGCCGAUGUUCCCGUCGUCUUUCGCGCCACCUCCAUUCCCACACCGCCGUCUUCACCUGCACCAUCGGAAGAGCAUCAUCAUCACUGUUUCCUCGGAUGAAGCUACGGCCUAAUUGGCGCCACCAAAGAGGUUGUACACUAAUCGCCGCAUUUUUUCUUGAUUCGAUCUCAUGGUGCUGCCGGCGCUUGGUCCGAGCUGACACGACACGACUCCAUCCACGGCGGCGUCGCCGGCCACUUCCUCCACGGCAUCGCUCCCUCGGCGGCGACGUCCACAUAAGUAGGAGCUGCUGCUGCUUUAGCUCUCACUCGUGCUGCUGCUCUGCUCUUGCUCUCGGUCCCCUGCCUUGUAUGCUGUUGCUACUGCUCUCCCUCUUGCUCUUGCUUGCGAUGCUGCUCCGAUUUAGCUAAACUUCAGUCGACUGAAUCGACUUUUGGGUCAAUCGAUUUUCAGGGGGGGCUCGCCGGAGCUAAGGAAGAACCAGCCGCAGCGGGGAAGGGGGCUUGCCGGAGAGGUACCCCACUAUCUAUCUUAGGGUUCAGGGCGGGGGCGAUGGUCGCCGGCGGUGGUGGGGCGGUGGCGUGGGGAUCNNNNNNNNNNNNNNNNNNNNNNNNNNNNNNNNNNNNNNNNNNNNNNNNNNNNNNNNNNNNNNNNNNNNNNNNNNNNNNNNNNNNNNNNNNNNNNNNNNNNNNNNNNNNNNNNNNNNNNNNNNNNNNNNNNNNNNNNNNNNNNNNNNNNNNNNNNNNNNNNNNNNNNNNNNNNNNNNNNNNNNNNNNNNNNNNNNNNNNNNNNNNNNNNNNNNNNNNNNNNNNNNNNNNNNNNNNNNNNNNNNNNNNNNNNNNNNNNNNNNNNNNNNNNNGUGCUAGAGGGAUGGCCGGGGCGGCGGCGGAUCGGCAGUGGGGAGUGUUUUCGGGGCGGGCAGGGCGGCGCACCACCGCCACGAGCGGCUGUUUGGCCGGUGGUGGCUUGCGGCUCAGGGGGUGGAGGUUGAAGAUGAACUGCAGGCCCUUGAUUUCAUAUCCAACGGCUGCAAAAUCGACUGACCAAAGAUGAAAAAGUCAGUCGACUGACGUGUAGCCUCACCUCUAGUGCGUUCAGUUUUGACAGUAAAAUUCAUUUUCGACAGCAAAAUUUAGUUUCGAUGGUCAAGUUCAGUUUUGACAGUUAAAUUCAGUUUCGUCAGUUAAGUUCAGAGAUGAGCGGCUGAUGUAUUUUACAUCUAGAACUUUGUGGUUAUGUAUUUUACAUCAUCUAUUGGAGAUGCUAUUAGAAUUCCACUCAUGUUAACAUUGUCUCUCUUGUCCUGCUUAAGCCUCAGUGUCGUACAACUCACCGGAGCUGCUCCAACGACGAAACCCUCCAUCACAGCGGAGCAGUACCUCGGGCUCCAUCUCCAGACGCCUAAGAUCUUCUUCCCCUCCUUCGAUAGCCAAGUCAGCCGGAGCAUCUUCACCGGCCAACCCGAUCACGCUGAGAUCGACAUGGCUUCGCCAAAGAGGUUGUACACUUGUUGCAUAUCUUUUUUACUCUACAUGUUAUAUAUAUUGUCCACUGAGCACACAGAGUAACGGGACAUACGAUUAUUUUAUCCUACUAUAUGACAAGCAUUGAGGUACCAGGCAACUUAGCUAUCCGUGAUGGACUCUCUUGAACGCCAUCAUUAUUUAUCUCUGCGCGUUUGAGCUGUGCAUUUGUCGAUGGCCCUGGGAGUUGAGCUAGUAGGGUAGUGGCAUGGGGUCCAAAGUAAUAGAAGUAGCACAAAAACAUUUUUUUAGUGUAGGCUUUUCCUUGCUCAAGCUUGCCUACUAGAACCGCCAGUGCUUGAAAGGAAAAGUGAAUGAAAAACAUAGGAUUGGAAAGUUUCCUAUGGUACUACUUUUCAUGAAUUUGGCGCAAAGGAAUGGAGCAAAAGAGAACUGUAUGAUUUCUUCCUUUGGUGUCUCCUUGAAAGAAAAACCGUAGGAAUUUUAAUUUUCCCUUGUCCUCCUUUUCAAAUUCCUAUUCAUGAAGCACAAGACUAAGAGAUAGUAGCAUAAUAGCAUUAUAACCGUACAUUUUCUUGUGGUUUUACUUGAUCUCAGCAUGCUUCUUUGCAUCCUAUGAUCUUCCAAUUCUUGUGAACCAAACACCCAGAUUGGCAGAAAUCCUGUGUUUUUAAAUUCUCUGUUUUGCACGUGCAUUCCUAUCAUAUUCCUGUCUAUUUCCUAUCCCUGCAUUGUUAGAAUCCUCAAACUCAAACAAGCCAUUACACAAUUACUUCUAUUACAGAUAUGUGUCAAAGAAAACCUUGUGUGGUUUGUCCUGCUCCUGCGGUGCUGUGUUCCACCCCAGCUCAGCUGCUCCAACGACGGAAGGGUUCACCACAGCAGGGAUCCGCUCUCCAGACUGUCUUUCGCCGCCUCAGAUCUUCUCCCCCGCCGCCAGCAGCUAUGACAACUGCAUUACCAUCAUCAAAUGAGCGGAUGACCUUGAGGACUACAUGGGUCCGCAAGAGAGGCCGCACUCUUUCGUGUCUGCUUACGUUAUGCAUCGCUUAAUAUGAUGCCAUGCUACUUUAUCAUCGUGUUCACCUAUUAGACUCCGAGUCAGGUCCAAACUUAUGCUGAAACUUGAGUUUUUAAAUGGUUGUGGGGUACAUAUUGGGGCAGCAAUCAGUAAUAUCUGUCUACUAUCUGGUUAAUCUCGGGUGUCUACUAUGAGUUUCAGGUUGGGUGCAAACAAACAUUAAAGGAGCCAUUAUCUAUAUUUUUUAACUAAAGCUGUUGUCUGCCUGCUAUCACUGGUUUUGGGUCUAUCCACAGUUUGCUACCAUCACUCUGGAUUUGUGCAUGCACUCCUUACAUAAUCUCACUAUGUUUUAUUCCUAUGCAUGUCAGUUAUUGUACACAAUGGAACUGAACAUGUAGAGCAAAAGAGACGAGCCUUGUGUGGCAAUAAAAUUUCAUGCAGACGUCGCUCCAUGGUGGGCGCAAAGGCAGCCCCCCUCCACCCAUUUCGGAUCGUAAUCAAGAGGAAGAUAACUAUUCUGAGGGGGAUUCGGAAGCAGAAGACCACUCCUAUUUACCCCAUGAGGUCUUCGCUCUAACUUGGCAUGCUGAUGUUGGUAAUAUCAUGCAUAUGGUGCCUUGCAUUGCUUACUGUAUACAUCAAAGAUGUCAUCUGCUUAGUUUAGACAUGCUUUAUGUCAAUGCCAUCUGUUUAGUUUCUUUAUCCUAUAUGUGAAUCAUGCAAUACCAUCUUGUUUAGCCAGGCAUUAUAUAUGUGAAUUUUGCAAUGCCACCCUGGUUAGCCAAUCAUCUUAUAUGUGAAUUAUAUCAUGACAUCAUUUUUUUAUUACGUGUUAAAUUUGUUAAGAAUUUUAGUACAUUCAAUUACUCUUCCUGUGCAUCAGCCAUUCGACACGGUCACGGAAAAAUCUGGAGUGGAAACAAGGUCUUCAGAGCAGACGAUGCUAUCUGACAAAGCGCAUGUCUUGUUGGUUACAAAUAGCUCCUCAGAGGAGGAUUCAGAGACAGAUGACCAGUCCUAUCCCCCCCGAGGUGCAUGCUCUAACUUGGCAGGAUUAUGUUGCUCAUAUCGUGCGUAUGGUAUCUUGCAUUGCUAUGCCAUUUGCUUAGGCUAGACAUGCUUUUUGUGAAUGCCACCUGUUUAGUGUCUAAUUACCAUAUAUGUGAAUUAUGCAAUGCCAUCUUGUUGCAAGACAUUAUAUAUGUGAAUUAUGCAAUGCUAUCUUGUUGCAAGGCAUUAUAUAUGUGAAUUAUGCAAUGCCAUGCUGUUUAGCUAAGCGUCAUAUAUGUGAAUUAUAUCAUGCCAUCCUUUUUUUGUAUUUCUCAUUGCUUUUGCCUACAAUGUUUGUAUAUUCAACUGCUCUUCCUAUGCAUCAGCCAUUUGAAUUGGUGAUGGAGAAAUCUGGAGUGAAAACAAGGUCUUCAGAGCAGACAAUGCUACCUGCUGAAGUAGAUAUAUUGCUGGUUAUAGAUAGCUCUUCAGAGGAGGAUUCAGAGGCAAAUGACCAGUCCUAUUAUCCCCCUGAGGUGUAUGCUCAAACUUGGCAGGGUUGUAUUACUCAUAUCAUGCAUAUGUUGUAUUGCAAUGCUUAGUUUUUACAUCAUAUACACUAUAUUGAAUGCCAUCUCCUUAGUUGACACAUCAUAUAUGCGAUUGCCCUCUGCUCACUUCCUUAGUAUAUAAAUCAUAUAUUUGAAUUAUAUCAUGCCAUGAUGUUUACAUAGACAGCAUGUAUCUGAAUUAUGGCAUGCCAACCCAUUUUCUAAAGACAUAAUAUAGUUAUAUCAUCUCAUCCUGUUCACAGAGUCAUCAUAUUUUGAAAAUGUCAUUCUAUCCGUGAAUUAUAUCAUGCCAUCAUGUUUCCAUCGACGGCAUGUUUGUGAUUUAUGGCAUGCCAACCACUUUAAUAGACACAUCGCAUAGUUAUAUCAUGUCAUCCUGUUUAUAUAGUCAUCAUAUUUUUAAGUAUGUCAUUCUAUCCUGUUUAGUUAGCCAUCAUACAUGUGAGAUUGUGUCAUGCUAUCCUGUUUAAUUAGCCAUCAUAUAUGUGAAAUUAUGUCCUGCUAUUCUGUUUGGUUAGACAACAUAAAUGUGAAUUAUUUCAUGCCCUGUUUUCUUCCCUACUAUCCAUUGCACAUGUCUAUCUUACAAUGUCUAUACAUUCAAUUACUUUUCUUGUUUAUCAGCUAUUUCAAUUGGAGGGGGUGAUGGCAGUAUCUGUGGGAGUAAAAACACGGUCUUCAGAAAAGAUCGUGCUACCUGUCGAUGGAGAUAGAACCACAGUUGUACUUGCCCAAGAACCAGCCCCACCACACAUAACCCAGACUCACGCAGAUUAUACCCCUACCCAGUUGGACAGAGAACCAGCUACACCCCUUAUAACCCCAACCCCAGCAGAUAGUAACCCAGUUCCCGUUGAAACAGCACCGUCUCCACCACAGAGCACCCAAACACGAGCAGUUAGUAAGGAAACUACAGUGCCCAAAGCACGAGGACCACCACUCCGAACCCCAAGUCAAUGCUUAAAGCAGAAGAAGAAUUGUUCUCAGGUCAGGUUCCAUAGCUAUGGUUCAUACUACUUUGCUCUUGCAUCACUGUAUUUACUCAUACCAACUAAUUUCAAAUUAGAAGGAUGCAAUUAAAACUCCAACGGCGCAACAGGUAUGUUUUAAACAUGUUUCUUUAACGUGUUUGCUGUUGUAACUUGCUCUAUGUUGAUUUCAGUUUCAAUUGAAUAAACAGUUAUGUUCUGAUGUCAUGCACACUACAAGUGUUGUUAUUGUUGUGUAGUUUCCCACACUUAUAUUCUGACUAGAAUGAUAUAGACCAUACAGUGACCAUACUACAUAGAUAUAUGUUUGUUUCAUGUUGUUAUCCUGUCCACCUUACUACUGAACUGGUUUACCAAAAUGAGUUUCAUAUACUACAUUGUAAACCUGUGAUGUGUUUGUUUGUUUCUCUUUUAGAACGCGGAUAAAAUAUUUGAGAAGAGUACCCCGUUAUGCAAUGGUAAAGGAAGUAAUGUAGAUAAGGUUCAAGAUAGUGAGACAUCCAUGUUGGUCUCCAAGAAAGCUGAUAAAAGCUAUAUUGAAGACAUCGAGACAACCCCAAAGUCCUAUCUUGAUGUAGUGUUCGAGUUACUGGCUACUACUGUUGGCACCAGCUCUUCGAACUCGCUGCCUGAAUCAGUUCAGCUUCUUGAGUCUCAACUUCAAGUUGAAAGACAUCGAUCAUAUGUUAUGCGACAGGAAGCCGAAGGACUGAGGAAGUACCUUCAGAAUUCAUAUGCAUACUUUCUGGUGCAAUAGCAAGUGCUGGAGGAUUUAAGCGCCAAACAAGAGAAAGUUAAUAAGCUUGCUAAGCAUCUUGCCAGCAUUAUGGGUACCCAGGAUAUUGUUUCUUGAGCUCUACUGAAGUGGUUUCAGUUCUGGACUUGUUUUGCUGCGGCGUUUAUAUGCUGCUUUAUUCCCUAUAUUUGCACUAGUGGCGAACUUUGAUGCCCAGUGGAUGUAAUAUGUGUAAUAGCCAUGAUAGCCUAGCGUAAGUUGCUUCAUUAUUGUCUUGUUUAUUUGUUUUCUUGUAGUCAGUGCAGUUCUUUUUCCCGGUUUUCUAGUGGCCGCAAUAACCUAUUUUUUAAAACUAGGCCACAUUAACCAUGGGCUACAUAUUUACUAUAGUUAAACAUGGGCCUCCUACGGGCCGUAGAAACAAUGGGCCUUCUAUGGGGCGUAGAAACAAUGGGCCUUAUACGGGCCGUAGACACAAUGGGCCUUCUACGGGCCGUAUCAUCAAUGGGCCUUCUAUAGGCCGUAUGAUUGGUUGGCCAAACAUGAGCCAAUAACAGACCACAUUAUGGCCGUAAAUGGGCUAGAGUUGAAAUCGUCCGUUCAUGGGCCGACCAUAACGGGUCGUCGUUAAUCGGCCAUAUUUGAUGACGCUGUAACCACGGGCUAAAUUUGGCCCACAAGCAAAAAAUGACAGUAAUGUGCCGAAAGUAAACGAAUGCUGAAAAUGAGCCCAAGAAUAAAUGGGCCCUGAGAAGGCCGAAAGAUAACAUGGUGUGGAAACGGCCCAAUGGAAUAAUGGGCCGUUAAUUGGUAUAAAGUGAUACACUGUUCAUUACGGGCCAGUUUUACCACGGGCCGUUAAUGGGCCGAGGGUUACUAAGGGCCUCAUAUGGGCUGAAAGACGUCAUGGGCCAUACAUGGGCCGGAAGUUAAAACAGACUAGAAUUAUAUUGGAUGGCCCAGAUGAUGCUACUGGGCCUAAUUCGGAUAGGCCGUAAAUGGGCCCUGGGUUAGCGGGCUGUAAAUGGGCUAUAUGCGAACAAGCCAUUAACAGGCUUGCCGUGGGCCGGCCCGCCACCUUUUGACCAAGUCAAACGGGCCGGCCUUUUCACAGGAAUGGGCCUCUAUUGGGCCGUGCCACGUGAUGACGUAUCAUAGGCACUUUGGGUCCAAUGAGUGGAUGACAUCUGUCCCAACGGUGAGCCGACACGUGUUUCCUCCACCCAAUGAUGAUUUUACACGUGGAAAAUCCCUAUUGGUCGGGGCUGUUAACGAGUUAUCGGAUCCAAAACUAGACCCGAUAGCUUAACGGCGUUCCAUUACGGUGGAUGCCACGUGUCGGUCACCCUUGACGAAAGCACUUCCGUGACGCACGAUUUAUCAUCAUGGAAGUGGACACUUCCGUGAUGAUAAUUUUGGUAAUGUCAUGGAACAAUUCUACGACAGCACAAGUAUGACUAUCUUGAUUCUGCCAUAAAAUUUUCACGGAUGUACAUGCAUGACAGAAAACGUGACCUACUGUGACAAACACGUAUCAUCAUGGAAGUGUAUAUUUUGUAGUGCCUAUGAGUCUACAGAUUAGUAACACGUGAUCCUGAUAGAAAGACGAGAAGCCUAGUUCUUAAUCCCCGUAGAAAAGAAGCGGUUGACUCAGAUCAGAAGAGCGUAAGGUAAAGUAGUAAAAAGAGCCUUACGUUCCCUUCCACAAUCAAUUCCCUUAUAUAACUAAAGCAUUUCUAGACUCAACUUCAACCAUUUUGGCUUGGUAAUCCUACAGGCAGUCAGGCUCGGAUACCAAAGUUGUGAGGACCCCGAUCCUAAGUCACACCGAUCUAGCAUGUAACACAUCAUAUCACUUUGCGGCCUCACACACGGUAUUCCCACAGGUGCCACCUUACCUGGCCCGGGACCGUUUGCGCCUUUUGGCUCACGUAUAUGAUAGUGUCGCUAGCAUCCGCAUGACAGAGAACCCGUGCCGACAUGUCUAGUCGUAAACCCAAGGUGGCACUAACUUAUAGGGACAGGCAUACAUGACCCAGCAAUGAACAUGUCGGUCAUCAAUGUAUGAACCCAAGUCGUAGCAAGCUAUGAGGAGUUAAAGGAACAACGCGUGACAUUUCCCCGAAGGGACAUACACAGGAACGAAGAAGGACACUUGCCGGCCAUCCUAAGUGUUCCGGAGCAGUAGCAAGCUACCAUGGCUCAGUGGAAGCACUAGGAGACAUUUCCCGAUAAGAGAGGCUACCAAGAAUAAACAACUAGGUUGCCAGAUCCCACACAUACCAAGCAUUUCAAUAACAUACACACAAUAUGCUCGAUAUGUGCAAAUACAACAUGGCAUCACAACAAAACUCCAUGACUCAAAGUAUUUAUUCAUUAGGCUCCGAGGAGCCAGAUAUUACAAACAUGGGUCUGAUGACCCAACAUUCAAGUCAUAUAAGCAAUAAGCACAUGCGGAAGCUUAACUUGUCUGAGUACAGACAACUAUAAAUGAAAAAGGCUGAGAAGCCUGACUCUCUACAAGACCUGAUGAGGACAUCAAUACAAUUGUUACACCCACAGCCCCUGCUGCUAUACAUACUGGACCAAUUACUAGAGCUCAUGCACGCCAACUAAAUUACCAGGUACUUUCGUUUCUUGGUAAUGAUUCUAAUGUUCAUGAGAAUAUGAUGCUGCCUAAAUUGGAUACAUUUGUUUUGCUUACAAAUGAAGGGCCUAGCUUGGAGAAGGAUGAACAUUGGAGCAAGAACAAGCAUGGAGAUGAUGGCAUGCGCAAGGGAAACAAGAACGGAGUUACAAGUGAUGAUUUCAGGACUUUGAAGCCACCAUAAUGGGUGCAUGAAGCCUUGGACGAAAUAUACAAGACGCCACUUCAUAAAUUUCGUCCCGAGGCUAUUUUAGGUGCUACGUCACCUUAUUAUUGGGCCAGGCCCAUGUAAUUUCGAAAUACAUAAGUAUAGGCUAUUUUUAGAGUCCGUAUGUGUGGGGAAACAAGAGAUAGGGUUGAUUUCGGACCCCUCCACCAAGGGCCACGAAAUUCUCCCCCUCUUCCUCCAUAUAUACAGCCCUUAGGGCAUCGUUUAGACUUUGGGUUUUGUUUAGAUUAAAAGUUCGCCAUAGCUGCAACUUCGCGUACUUCGUUUGUGUUCAACGACCAGACAAAGGCGUCACAGAACCCCAUCUUGAUCAAUAAAGCUUUCAUCUUAUAUUCGCAAUAUCCAGAUUGCAAUCUUAGUUUCUUGCUUGUUCUUCGUUUGCUCGCAGGAAACAGACCCUCGUGGUCAGGUUGAUCGUGCUCCGGCGUGGUCAAUAACCUCUCGGAGUUGGUUUAGCGAUUGCUAAGGCGCGACGUCCUCGCACGUUCGUAGUCGGAUCGUCAAAGUCGACUUCCACCAAAGCGAUAUCCAUCAUCUCAUCGAAAGAUCGGGACCCUCGCCUCUAUCAACCGCUUAUCCGCCACCGCUCCGAAUCCGUAUCCAUAUACCACCACCAAUCCGUGUCCAUAUACCACCACUGAUCCAUAUCCAUAUACUACCACCGCUACCACCACCGCUGCCAUAUACCACCACCAUAUAUCCACCACCAAUCCGAGUUCCUUGCAUAUUAGGUUUGUUUUCGAGAUCCAUCUAGAUUCCGAUUCGUGUUUCCUUGCCGGAGUCGGGUAGCCACGCUCCGUUUAGGCCCAAAAUUUUUCGAAAAUGCAUUUUUCGAAAAAAUUUCUGGCUAUCCUAUUUUUAGGUGUUUCUGAGUGUUUUGAGACAGGUGCCAUUAUAGGAAGUUUUUUUUGACCCGUUUCCAGUUUUUGGGUCCGGGCAGUCGAAAAAAAAUAUUUGGUCGAAAAAAUUUCGUGCCCAUCCUGUCCGUUUGAGCUAGGAAGAGUUUAGAGACACUCGCCAUUAUAGUGAUUUUUCGCAAAAAAAAAAAAAGCAGCGCAAAAAAAAAGAGCGCAAAAAAAAGAGCGAAAAAAAAAUCAGAGUGUGCUUUUCCCUUGUUUACGUGCCGCGCCGUGAUUUUGUUGGUGUUCUAGGCUCGCGUCUCUAGCACAGUCUAGCCUAGGACCAGCACAGUACCGUCGUUGAGCGUUUAUUCAACUUUGCAUCUCUGAAUUGAUUAUUGCUGACCCUUUUUGCUACCAUAUUAUAAGCCUUCCCAGCUCCACAUACAUCUACGUCGUGCGUUUGACUCUCCCUGGUAAUCGCUCUAUCCAAGCUUUGAGAGUUUUUGACUACAACGGUUGCCGAUCACCGCCUGCUGCUGGGUAAGAACUGGUAAGAAUUUGAGAUUUGCUUGACGGAUUUGUGACACCCACCACCAGCACUUGUUCGUAGUCUGUAGGAUCAUAUUCUUGUGUGUUUCUAUUGCUGCUAACCAUGCCAGGAUCACAAGCCGACGAGAUUGACUGGGAGAAUUUAUCGAACAAGGAGCUUCAUGAUAAGUUUCAGCAAAUGAUGACUGAACAGGUGCAAGAUGUGCUGAACAAUUUUGAAGAGGCCAUGGAGAAGAUCACUGGCCUUGAGAAGACGUUCGAAACAAAGCUCGAUAACAAGUUUAAUGAAUUGCUCGCGCGUCUUCCACCACCACCACCCGCUGCACCUAACGCACCUCUCCAACAACAACAACAACGACUACCUCCACGUCGCGAAGCAGACCUCCGCCGAGCAAGCCGUGUUCCUCUUGCGUUUGGCCAAACUGUUGGUGCUGCUGUUGAUACUUCUGUGGCUCCUGCUGCUGAUGCGGAGGAGGAUGAUUUUGUGGGAGAUUAUGAGGAUGAGGUUGAUCAAAAUCAACACUACGUGCAACCACCUGUACCACCACCAGCAGGUCGACCUCAGGUAUAUAUUCGUAAUGGUAGGCCUGCACCACCACCUCAGGUACGCGAUGAUGUCCAUAUUCCUAAACUGAAAUUGAAUAUUCCACCAUUUGAGGGUAGAUAUGUUCCUGAUAUAUAUCUUACUUGGGAGUUAGAAACUGAACAACGAUUUACAUGUUUACAAUAUCCUGAGGAGAGACGAGUUGCUGCUGCUGUUUGUGCUUUCACUAGUUUUGCAUGUGUAUGGUGGUCUGAACAUUGUAGAUUAUAUCCUAUUCCAACUACUUGGGCUGCUUUGAAAACUGCUAUGCGUACGCGUUGGGUUCCACCAUAUUAUCAACGUGAAUUGCUUCAAAAAUUGCAGCGUUUAAGACAAGGAAAAAAUUCUGUAGAAGAAUAUUAUCAGGAAUUAUAAACUGGCAUGAUUAGAUGUGGUAUUGUUGAGGAGAAUGAAGCUAUGCUUGCACGUUUUCUGGGUGGAUUAAAUAGAGAGAUUCAGACCAUUCUAGACUAUAAGGAGUAUACUAAUAUCACUCGUUUAUUCCAUCUUGCUUGUAAAGCUGAACGUGAAGUGCAGGAUCGACAAGCAUUGGGGCGAACUAACUUUUCUGCAGGCCGACCUUCAUCAUGGACACCACGUGCAUCUUCUACUUCAACUGCACCAGCACCUCCAUCCGGUGCCACCUCCAGCCGUGAUACAAGAAAACAGGCACAACCACCAUUAUCUGCCAAGAGCGCACCUGCGGGGCCUGCACAGCGUUCUUCUUCUUCCAUGGCAUCAACAGGGCACACAAGUGAUAUUAUUUGUCGUCGUUGUAAGGGAGGAGGUCAUUAUGCGAGAGAAUGCAAAUCUCCGCGUGUUAUACAAUUGUUACACCCACAGCCCCUGCUGCUAUACAUACAGCCCCUGCUGCUAUACAUACUGGACCAAUUACUAGAGCUCAUGCACGCCAACUAAAUUACCAGGUACUUUCGUUUCUUGGUAAUGAUUCUAAUGUUCAUGAGAAUAUGAUGCUGCCUAAAUUGGAUACAUUUGUUUUGCUUACAAAUGAAGGGCCUAGCUUGGAGAAGGAUGAACAUUGGAGCAAGAACAAGCAUGGAGAUGAUGGCAUGCGCAAGGGAAACAAGAACGGAGUUACAAGUGAUGAUUUCAGGACUUUGAAGCCACCAUAAUGGGUGCAUGAAGCCUUGGACGAAAUAUACAAGACGCCACUUCAUAAAUUUCGUCCCGAGGCUAUUUUAGGUGCUACGUCACCUUAUUAUUGGGCCAGGCCCAUGUAAUUUCGAAAUACAUAAGUAUAGGCUAUUUUUAGAGUCCGUAUGUGUGGGGAAACAAGAGAUAGGGUUGAUUUCGGACCCCUCCACCAAGGGCCACGAAAUUCUCCCCCUCUUCCUCCAUAUAUACAGCCCUUAGGGCAUCGUUUAGACUUUGGGUUUUGUUUAGAUUAAAAGUUCGCCAUAGCUGCAACUUCGCGUACUUCGUUUGUGUUCAACGACCAGACAAAGGCGUCACAGAACCCCACCUUGAUCAAUAAAGCUUUCAUCUUAUAUUCGCAAUAUCCAGAUUGCAAUCUUAGUUUCUUGCUUGUUCUUCUUUGCUCGCAGGAAACAGACCCUCGUGGUCAGGUUGAUCGUGCUCCGGCGUGGUCAAUAACCUCUCGGAGUUGGUUUAGCGAUUGCUAAGGCGCGACGUCCUCGCACGUUCGUAGUCGGAUCGUCAAAGUCGACUUCCACCAAAGCGAAAUCCACCAUCUCAUCGAAAGACGGGACACCUUUGCCUCUAUCAACAUACUGGACCAAUUACUAGAGCUCGUGCACGCCAACUAAAUUACCAGGUACUUUCGUUUCUUGGUAAUGAUUCUAAUGUUCAUGAGAAUAUGAUGCUGCCUAAAUUGGAUACAUUUGUUUUGCUUACAAAUGAAGGGCCUAGCUUGGAGAAGGAUGAACAUUGGAGCAAGAACAAGCAUGGAGAUGAUGGCAUGCGCAAGGGGAACAAGAACGGAGUUACAAGUGAUGAUUUCAGGACUUUGAAGCCACCAUAAUGGGUGCAUGAAGCCUUGGACGAAAUAUACAAGAUGCCACUUCAUAAAUUUCGUCCCGAGGCUAUUUUAGGUGCUGCGUCACCUUAUUAUUGGGCCAGGCCCAUGUAAUUUCGAAAUACAUAAGUAUAGGCUAUUUUUAGAGUCCGUAUGUGUGGGGAAACAAGAGAUAGGGUUUAUUUCGGACCCCUCCACCAAGGGCCACGAAAUUCCCCCCCUCUUCCUCCAUAUAUACAGCCCUUAGGGCAUCGUUUAGACUUUGGGUUUUGUUUAGAUUAAAAGUUCGCCAUAGCUGCAACUUCGCGUACUUCGUUUGUGUUCAACGACCAGACAAAGGCGUCACAGAACCCCACCUUGAUCAAUAAAGCUUUCAUCUUAUAUUCGCAAUAUCCAGAUUGCAAUCUUAGUUUCUUUCUUGUUCUUCGUUUGCUCGCAGGAAACAGACCCUCGUGGUCAGGUUGAUCGUGCUCCGGCGUGGUCAAUAACCUCUCGGAGUUGGUUUAGCGAUUGCUAAGGCGCGACGUCCUCGCACGUUCGUAGUCGGAUCGUCAAAGUCGACUUCCACCAAAGCGAUAUCCAUCAUCUCAUCGAAAGACGGGACACCUUUGCCUCUAUCACUUUGUUUUAGGUUUACCUCGAACAAAGAAGGGGAGGGAUAGCAUAUUUGUUGUCGUGGAUAGAUUCUCGAAAAUGGCACACUUUAUACCAUGUCAUAAAAGCGAUGAUGCUGUUAAUGUUGCUGAUUUGUUCUUUCGUGAAAUUAUUCGCUUGCAUGGUGUGCCAAAUACUAUUGUUUCAGAUCGUGAUACUAAAUUUCUUAGCCACUUUUGGAGAUGUUUAUGGGCUAAGUUGGGGACUAAACUGCUUUUUAGUACUACUUGUCACCCCCAAACUGAUGGACAAACUGAAGUAGUCAAUAGAACGUUGUCUACUAUGCUUAGGGUUGUUUUGAAGAAUAAUAAGAAAAUGUGGGAGGAAUGCUUGCCUCAUAUUGAAUUUGCUUAUAAUCAUUCAUUGCAUUCUACUACUAAGAUGUGCCCUUCUGAAGUUGUGUAUGGUUUCCUACCUCGUGCACCUAUUGAUUUGUUGCCUCUUCCAUCUUCGGAGAAGGUUAAUUUUGAUGCUAAACAACAUGCUGAAUUGAUUUUAAAAUGCAUGAGUUAACUAAGGAAAACAUUGAGCGCAUGAAUGCUAAAUAUAAACUUGCUGGAGAUAAGGGUAGAAAACAUGUUGUGUUUGCACCUGGAGAUCUUGUUUGGUUACAUUUGCGUAAGGAUAGAUUUCCUGAUUUGCGCAAAUCAAAGUUAAUGCCACGUGCUGAUGGUCCCUUUAAGGUGUUAGAGAAAAUAAAUGAUAAUGCAUAUAAACUUGAGCUGCCUGCAGAUUUUGGGGUUAGUCCCACUUUUAACAUUGCAGAUUUGAAGCCUUAUUUGGGUGAGGAAGAUGAACUUCCGUCGAGGACGACUUCAUUUCAAGAAGGGGAGGAUGAUGAGGACAUCAAUACAAUUGUUACACCCACAGCCCCUGCUGCUAUACAUACUGGACCAAUUACUAGAGCUCAUGCACGCCAACUAAAUUACCAGGUACUUUCGUUUCUUGGUAAUGAUUCUAAUGUUCAUGAGAAUAUGAUGCUGCCUAAAUUGGAUACAUUUGUUUUGCUUACAAAUGAAGGGCCUAGCUUGGAGAAGGAUGAACAUUGGAGCAAGAACAAGCAUGGAGAUGAUGGUAUGCGCAAGGGAAACAAGAACGGAGUUACAAGUGAUGAUUUCAGGACUUUGAAGCCACCAUAAUGGGUGCAUGAAGCCUUGGACGAAAUAUACAAGACGCCACUUCAUAAAUUUCGUCCCGAGGCUAUUUUAGGUGCUACGUCACCUUAUUAUUGGGCCAGGCCCAUGUAAUUUCGAAAUACAUAAGUAUAGGCUAUUUUUAGAGUCCGUAUGUGUGGGGAAACAAGAGAUAGGGUUGAUUUCGGACCCCUCCACCAAGGGCCACGAAAUUCUCCCCCUCUUCCUCCAUAUAUACAGCCCUUAGGGCAUCGUUUAGACUUUGGGUUUUGUUUAGAUUAAAAGUUCGCCAUAGCUGCAACUUCGCGUACUUCGUUUGUGUUCAACGACCAGACAAAGGCGUCACAGAACCCCACCUUGAUCAAUAAAGCUUUCAUCUUAUAUUCGCAAUAUCCAGAUUGCAAUCUUAGUUUCUUGCUUGUUCUUCGUUUGCUCGCAGGAAACAGACCCUCGUGGUCAGGUUGAUCGUGCUCCGGCGUGGUCAAUAACCUCUCGGAGUUGGUUUAGCGAUUGCUAAGGCGCGACGUCCUCGCACGUUCGUAGUCGGAUCGUCAAAGUCGACUUCCACCAAAGCGAAAUCCACCAUCUCAUCGAAAGACGGGACACCUUUGCCUCUAUCAAGACCCUGCUGAGUGCACAAGAUCAUAGCUAAGGUAACAAGCUAAAUUUCGAAGUCCAUGUGGAACUACUAGUGAGACUGAAGUCUCUCUACAAAAACAUAAAUUAAGAAAACGUGAGUACAAAUGUACCCAGCAAGACAUACAUCAGAACUAGCUACAUAUGCAUCACUAUCAACAAAGGGGGUGGUGGAGUUUAACUGCAGCAAGCCAGCUUUGACUCAGUGGCUAUCCUGAACUACGCCUGCAAAUAACUCUUUUGAGGUGGCGCACACGAGUCCACAUAUUCACCAAUCAAUACACCACUAUGGAUCCGCUUCCGUCUCCCUACGAGAAGGCCAUCCAUAGCACUCACGCUUAUCUUGCACAUUUUAGAGUAUCCACUUUCACUUGUCUAUGAACUAUGUAGGCAACCCAGAGGUCCUUCACUGCGGACCCGACUAUUCAAAUAGAUGAUGUUAACCCUGCAGGGGUGUACUUCUUCACACACACUCUUGCCACUUACCGCCUUGUACACGUUAUGCAUCUCGGCAACCUUCAAGUGGAAGCCUGGCGAGGGUGUCGGCCAUGACCUGACUAACCACACAAGUCCCUAGUCCAGGUUUAUCGCCUAUUCAGGUUCCAUCCGCAGGGAGUCCGGCCGAGGUUUCCACAUACGACCCUGAACGAUGUGUGCAGGGUUCCCAAGGCACCAAACGGGCGUCACGGUACACCGUGCCACGUGCCUAUCAUAUCACAGCCCACCCCUCGGGUCAGCGCUGCGCACGGCCUACAUCAUACUACAAACAACAGAAACUACUUGCAACUCCAGGACAGAGGACAGGGGUGGUUAAUAAGUCAAGAGGAUCCAUUGGUUUCGGGCCCAACACGUGGUAGUAGUUGUUCAUGGAUAACACACAGAAAUCAGUUCUUGAGGACGGUCUCAAUGAGACAACCCACCAUGUACGCCUACAUGGCCUCUCACCGCUACCUUUACCAAAUCGUGUUCACACACUUAGCUCACACACAGUAGGACAUGUUCAUCACCAUUCCAAUUCAUCCCCGAUGAAUCAGACCUGACUCAACUCUAAGUAGUAGCAGGCAUGAUAAACAAGCAUGAAUGAGUAGGCACAUCAGGGCUCAAACAACUCCUACUCAUGCUAGUGGGUUUCAUCUAUUUACUGUGGCAAUGACAGGUCAUGCAGAGGAAAAGGGGUUCAACUACCGCAACAUGUAACAGAUGAAUCGUUGUUGUCCUAAUGCAAUAAAAGAGAGCAAGAGCGAGAGAGUGGGAUUGUAUCAGAAUGAACAAGGGUUUUUUGCUUGCCUGGCACUUCUGAAGAUAGUAUAGCUCUUCAUCGGUGCCAUCGAACUCAUUGUCGGAACACGUCUAUGAUGAGGACAUGACUACCUUGGAUAUGACCAAAAAUAUUGCAUAUAUGCAUAUUUGUCAGGUGAUUUCUAGUGCAAACUAUUCAAUAAUCUAUUUAUGUUAUCCAGAACAAAAAUACUUCACACACUUUUGUGUUUUGUCUAAUUGCAGGUGUAUGGGACAUUUGUACAAUCCACAUAUGAAGAUAAGGAAGAAAGAGAUGUUUAUUUGCUGUCCAAAAAGUUCUCUCACGUCACUUUUGGCCCAAGAGAAGAUAGAGUCCAAGUCUCUCACGUUCUGGUUCAGAUUCGGACUGCACAGACACACCUGAUUCAAAACGGACACAAGUUUUUCAUACGGACUCCGAAUUGGGUGAUUCUUUUUUUGUUGGAAACUAGAUUUCGUGCACUUUCCAACCCAAUUGGAAUCACCUUCAAAUUCGUCCGGAGCGUUGAGUUGUGGACGAAACAAUCUGAUGCUGUAGCAGAAUCCGAGUCAAACUACAAGUCCAAAGGUGUUACAUCACCUCCACUUGGGCCCAUUGGCCUUGUACGACCUAGAUUUAGUUUUAGGAUGCCUUGGGACGUCCUCCCACCUCCUUGGCCGCCACCCCUUGCUCCUAUAUAAGUAGAUCCAUCUAGUAGCUUUUCCUUGGGAUUUGUUUAGUUAAAAGUUAGCCAUUGCAACUUUGUGUACUUCGUUUGUGUCCAACGACCAGACCAAGACCGCUUACGGAUCCCCACCAUUAUCAAUACUUCAUAUAUAUUCGCAAUAUUCAGAUUGCUUUAUCAUAUUCUUGCUCGUUCUUCGAUUGCUUGCAGGAAUAGACCUUCGUGGUCAGGUUGAUCGUGCUCCAGCGUGGUCAAUAACCUCUCGGAGUUGGUUUAGCGAUUGCUAAGGCGCAACGUCGUGCACGUUUGUAGUCGGAUCGUCAAGUCGUCUCCACGAAAUCGAUAGUUAUCAUCUCAUCGAAAGAUCGGGACACCCCGCCUCUAUCAAGUGGUAUCAGUUUUCAGGUUACUCGGUGAGAUUUUAUAGUUUUUCAUAGUUUAGAUCGCAUCUGUCAUUCAUACCUACAGUCCAUGAAAAAGCCAUAAAAUAGUUAGAUCUGUUCAUCAUUUAUCCAAGCCAGUCCGAGCCUUUGCAAUUUUCUAUUCAUUGCUUGCAUAGUUGAAUUAUCGGUUGCAUCGUCGUGUUAGUUGCUGGUCUUAGUGUCUAGUUACUUUAGAGUUUCGAGUUCUGUUCACAUUAGUCACGCCGCCGCUACAUCAUUAUCCCUUCCGCUGUCCACCAUUCCAUCCAUUAAUUUCCACCACGUGCUACGCACUGUUCAUUGUCAUAAUCAUAGUUGAGGUCAUUCACAUCUUCGCCUGAUCCAAUCUGCAUCUUAUCUAGUUUGUCUUGGAAAGAGUGAGAAAAAAAAGAUAGAGGAAAAAAAGAGAGGAAAAAAAAGAAAAAGAGAGAAGAAAAAGAAAAAAAAGCGUGAGAAAAAAAAAGAGAAGAAAAAAAAUCGGAUCUAUCUAGAAUCAAUCUCGUACCUGAAUUCGGAUUGGAAUCUGUUUUGCGCACUGUUCAGUAAAACAGGUGUAUCUUUCUCAUACGAAGUCCGUUUUGGCUCCGUGAGUACUCAAAUUGAAGCUAGCGACGAGCCGCAUCUAAAUAGUUGCAUAAGCUAGUUCAAUAUUUGACACCUCAAAAUCGGCUUCUAAAUAGGUCUUUUUGCCCUCUGAAGUUCGUGAACACCACUUGUUCCAAUUUUUUAGGCCAGUUUUAGAAUUCUUUGACUCCUCAUAUCAACUCGGAAUUGAGUGAUUCUUUUUGCAUUGGAAAGCUUGAGUUAGUAGCAUUCUUUGAAAGAAUUUAUCAGAAACUUGUCUCAAACUUUUCAAGAGGAAAGUUGGAGAGAGAGUUGUUGUAUAUCCUGCUUGGCAGUUGUUUUUCAUCAUUAUCUUCACUGCCGUUGUGAUCUUCACUUAUAUCUUGCUGUCAAGAGCUCCUUAGUAUCCUUCAUUGAUGCUAGUUGUGCUACGCCAUGACCUCAUUAGUGUUCUAGGCUCGCGUCUCUAGUCCGGUCUAGCCUAGGACCAGCACAGUACCGUCGUUGAGCGUUUAUUCAGCAUUGCAUCUUUGAAUUGAUUAUUGCUAAUCUUUUGCUACCAUACAUAGCCAACCCAGCUCCACAUAUUUCUACACCGUGUAUACGUACGCUCCCCUGGCAAUCGCUUUACUCAAUAUUCGGAGUUACUUGACACCGCUGGUUGCCGAUCACCGCCUGCUGCAUGGUAAGAACUUGUAAGACAUUGAUAUUUGCUUUACUGUGAGCGUUUUACCACCACAUCCUAGUAGUUAUAGGAACAUUAUUUUUGGGUUUUGUUUCUUGUUCUACUAAUCAUGACAGGAUCCAGAGUCAAUUCAUGGGCUUUGUCGAUCGCGGGAGACGUGCCACCACCUUUGCAAAUACCACAACCGUCACGAGAGGUGCACAAACAUCCAAAUGCACAUGAUCAGGUUAAUGUAUCUAUACCACCAUUUAAUGGCCGUUUUAAACCUGCUUUAUAUAUUGAAUGGGAGUUCGACAUAAAAAAUAUAUUUGCUUCCCAUAAUUUCAAUGAACAUAAAAAGGUUAAGGUUGCGGUUGGUUCUUUCACUGGUUAUGCUUUGGUUUGGUGGAGUGAAUAUUGUCGGUUACACCCUGAUUAAAUACCUACUACUUGGGAUGAUUUGAAACUUGCCAUGCGACAUACUUUCGUCCCUGCUUAUUAUACUCGUGACAUGAUUAAGAAGUUGCAACACUUAAAACAAGGUAGUGAAACUGUAACAAAAUAUUAUGAUGAUUUACAAACUACCUUGUUGCAUUCCUCUUUAGAAGAAAGUGAAGAUGAUUUUAUGGAUAGAUUUUGGGGAGGAUUAAACCGUGAUAUUCAAGAGAUACUAAUUCAUGAAGAGUGUUAUCCUAUGGACCAUUUGUUUCAUCUUGCUUGCAAAGCUGAACAGGAAAUAAAACGACGUGUUGGCCACGAGGAGAACAAGCGCACAGUGCACAUUCCAAGAGUUGAUAUGAUUGUUCCUUCAACUACUAGGCAUACUAUGACAACCUCAUCCGUUGUUGUCAGGACUACAUCACCUCCACCAUGUGACACAUCGCCCCCGAGAGUGGCUACAUCAUCUGAGUUGAUCAUAAGAGGUAAUGACAAAGGUACUGAUCUUCCAUCUCUACAUGAGAAUGAUGAAUGCCUUGUCAAUUUGAAUGCACCAUCUGAUGAGCUACCCACUACUUUGAUCACACCACCUAUUUUAGAGGACCACGUUGAUAAUUUGACUUUCCCAUGUGAUCAAACAACUGAAAUACCAACAAUUUUGAGUGCACCCAUUGAAUUAACUAUUGAUGCAAAAGAACCAAUGUUUAAUCAUUUUGAUAUGACCUCUAAUCUUGGUGAUGAUUCUGUGUUGAAUGACUUAUUGCAUGUUUGCUUAUUUAAGCAUGUUGUAGCAUGUAAAUUUGAUGCAAGUAAGGUUUAUUCACCAAUGUUGGGAUGGUUUAAUGAUGAACAUUGUCAAUCUUUUGAAAUGAAUAAGAGCUUCACUUAUAUGUGCAAACUGAGUUGCAAUAUUUUCAUGCCUUCUACUUCUUGUGCUAAUUUUUUGGCUUUAGAUUUUAUGAACUAUGCAAGUUACUAAUCUAUUCAUGUGUCAUAUAUGCAAAAAUCAAGGGAAGUAAAAAUGGAUGACAUAUACAUAUACAACAUGUACACCUUGUCUCUUUUGUUAGCCACAUUUCAGAUUAAGCAACGCCGAGGACGGCUUUAUUUUCAAGAAGGGGAGGAUGAUGAGGACAUGACUACCUUGGAUAUGACCAAAAAUAUUGCAUAUAUGCAUAUUUGUCAGGUGAUUUCUAGUGCAAACUAUUCAAUAAUCUAUUUAUGUUAUCCAGAACAAAAAUACUUCACACACUUUUGUGUUUUGUCUAAUUGCAGGUGUAUGGGACAUUUGUACAAUCCACAUAUGAAGAUAAGGAAGAAAGAGAUGUUUAUUUGCUGUCCAAAAAGUUCUCUCACGUCACUUUUGGCCCAAGAGAAGAUAGAGUCCAAGUCUCUCACGUUCUGGAUUCAGAUUCGGACUGCACAGAUACACCUGAUUCAAAACGGACACAAGUUUUUCAUACGGACUCCGAAUUGGGUGAUUCUUUUUUUGUUGGAAACUAGAUUUCGUGCACUUUCCAACCCAAUUGGAAUCACCUUCAAAUUCGUCCGGAGCGUUGAGUUGUGGACGAAACAAUCUGAUGCUGUAGCAGAAUCCGAGUCAAACUACAAGUCCAAAGGUGUUACAUCACCUCCACUUGGGCCCAUUGGCCUUGUACGACCUAGAUUUAGUUUUAGGCUGCCUUGGGACGUCCUCCCACCUCCUUGGCCGCCACCCCUUGCUCCUAUAUAAGUAGAUCCAUCUAGUAGCUUUUCCUUGGGAUUUGUUUAGUUAAAAGUUAGCCAUUGCAACUUCGUGUACUUCGUUUGUGUCCAACGACCAGACCAAGACCGCUUACGGAUCCCCACCAUUAUCAAUACUUCAUAUAUAUUCGCAAUAUUCAGAUUGCUUUAUCAUAUUCUUGCUCGUUCUUCGAUUGCUUGCAGGAAUAGACCUUCGUGGUCAGGUUGAUCGUGCUCCAGCGUGGUCAAUAACCUCUCGGAGUUGGUUUAGCGAUUGCUAAAGCGCAACGUCGUGCACGUUUGUAGUCGGAUCGUCAAAGUCGUCUCCACGAAAUCGAUAGUUAUCAUCUCAUCGAAAGAUCGGGACACCCCGCCUCUAUCAGUCUAUCAAGAGGGAACAACCACCGGCAACAGAGAAGGAACACAAUCAAUGCAAUGCACAAUAUGAUGCAUGAUCAUGACAUGUCAAUAUGCUAUGAUUUGAGCUAGUGUAACUAGCAACAGGUUAAAUGGAGUUGGUUUGAAUCCAAGAUUCAAAUUCAAACUCCAUAUGUGGAUAUUUCAAAUGCCAUUUAUAUGAUUGGUCCUAAACAACAGCUAUAAGUUAUUCUAAUAUGCAUGAAAAUGGUGCAGAUGGAUAGAUCAGAGUUUUUUGAUCAUUUUUCAUAUAUAAAUCUUUUCAUUUGGAGUUACAGAUUAAUUUCCAUGAUUUUUUGAAGUUUACACUAUUUUUUGGAAUUUUCUGAAUUAUUUUAAAUCCAGAAAAUGUUUAACUACGUUAGUAUUGUGCAAGGGUGAUGUCAGCGGGUCAACUGGUCGGCCAGGUCAAACCUGAUCAGUGGUGUCCACACGUCAGCGAUCUAGUCAGUUAACACUGGCAGUUAGUGUUAGGUUUAACCCUAAACCAUAAUUAGCAUGAAGCGGGCCCCACCUGUCAUUGACCUGUGUGGAGACAAAUCAGGUCGAGCUGGGUCAAACCCACCGGCGGUUAAUCGCCGGGGAUGUCAGAGACGGCGCGGUGGCUCGGAAAUCACCCACAGGGCACGGCUUGAGGCACCGUUGGGCUCUCUGGAGAGCCCGUGCGACGGCGCGUCAGGUGGUGGUGGUUGCCGAGCCUAGGGUGGCCGGAAUCAACGUUGGUGACAAGGUCAGCGGCGGCCGUUGUUUGGGUGUGCACGGGGUUGGCGUUCCGGUGCAUAAAUGAGCGAGGCAAAAGGCUAAAAGGGUGCUACGCAUUGCGGGGAGUAGGUUGGACACUCCAGGGUGAGCAUUUGGUCACCGGAGCAUCGCCAAUGGCGAGCUCAGGCGGUAGUGCGUCUCGGUCAUCAAGGGGGUGACGGCUACGGCGAUCAAACCGAGGAGGGGUUAGGGGGGAAAUGACCGGGGGCUCAUCGCGGUCACGAAGAGCUGGUCAGCGGGUUCAGGGAUGGCUGGACGACGUCAGAGCAUCUCCGGCGAUCUAGAGAGCCAAAGGUUGAACACGACGGCGUCGGCGGCGUUCGGGGGCCUUCGGCAUUGCGUAGCUCGGCGAGGAGGUCGAGGGCGACACGGCGAAGCUCAGGGGCACGUCCGUAAGGCGAGGGGGAGGCGGUGGCUGCGAGGGCAAUGAAGGCAGCGACGGUGCCGCUUGGCCGGUGAGAGAGAGAGAGAGAGCCAGGGGACGGGAGAGGCCACGGGUAAGGGAGUGAGAGGUCGGGGGUGCGUGGUGUCGUCUAGAGCCGUCCAGGGUGUCGACAGAAGCAGGAGGUGACCGUCGGUGGCCGCGCGCGUGCUAGCGCACCGCGGACACACGCCCUCGUGCCCACUGGCAUGGGGUUGAGGACGACUGACGCUGGCGAGUGGACUGGGCCGGCUCUACUGGGCCACCAGGUAAGGGGGCUCACAAGUAGUCUCUCUUUCUGUUUUAUUUUCUUUUUUUGUUUUUCUGUCUCUGUUUUCGAUUUAGCAAAAAUGCUAAAUUAUUUAAAUAAACCCUGUAAAUAAUUGUGGGCACUUGUGAAAUUAUUCCCAACAGCCCUCAAGUACUUUUAGAAUUAUUUGGACAUGUAAAAAUAUUUAUAUUAUUUAAAUGUCCAAAUGCAAAUACCUUUAUGGAUUAUUUCAACAAUCCAGAGUGUCCUACAAAAAUGUGCACCAUUUUUUCCAUGGUUUUAGCCCAAACCAGAAAUGAUGAACAUUUUGUGAAGGCCAUUUUGGGUUCUUUGAAACCAAUUUUGGUUGAACCUAGUAAUUCAAAGGGGUGCUAAGGUUUGUUAAAUACCCAUUUCAAGUUUAAACAUUAAAUUUAAACAUGAUGCAACAUGCAAAUCUAACCCAAGUGCAUUAUUGAACUAGGGUUGUGACAAUAUAGCUCCAAGUAAGAUUACCGGUAAUGUUGAAAACAAAAGAGGGGAUGCCUUCCGGAGCAUCCCCAAUCUUAGUUGCUUGGGCCUUGCUUGAAUAUUACCUUGGGGUGCCCUGGGCAUCCCCAAGCUUAGGGUCUUGUCACUCUUAUUCUCCUCAUAUCGAUAUCUCACCCCAAUCUUGAAAAUCACACUAAACUUAACAGAACUUCGUGAGAUAGCUUAGUAUGAUAAAGACAAAUCAUUCACUUUGGUACUGUCAAGAUAAGAUCCAUAAUUGUUCACACACAAUUCCUACUAUACCCUACAAUUUCUAUAAUUUAUGUUGACCAAUAUACGCCAUAGUAACUAUAAACAAGCAAACUAUGCAUUGAAAACAGAAUCUAUGAAAAAAUAGACAUUCUAUAAUGAUCUGGACAAUGACCAUAUUUUUGUUACUCCAAAAUUUCUAAAAACUUAAGACAACAUAGGAAAUUUGUAUAUCCAUCAUCUGUAGAACAUUUAGAAUUUUUUGACACUCUAGUGAUAUUUAACAGUUCUGUUACUGGGCGCAAAAGUUUCUGUUUUUACACAGAAUCAAGUCAACUAUCAUCCACACUAUCCCAAAGGCUUUAUUUGGUACUAUAUUGAAACAAAAGCUAUAAAACAUGAUCGCUAUGGUAUCAUAAUCAUGUGAACACACAAAAGCACUAGGGGUAAAUGCUGGGUUGUCUCCCAAGAAGCACAUUUCUUUAAUGCCUUUUUAGCUAGGCAUGAUGAUUUCAAUGAUGCUCACAUAGAAGAUAAGAAUUGAAACACAAAGAGAGCAUCAUGAAGCAUAUGACUAGCACAUUUAAGCCUAACCCACUUCCUAUGCAUAGGGAUUUUGUCAGCAAACAAUUUAUGGGAGCAAGAAUCAACUAGCAUAGGAAGGCAAAACAAGUAUAACUUCAAAACUUUCAACACAUAGAGAGGAAACUUGAUAUUAUUGAGAUAUGUAGAAGCACAUAUUCUUGUCUCACAAUAAUUUUCAGUAGCAUCAUGAAUGAAUUCGACAAUAUAGCUAUCACAUAAAGCAUUCUUUUCAUGUUCCACAAGCAUAGAAAAAUUAUUUCUCUUCACAUAUGCAAAUUUAUUCUCAUUCAUAUUAGUGAGAGAAAAGUCAACAAAAUAACUAUCACAUGCUACUUGAUUCACAUAAUCAAUUUGAGCAUUAAAACCAUGCCGACAAGUUUCUUAGAUGUCAUUACUCUUUAUAGCAUACAUAUCAUCGCAAUAAUCAUCAUAGAUAGCAACUUUUUUAUAUAGUCAAUUGAAACCUCUUCCAAAAUAGUGGAUUCAUCAUUAAAUAAAGUGACGACCUCACCAAAUCCACUUUUAUCAAUAUUGUAAUAAGAUUCUACACCCUCCAAAAUAGUGGGAUCAUUACCUAAAGUUGACACUCUUCCAAUCCCAUAUCAUCAUUAUAAUCAUCAUAAAUAGGAGGCAUGCAAUCAUCAUAAUAAAUAUUCUCAUCAAAACUUGGGGGACUAAAAAUAUCAUCUUCAUCAAAGAUAGCAUCCCCAAGCUUAUGACCUUACUUAUCAUUAGCAUCAUGGAUAUUCAAAGAAUUCAUACUAAAACACUGCAAUCAUGCUUAUCAUUCAAAGAUUUUAUGCCAAACAUUCUACUGAAUUCGUCUUCUAUCAAUUGAGCACAAUUUUCCUUUCCAUCUUUUUCACGAAAGACAUUAUAAAGAUGAAUAAUAUGAGGCAACCUUAAUACCAUUUUUUGUAGUUUUCCUUUGUAAACCAAGCUAGUGAUUAAACAAGAAACUAAAAGAUCCAAUUGCAAGAUCUAAUAUACCUUGAAGCACUCAUCUCCCCAGUAAUGGCGCCAGAAAAGAGGAUGUCAACUACACAACUUUAUUCUUGUAGACUCGUGUUGGGCCUCCAAGCCCUGAGUUUUGUAGUACAGUAGCAAUUUUCCCUCAAGUGGAUGACCUAAGGUCUAUCAAUCUAUGGGAGGCAUAGGAUGAAGAUGGUCUCUCUCAAACAACCCUGCAACCAAAUACAAGAAAUCUCUUGUGCUCCCAACACGCCAAAUACAAUGGUAAAUUAUAUAGGUGCUAGUUUGGCGAAGAGAUGGUGAUACAAUUGUAGUAUGGAUAGUAGAUAUUGGAUUUUGUAAUAUGAAAUAAAAAGAUCAAGGUAGCAAUUAAUGAAAGUGAGCACAAAUGGUAUAGCGAUGCUUAGAAACAAGGCCUAGGGUUCAUACUUUCGCUAGUGCAAUCUCUCAAUGGUGCUAACAUAAUUGAAUCAUAUGGCAAUCCCUCAACGUGCUAUAAAGAAUCAAUACAAGGUUCUUACCUAGUGGAGAACAUAAGAAGAAUUUUUUUGUAGGGUACGAAACCACCUCAAAGUUUGCAAUAUCGCAAAAUUCUAAAUUUUGGAAUGUUAUAUUAAUUAAUUAAAUUGGAUUGUUUGUUUGAUUGAUUGACUGAAAGUGAGUGAAAUUUGAAACUUUUUGAAAGUUGAAGGAGAGGGAAUAAACAAAUUUUCCCAAAGCUUUCAUCUUUACUUUUGAUCUCCAAUGCAUUCAAAUUCAUUUCAUCACAAAACCCUAGAGUGCAGAAAAUAUGGCUUCUUCCAUUUAAAGAAAUAAAAAGGGAUUUGAAAAUGAUUUGAAUUCCAUUUGAAAAUAUUUCAGGGUCAAAAACUUUGUGCAACUCACUGAUCCUCGUGAGAGAAGAUAAAAUGACGUCUUCAAAUUAGAAGAAAGAGAGUUGGAAGUUUCAAGGAAUCAUUUGGAAAACCAUUUUGAAGUUAUUUGAAUUUCCAAAAUUCAAAUUCUCUGUGCUGAGGACAUCGAUACCAUUGUUACACCCACAGCCCUUGUUGUUAUACAUACUGGACCAAUUACUAGAGCUCACGCGCGCCAAUUGAAUUAUCAGGUACUUUCGUUUCUUGGUAACGAUUCUAAUGUUCAUGAGAAUAUGAUGCUGCCUAAAUUGGAUACAUUUGUUUUGCUUACAAAUGAAGGGCCUAGCUUGGACAAGAAAGAUGAACCUUGGAACAAAUUCAAGCAUGGAGAUGAUGGCAUGCGCAAGGGGGUCAAGAAUGGAGUUACAAGUGAUGAUUUCAGGACUUUGAAGCCACCAUAAGGAGUGCAUGAAGCCUUGGACGAAAUAUACGAGAUGCAACUUCAUAAAUUUCGUCCAGAGGCUAUUUUAGGUGCUGCGUCACCUUAUUAUUGGGCUAGGCCCAUGUAUUUUCGAAAUACUUAAGUAUAGGCUGUUUUUAGAGUCCGUAUGUGUGGGGAAACAAGAGUUAGGGUUGGUUUCGGACCCCUCCUCCAAGGGCCAAGAAAUCCCCCCUCUUCCUCCAUAUAUACAGCCCUUAGGGCGUCGUUUAGACUUCGGUUUUUGUUUAGAUUUAUGUUCGCCAUAGCUGCAACUUCACAUACUUCAUUUGUGUUCAACAACCAGACAAAGGCGUCAUAGAACCCCACCUUGAUCAAUAAAGCUUUCAUCUUAUAUUCGCAAUAUCCAGAUUGCAAUCUCAGUUUCUUACUUGUUCUUCGUUUAAACGCAGGAAACAAACCCUCGUGCUCAGGUUGAUCGUGCUCCGCGCGUGGUCAAUAACCCUCGGAAGUUGGUUUAGCGAUUGCUAAGGUGCGAUGUCUCGCACGUUCGUAGUCGGAUCGUCAAGGUUGACUCCCACAGAAAACGAUAGCCACCAUCUCAUCGAAACAUCGGGACACCUUCGCCUCUAUCACUCCGAAAGUUAUUCAAAAUGAGAGAAGUAAUAUGACACUUCAGAAAUUCAGAGGCAUUUGAAUACAUUUUGAAUGAGGAAAAAUAGAAAAGAGUUGGAAGUGGUUUGAAUUCCAAAUUCGAAACCAUUUAGGAGUUAUUUGGAUUUUAUCCAAAUUAUUUUUCUCCUAAGAAUAAAUAGUGGAAAUAAGGGUAAAAUGAUUAACUUAAAUGGAAACUUUGGAGAAAAUAAUUUUGAAAUCAUUUUGGCAUUUAAAAAAUUAUUUUUAUUGGGUUUUAUCGCAACAACAACAUUAUUUGACUUUCGUGAAUUUUUGUGGAUUUUAUUUGUAUUUGAAAAUAUGUUCCUGUUUUAGGAAUUUUUUUUUGAAUUUUUUGAUAUAUGUAUAUAUGUGUCCUAUAUAAAAUUAAUUUUAUUUUCUCUAUUUAUUUUAUUUUCUUUCUUUCUGUCAAAAAAGCAAAUUCCCAGCGGCCAGGCCAGACGCAGCCAGCAGGCCACGCAACGCCGCAACCAGCGAGCGAGCCACCAGCUGCGCAGACAACGAGACCAGCAAUGCCCCAUGUUCUAAAAAAGGUCGAACGCCCAACCUUAUCAAUAACGACCCGACCUCAAACGGUCAAGCCUCUGUGUAUGUGUGCCAUCCCUGGAUCAGUAUGGUGGCACACACAAUAUAUCAAUGUAUGUAUCAAAGUGCAAUCACAUGUAUAAAUAACGUAAAACUGAUAUAUAUACCUCAUAAGUCUUAGCGGAAGCAAACAAUCAAGUGUGGGGUCCCAUCGACGCCAUCGGCAAGUUGAGUGUAGACCAUAACCUAACAACGAAAAUCACUCAUCGUAGAAAUAAUUGAUGGGGAACGUUGCAUGAAAUUCAAAAAAUUUCCUACAAACACCCAAAAUCUAAUCUAGGAGAUGCACAACAACGAGAGGGGAGUGUGUCUGCAUACCCUUCUAGACCGAAAGCGGAAGCGUAUAUAAUGCGGUUGAUGUAGUCGUAAUCUUCGCGAUCCGAUCACGAUCCAAUCCGAUCUAAUGCCGAAUGGAUGGUACCUCCGUGUUCAGCACACGUGCGGCUCGAUGACGUCUCCUCCUUAUUCAUCCAGCCAGAAAGGGUGGAGAAGUAGAUGGGAUCUCAACUAGCACGACGGUGUGGUGGAGAUGGUGGUGGUGUAGUGCCGGCAGGGCUCCGCCAAUCUGAGGAGAAAACAGAGUAGCAGGAGAGGUAGGGCUGCCGCCGGGGUGUUGGAAUUGGUGUGUUCAGCCCUUCCCUCUUCCCCCCUAUAUAUAGGAGGCAAGGGGGAUGGUUGGGUCCCAGCCUUAGCCCCUCCUCCAUGGAGGAGCGUGGGCCUAGGAAGGUCUCCUCCCUCCCCAAGGCACCUAGGGGGGUGCCUUCCCCCUUAGGACUCUUCCUCCUCCACCACUCGUUGGCGCAUGGAUGUUUUGGGGCUGGUGCCCUUGGCCCAUGUAGGCUAGGACGUCCUCCCUAUAGCCCAUGUUCACCCUGGGGGCAGGUGGACCCCCAGACUCCUUUUGGCACUCCUGGUAUAAUAUCGAUAAUGCCCAAAACUUUUCCGGCGAGCAAAACAGGAAUUCCUAUAUAUAAAUCUUUACCUCCAGACCAUUCCGGAGCUCCUCGUUACAUCCAAGAUCUCAUUCGGGACUCCGAGCAACAUUCAGUCACCAACAUAAAUAUCCCAAUACUACUCUAGUGUCACCGAACGUUAAGCGUGCGGACCCUAUGGGUUCAAGAAUCAAUAACCAAUAGCGGGACCUAGAUGCCCAUAUUGGUUCCCACAUAUUCCACGAAGAUCUUUUAUCGGUUGAACUACGAUGUUGAAGAUUCGGAUAAUCCUGUAUGCAAUUCCCUUUAUCCAGCGAUAUGUUACUUGCCAGAGAUUCGAUCAUCGGUAUCUCCAUACCUAGUUCAAUCUUGUAACCGACAAGUCUCUUUACUCAUUUCGUAAUACAAGAUCUCACGACUAACUCAUUAUCCACAUUGAUUGCAAGCUCUUUACGAUGUUGUAUUACCAAGAGGGCCCAGAGAUAUCUCUCCAUCACACGAAGCGACAAUUCCCAGUCUCGAUCAAUGCAACCCAACAAACACCUUUAGAGAUACCUGUAGAGCACCUUUAUGAUCACCCAGUUAUGAAGUGAUGUUUGAUUGCAUAAAAGGUAAUCCUAUGGUAUCCUGGAGUGGCACGAUCUCAUGGUCGAAGGAACAGAUACUUGACAUGAAGAAAGCUAGAACAAAUAACUUAACGAUCUGAUGCUAAGAUUACAGUUGGGUCUAGUCCAUCACAUCAUUCUUUUAAAAAUGUUAUCCUGUUACCAAAUAACAAUUAAUGUCUAUGGUUAGGAAACCUUAACCAUCUUUGAUCAACGAGCUAGUCUAGAAGAGGCUUACUAGGGACACGAUGUAGUUUAUGUAUUCACACAUGUAUUUAUGUUUCCAGUCAAUACAAUUCUAGCAUGAAUAGUAAAUAUUUAUUAUGAACGGGAAAUAUGAUAAUAAUCAUUUUAUUAUUGCCUCUAGGGCAUAUUUCCAACAGUCUCCCACUUGCACUAGUCAACAAUCUAGUUCACAUUGUUGUGCGAUUAACACCCUAUGAGUUGUGGGGUUUGAUCAUGUUUUCCUUGUGAGAGAGGUUUUAGUCAACGGGUCUGCAACAUUCAGAUCUGUUUGUACUUUGAAAAUCUCUAUGUCAUAAUGUAGAUGCUACUACCCUCCACUUGGAGCUAUUCGAAAUGACUGCUCCACUAUGCGUAUCCGGCUUGCGACUUAGAGUCAUCCGGAUCGGUGUCAAAGCUUGCGUCUAUGUAACCCUUUACGAUGAACUCUUUAUCACCUCCAUACCUGAGAAAAAUUUCCUUAGUCCUCUUUAGGUACCUAAGGAUAUUAUUGGCCGAUGUCCAAUGAUCCACUUCUGGAUCACUCUUGUACCCCCCCUGCCAGACUCAUGGUGAGGCACACAUCAGUUCUGGUACACAGCAUGGUAUACAUUAUAGAGCCUAUGUCUAAGGCAUGGGGGAUGACCUUCAUCCUUUCUCUUUCUUCUAUCGUGGUCGAGCUUUGAGUCUUACUCAACUUCACACCUUACAAUACAAGAAAUAACUCCUUCUUUGACUAAUCCAUUUUGAACUCCUUCAAAAUCUUGUCAAGGUAUGUGCUCUAUGAUAGUCUUAUCAGGCAUCUUGAUCUAUCACUAUAGAUCUUGAUGCCCAAUAUAUAAGUAGCUUUACCCAGAUCUUCCUUUGAAAAACUCCUUUUAAAAAAACCCUUUAUGUUUUCCAGAAAUUCUACAUCAUUUCCAAUCAACAAUAUGUCAUCCACAUAUAUUAUCAAAAAAGCUAUAGAGCUCCGACUCACUUUAUUUUAAAUACAAGUUUCUUCACAAAAUUCCUAUAAUCCCAAAAGCUUUGAUCACAUCAUCAAAGCGUAUAUUCAAACUCUGAGAUGCUUGCACCAGCCAUAGAUGGAUCGCCGGAGCUUGCAUACUUUGUUAGCAUCCUUAGGAUUGACAAAACCUUCCGGUUGCAUCGUAUACAACUCUUCCUUAAGGAAACCAUUAAGGAACACUGUUUUGACGUCCAUCCGCCAGAUCUCAUAGUCGUAAUAUGUGGCAAUUGCUAACAUAAUUCUAACAGACUUAAGCAUCUCUACGUGUGAGAAAAUCUCAUCGUAGUCAACUCCUUGAAUUUGUCCAAAACCCUUUGCGACAAGUCAAGCUUUAUAGACGGUGACAUUACCAUCAUCGUCUGUCUUCUUCUUAAAGAUCCAUUUGUUCUCAAUGGCAUGCCGGUCAUCAGGCAGGUCCACCAAAGUCCAUACUUUGUUCUCAUACAUGGAUCCCAUCUCGGAUUUCAUGGCCUCAAGCCAUUUGUUGAAAUCCGAGAUCAUCGUCGCUUAUUCAUAGUUCAUAGGUUCGUCGUUGUCUAAUCACAUGACUUCCAGGACGGGAUUCGAUACCACUCUGGUGCAGAACAUGUCCUGGUCGGUAGUAACUUGAUCUGAAGUUUCAUGAUCAUCAUCAUUAGCUUCCUCUUCGGUUGGUGUAGGCAUCACGGGAACUGCUUUCUGUGAUGUGCUACUCUCCAGUUUGAGAGAAGGUAUGGUUACCUCAUCAAGUUCUAGUUUCCUCCCACUCACAUCUUUCGAGAGAAACUCCUUAUCUAGAAAGGACCCAUUCUUAGCAACAAAAAUGUUUCCCUCAGAUCUGUAAUAGAAGGUAUACCCAGUGGUCUCUUUACGGUAUCCUAUGAAGACACAUUUCUCUGCUUUGGGUUCGAGCUUAUCAGGCUGAAGCCUCUUGACAUAAGCGUCGCGUCCCCAAACUUUAAGAAAUGAUAGCUUAGGUUUCUUGCCAAACCACAACUCAUAUAGUGUCAUCUCAAUAGACUUAGACGGUGCCCUAUUUAAAGUGAAUGUGCCUAUCUCUAAUGCAUCACCCCGAAAUGAUAGUGGAAAAUUGGAAAGACACAUCAUAGAACGCACCAUAUCCAAUAAAGUACGGUUAUGACAUUCGGACACACCAUUAUGCUGUGGUGUUCCAGGUGGUGUUAGUUGUGAAACAAUUCCACAUUCUCUUAAAUGAGUGCCAAACUCAUACUCAAAUAUUCACCUCCACAAUCAGAUCGUAGAAACAUUAUUUUCUUGUUAUGACGAUUAUCCACUUCACUCUGAAAUUGCUUGAACUUUUCAAAUGUUUCAGACUUCUGUUUCCUUAAGUAAAUAUACCCAUAUAUACUCAAAUCAUCUGUGAAGGUAAUAAAAUAACGAUAUCCAUCGCAUGCUUCAACACUCAUCGGACCGCAUACAUCGGUAUGUACUAUUUCCAAUAAGUCACUAGCUCGCCCAUAAGGCAUGGUUCACAUGUCUCAAGUGAUUCAUAAUCAAGAGAUUCCAAAAGUCAAUCAGCAUGGAGUUUCUUCAUUCGCUUUAGACUAAUAUGACCUAAGAGGCAGUGCCACAAACAUGUGGUACUAUCAUUAUUAACUUUGCAUCUUUUGGCAUCAAUAUUAUAAAUAUGUGUAUCACUACAAUCGAGAUUCAACAAGAAUAAACCAUUCACAAGGGGUGCACGACCAUAAAAGAUAUUACUCAUAUAAAUAGAAUAACCAUUAUUCUUGGACUUAAAUGAAUAACCAUCUUGCAAUAAACAAUAUCCAGAUAUAAUGUCUUAUGAUCAACACAAGCACUAAAUGGCCAUUAUUUAGGUUUAAUACUAGUACCAAAGGUAUUACAAGCGUGUCGAUGGUGAUCAUAUCAACCCUGGAGACACUUCCAACACUCAUCAUCACCUUUCCCUCAGCUAGUCUCUGUUACUCCGUAGCUCCUGGUCCGAGUUACUAAUAUUAGCAACUGAAUAGGUAUAAAAUACCCAGAUGCUACUACUAGCACUAGUGAGGUACACAUCAAUAACGUGUAUAUCAAAUAUACCUUUGUUGACAUUAAUAGGCUUCUUAUCUGCCAAGUACUUGGAGCAGUUCCGCUUCCAGUGACCAUUCCCCUUGUAGUAGAAGCACUCAGUCUCGGGUUUAGCUUUAGCCUUGGGAUUCUUCGUGGGAGCAGUAACUGCCUUGCCAUUCUUCUUGAAGUUCCCUUUCUUUCCUUUUCCCUCCUUGAAACCAGUGGUCUCAUUGACCAUCAACACUUGAUGCUCUUUCUUGAUUCUACCUCCAUGGCCUGAAACACCGUGAAGAGCUUAGGGAUCGUUUUCUCAUCCCUUGCAUAUUAUAGUUCAUCACGAACCCUUAUGGCUUGGUGACUGGAAAACAUAAUCAACUAUUGUCUUAUCUUCAAGAUUAACUCCCACUUGAUUCAAGCGAUUGUAGCACCUAGACACUCUGAGCACAUGCUCACCAACUGAGUUGUUCUCCUCCAUCUUGCAGCUAAAUAACUUGUCAGAGGUGUCAUACCUCUCAACCCGGGCAUGAACUUGAAAUACUAAUUUCAGUUCCUGGAACAUCUCACAUGCUCCAUGGUUCUAAAAACGUCUUUCAAGCCCCAGUUCUAAGCCAUAAAGCAUGGCGCACUAAACUAUCGAGUAGUCAUUAGAACAUGCCUGCCAGACGUUCACAACAUCCACAGAUGAUGCUAGAGGGGUUGGCACACCGAGCGGUGCAUCAAGGACAUAAGCCUUCUGUGCAGCAGUGAGGACAAUCCUCAGACUACGGACCUAGUCCACAUAAUUGCUUUCAACUUAGCCUUUCUCUAGGAACAUAUUAAAAAUAGGGAGCUACAUCGCAAGUACUGAUCUACAACAUAAGUUGCAAAGAAAAUUUAGACUAUGUUCAUGAUAAUUAGUUCAGUUAAUCAAAUUACUAAUGAACUCCCACUUAAAUCAACAUCCCUCAAGUUGUCUAAGUGAUACAUGAUCCAAGUCAACUAACCCAUGACCGACCAUCACGUGAGAUGGGGUAGUCAUCAAUGGUGAACAUCUCCAUGUUGAUCAUAUCUACUAUAUGACUCAUGUUCGGCCUUUCGGUAUUCUGUGUUCCGAGGCCAUGUUUGUACAUGCUAGGCUCGUCAAGUUUAACCCAAGUAUUCCACAUGUGUAAAACUUGCUUACACCCGUUGUAUGCGAACAUAGAGUCUAUCACACUGAAUCAUCAUGUGGUGCUUCAAAACGAUGAACUUUCGCAACUAUACAUAUAAAGGGAGAACACCUUUUAUCUUGAAAUUAAGUGAAGGGCUAUCUUAUAAUGCUACCUGUAGGAACGAAGUAUGUCUACCAGAGGGGGAGGGGGUGAAUGGGAGUUUUAAUUUUUCUUCGGAAAAAUCAAAACUCUCGGAACCCAGCAGCCGAAUGUAAACAGAAUACAACGAGUGAAUGUAAAUUAAAAGCAUGCAUCGAGACAUAUCACAAGAUAGAAACAAUUCGAAAGUAAAGAGGAGAAGCAGUGGUAACCAGUGAUGCUCGAUGGCGACAAGGAAUUUGGUAGACCAGUUCACCCUUCUGCACAAGGUCUGGUUGGAGGGGUUGUGAUUUAACAUAGAACAUAAACUCGCUUCGCCCUAUUCUCCUUGACAAUUGGUUCGUCAACCAAUGUCGAUCACCCAUAGUAGAUACUUGAGGCGAUCUCCAAACCUUUAUAGACUUCAUCGAGAACCACAAUUACUCUUAGUUUCUAAAUAAAUUGACACCUAACCAUCUAGAGAGUUUGCAGCUCUCAAGACUAAUAGGCGGAGCAUACUAGACUUAGAUUCGAGUGAUGCUGAAACACUAUCUAAUUUUUUGACUCUAGGGUUUUCUCUCGGUGGAUUUUAAACUCAAAUCACUCUGGAGAGGGGUUGCUCAACAAUCUUCUCACAAUCAAAUGGAGCAGCCACCGGACAACGCUGGCGCAGGGUUGCUAUUUAUAGCCGCAACCUUCCCUGGUGGGAAAUGACCAUUUUGGACACGCGGUCCAGCCAAUGGCCAACCGACACAUUUACAACUAUCGGAUUUUAAGAGCAACAGUAACAUUACUUGCAGACCAAGUAGUACUAACUCCUAGGUCCGAGACAAAUCUCUCAUAGUGAAGAAUAUCACAGUGUCUUGCUAGCAAGUAUUUGCUCGGAACACAAAUAGGUUUCUCCAGAAACUUUCACUAGAUUUGGGUUUAGUAUCAGAGAAUCAAACGCUACACCCCUUUUAAUAGUACGGUGGUCCUGUGACUCAAUAAAGAAGAAAGAAACAAUGAAAUAAAUGCUAUGUCUUCACUCCGUCUACAAUCUUCUCGUAAGCAUUCACUUCCUUCAGACAAUCAUCGAACCAAUUGCUUCGCGUUAGCAAUUUUUGAGGGGGCACUCCUGUUAUCAUAAUCUUCGGCGGUAACCUUCGCUGUCACGUAGGUGAUUAUCUUCAUCGUUUGAAUCAAACUCCUCUUAUUCCAGGGACCUGUUACUCUGUGUGCACUAGCAAACACAAAAGUCCCAUACUAUUUAUGUCAACAAACUCCAAAACACGAGGAGGCAAAUUAUUGCAGCAACAAUCUCCCCCUUUUUGGAUGGUUGUUGACAAAACAGAUAACCAUCAAAGUGAAGAUAGAUAAAUAAUAGGUAAUUCAAACAAGAGUGAAUAAGUGUUACUUUGCUCGAUGAUGAAAUAGACUCCCCCUAAAUGUAUGUAGGAAUAAUAAUAUGAGAUUAAUUCUCCCACAAAUAUUGAACUAUACAGAGGAAAUUUCCAAUCACCCGAGUCAAUUAUUCGCACUGAUGAUAUAAAAUCCAUCGAGAUUGUAGUGCAAUCAUUCAGAACUUCCGAUAAUAAUUCCACCUGCAAAACAAAUGCUUCAAGAGAAAUAGUGCAGCAGGUAGGGUUAUUAAUAUUACAACACAGAAGUCUUACAACUUAGAGCAAAUAAGUUUAUACCAGAAGUUCAAACUUGCACAAAACCAAAACAAGGAAACACAGAAAGAAAAUCUAUCGAGACUUGAUGUAAUUCUCCCCCUUUUGUCUACUAGUGUCAAAAAGGUGAAGAAUAACAUGAGUGCAAAACACAGACCUUGGUUCACUCGGUGGCAUCUCCAGAAGAAUUGUCCAAGGUGAUUUCGUUUCUAGAAGUGACUGGAUUGGCUUUGUCUUCAGCAACAUCAUAUUUUCCUUCAGGGAUAACAACUCAGCCACAUGAGGAACAUGAGAUAGCGCAUUGCCUUCGGCAAGUUUCUCUGUCAGCGAAGUGGCUUCAUAUUCUUCGAGCAAUUUGCGAAGCUUGAUAUUAAGAAGAUCAGUAGUUGUCUCACGAACAGGAAGAGGAGGGGUACUCAUAUCUUGGAAAUCUUCAACAUUGAAGCCUUUGUCAAUGUAAUCAUAGAGAUCUUUGAGAUUGACAUUCAGGAGUUGUUUAUUGGUAAAGAACUUGCGAAGAAAUUUCCAGAGCCUCUUCUUGUUUUCAUCCGCAAUUAGAUGCGCAAUCCUAGUGCAAUUGUAGAGAGCAUUUAGCUCAACGGCGAGGUGUUCUUUUUUGCGCCGAUCCUUCUCUAUGUGCUUCAACAACAGUUGUUAUGUAUGCAAACUGAAUUCGAGUUGCGAUGGAGGUUGAGGCGAAAUCUGUCAUUCACGCUGAGGGAGAUGUGGCCCUUCAAAAUGCUUGGGACAAUCAUGAGGGCUUAACGUAGGUGAUUUGUCCGAAGAAAUAUCUUCCAUAACUGGCAAGGUAUCAUGAAUAGGAGGUAUGAAGCUUUUAUGACUAACUUACGCCAGAUACUCUAUACGCAUAGCAUGGUCAAUCACUUUCUGGAUCCAUGGUGCAAACACUUUGAUGCAGAAGGGAUAUUGAGCAGAAUCCUUCAGAGUCCACAGAAAAAUGUCCUCAACAUCGAAGAUAUACUGCUUAGAUAUGGCAUACAUAUUGUUCCGAAGAAUAUCUAGGAUGGACUUAUCUACAUUCAUCCCGGCCAGAGGGAAAAUAGUGUAAGAGAGCUUAUUAUAUAUCUUUUGAUACUCAAACGUUAAAUGCUCAGGAUGGGGAGGACUAGUGUAGUCACGAAUCUUUCCUGGAUCCAUAGUGUGCUGAAAGGUUUCAUAUGAUAUGACAUCAAUGUUGUGCACACGAAUUUCAGUAUAACCAUGCUCUAAGCGAGGGAAAUGGAAGUGCAAGACAAAAUCUGUUGAAGUGCAUUUGAUGCAUUUUCCUUCGGUCAUCCACUCCAUAAUCUAUUUUGAGCUGUCAGAUUCAUCACUAGAGAUAUACGGAGUAGCAUCAAACUGAAGAAUAAUCUCUCUAUUCCAAGGAUGCUCAAACUUGAAUACCUUGGUGAGGCAGAAAUCAUCCAAAUAUUGCAGCAACUGAUUGAAGUAGCCAAUAUUACACAUAGUAGGGAUGUCCAGAUAUUCAUGUGGAAAGAUCUUCCUUCUCUCAUGGAGGACCUGAGUGUAAUAUAUGGCAUGUUCCUUAGUCCAGAAGCGACGUGAUUCCCAAGUGCACGGCCCACCAUAUGGACUAUCUUGAAAGAAUUUGGGGUGCGCAUUCCGAUUGAAAGGAGGACCUUUGGGGCCAUCUCCCGACGAGAAUAACGACAGUUCUUCAUGAGGAUAUGGAUAUUUGAGUUCAUCUUCACGUGAAAGAAAAUCGUAGCCAUAUACAAUGGAGUCAGUGCAACGAGCAGAAACAUUUUUUUUCUCGGAGGGACCAACAUCUUGCAUUUUCCUUGCUGUGUCGACAGAUAACUUAAUGUGAGAAGGAGCUGGUUGCACAAUAGUGGAGCUGCAGAGCCAAUAGACAUUUGAGCGGAUUCCUUGAUUGUAGGCACUAAGGCCGAAUCAAGCACUGGAGGCUGUUGAGGUUCGUCCGCUGGAAUCUUAUGUUGUUGUUGAGCAAUUUCAUGAGCCAGAGAAGCAUUGGGUCAGAGCGAGGGAUUUCUCAUUCCUCGGAAACAUUUUUCUGGGGUGGAAUAUCAGCUUGAACAGGGGAGGCCACAUGCACUGAUUCAGUUGGCCUUGGUGAGGGAGGAGCGUCCGAGUCUCUCACAGGAGAAUGCAAAGGAAUAACUGGCUCAGGAGAUUUUUCUUUCUGGGACCGAGCCUCUGGUUGUUCAGGUGACUUUUCUGUCAUAACAUGAGGUACAUUUUUCUUUUCAAUCUUCUUUUGUUCUUCUUCUUUUGCUAAGCAACUUGAUCAAUGUGGCCUUUGACCAGAUCAUUAUAGCCAGGAACUUCUUCACAACAUUGCCAUCUUUCCAUCUUGAUGAUUUUCAUUUUGGGCAUUCACUUAAGUUGGAAUAAUCCUUCCAGAACAGAAUACAAUUAUUCUUACAAACAUGGGUCAUAUCAUAUCCAAUUCCAACUGCACGAAGGAAAUUCUUCAUUUUACUGUAGGUGUGUGGAAGCUCAGACGCAUCUGGGAAAGAUUUGCGGAAAGUAGCCAACAUCGCAUCGAAUGAUUUGUUGGUCAUCCACUCAGAUGUCUCCACCUGAAGAAAGGUGACCAUAGCUGAGAAUACUGACAGCUUAUUUCCUGGCAUGACAGCUACAUUGCAUUGUUCCAACAUGUGGGCCCACCAUUUUUCUUCCACAGGUGAAAGUUCACGAAAUGCACAAGCAUUUCGUAGCAUUGUUUCAAUGUUUGUCAAACUCACUGGCUCCUCCACCACCACCUCCUCCUCCUCUUCCACUUGAGCAUUAGGCAGAUCAAGAUGGUAAUCUGCUGCUUCCACAUAGUCAGUAACAUUGACGUUCACAACAUCACAAUGAUGAACCCACCUAGUAUAUGUGACCGACAUACCAAACAAGUGUAGAUGAUUUUGCACAGUUGAGUGGGGUCUUGUAACUAAAUUAAUACAACUACUACACGGGCAGAGCACAUCUGAUUUCGGACCACCGUACUCAGCUCUGAUAAAGUUCAUGAAGUUUUCAACCCCCUCAACAUAUGAAGCGGAGAAUCUUCGAGUAGAAGUAGUCCAAGUCCUGUCCAUUUGUUAGACAUACAAAUUAGUUCUUCUACUAGAUAUUACAUGAAAAACAUAUAUGCUUUUCUAUGAAGUCUAGAAAAAAAUACCUAGGUCGAUGUCUAAAGCUAUGGCAAGAUAUUUGGACAACCAGAUCUAAGUACCGAAAUAUAUGUAAAGCUAAUUCAGCAAAUAGAUUUGAGUGCUAAAUUAUGGUAGGUUGUUUCAGCAGUCAAUGAGGCCGAGCACACAAUCAUCAAAGGCCAUCUCAGCAACAAAGAUCGAUUAUAAAAUAGUGUAGAGCUAUUUCACCUAACAGUUUGGCUACUAGACCAUGGCAAUCUACGUCACAAUAAAUAUAUGGCAGGAUAUUUUAGCAACUAAUCGGGCUCGGCACGCCAUCUCAGCUAAGCAGAUUCAGUGCAGAACAGGGCAAGGAAGCUUCUUAAGAAGAGCAUAUUGACUGUAAACUACUUUGUCAAAUAGUGAGAUUAACUGAGUCUAUCGGCUAACAUUCAACACUACUCCGACAUGCACGGGGCAUCAGUCUAGAGUGCGCAUACCGUGGGAAAAGCUGACCGCCAUGCAUCUCCUCAAGAACGUCGGCAGCGGUGACGGCGCUAACGCCAUGCGUCUCCAGAAGAACGUCGCCAACGGUGGUGGCGCGACUAGAGGACGUCAGUCUACGAGAGCGUACAGUGGGAGCAAGAGGAUCGUCAUGCGUCCCCUAGACGAACCGUGGCGCCAAGGUAUUGGUGCGGUGGGGAGGGCGACUUUGGCGGAGCGAAUGNNNNNNNNNNNNNNNNNNNNNNNNNNNNNNNNNNNNNNNNNNNNNNNNNNNNNNNNNNNNNNNNNNNNNNNNNNNNNNNNNNNNNNNNNNNNNNNNNNNNNNNNNNNNNNNNNNNNNNNNNNNNNNNNNNNNNNNNNNNNNNNNNNNNNNNNNNNNNNNNNNNNNNNNNNNNNNNNNNNNNNNNNNNNNNNNNNNNGGGGAUUUUUGGGGUGGAUUUUCGCGUGGUGGGCGGGGGGAGUUUGAAGCAUGGUCGGUUUCUCCAAGUGCAGUCCCACGUGUCAGUGAAGAGGCAAGCCGAACUGCGUUCUAUUUGCGUGAGCCGUGUGCAGGACCGACCAUGUGUGGGGUGCAAUGCGACCGCGACAGGCGUGCUAUGUGUGUACCACCUUUUUCCCUAUUAAACUUGGUGCUUCGCCCCCUCAAAAAAAAACCUUGGUGCUUCGCGCGAUCCAUCGAUACUACUACUAGUAAUCCGGUAAUCCCAAGUAAAACGGAGCGGCCGGGUCUUUUCCCGUGUGAUAUGCUGGGAGGUUGGCUUAGUUGGUUUUUUAGGACGAGUAAUGGUACACCUACGUAAUCCCAGUUACGUAAUUAAUGUAAUGUGAAACAUGUGAGCUGUUGAUUGUAGAUUGGAUGGAGGGAUGGGCCCACCACCAUGAUAAUCAGGGGGGAGAGAGAGGCAAUAUAUGUUAACACUUUCGUAAGCUCCCGUAGAUGUAGAAAGAUGUGAAAUGCGUGAAUGUGUAGUGGACGUACUAUUGGAGUGCCUAGGAUAAAUUGUGUAUGUAGACCCUAUGUGUUUAUUUACUUCCCAUGUUAGCUUUGUCUCGGGUCAAACCUUCUAAGUUUAUACACACAAAAAUGAAUCAUCAUUCCAGAUACUCCUACAGUAUAUCUUACUAUUAUUCGUCAUAUACACCAGACGAGAUUAAUGCAAACACCAUUACAUUUCAAACUUUUAUAGGACAGAAAAAUAAAAGAAACCCGACCCUAAACCUAUUCUACGGCGGUGACCGACGUCCUCCAUCUGUGAUCUCCAUGUACGGGGUUGGGGUUCAAGACCCGUGAAGCGAAGGUGCGGUCUCCGAUGAGGAACAAUAGACCACGUGAGAUGGACCGGCCAGUUGGCACACCAUGCCAUGCCGCCUCUCAUGCCCUACUCAUCCCCGGAGGAGUCCCCGACCUCGGUGGUGCCGGUGGAUGUGAGGUCGAUGAUGAUGGACAUGGACGGUCCAUCGCUUCACCUGCCACAUGCGCCACCAAGCGUUGGACGGUGACAAGUAGGACGCGUUUCCCGCCCCUUGGCCUGGCGAAAAUUGGCCUUUAGUAUGGGUUGGUGGCUCCAACCAGUACUAAAGACCCCUCCUAUAUAUAUGGCACUUACAAAAAAACAGUUUCAUCGACCACCAGUACUUCUUCUCGAUCCAACUUCUUCGCCGCGCCCGUCGCCCAUCGCGCGCCGCCCCCGCCGCCCGUCGUCGCCAUCACCGCCGUCNNNNNNNNNNNNNNNNNNNNNNNNNNNNNNNNNNNNNNNNNNNNNNNNNNNNNNNNNNNNNNNNNNNNNNNNNNNNNNNNNNNNNNNNNNNNNNNNNNNNNNNNNNNNNNNNNNNNNNNNNNNNNNNNNNNNNNNNNNNNNNNNNNNNNNNNNNNNNNNNNNNNNNNNNNNNNNNNNNNNNNNNNNNNNNNNNNNNNNNNNNNNNNNNNNNNNNNNNNNNNNNNNNNNNNNNNNNNNNNNNNNNNNNNNNNNNNNNNNNNNNNNNNNNNNNNNNNNNNNNNNNNNNNNNNNNNNNNNNNNNNNNNNNNNNNNNNNNNNNNNNNNNNNNNNNNNNNNNNNNNNNNNNNNNNNNNNNNNNNNNNNNNNNNNNNNNNNNNNNNNNNNNNNNNNNNNNNNNNNNNNNNNNNNNNNNNNNNNNNNNNNNNNNNNNNNNNNNNNNNNNNNNNNNNNNNNNNNNNNNNNNNNNNNNNNNNNNNNNNNNNNNNNNNNNNNNNNNNNNNNNNNNNNNNNNNNNNNNNNNNNNNNNNNNNNNNNNNNNNNNNNNNNNNNNNNNNNNNNNNNNNNNNNNNNNNNNNNNNNNNNNNNNNNNNNNNNNNNNNNNNNNNNNNNNNNNNNNNNNNNNNNNNNNNNNNNNNNNNNNNNNNNNNNNNNNNNNNNNNNNNNNNNNNNNNNNNNNNNNNNNNNNNNNNNNNNNNNNNNNNNNNNNNNNNNNNNNNNNNNNNNNNNNNNNNNNNNNNNNNNNNNNNNNNNNNNNNNNNNNNNNNNNNNNNNNNNNNNNNNNNNNNNNNNNNNNNNNNNNNNNNNNNNNNNNNNNNNNNNNNNNNNNNNNNNNNNNNNNNNNNNNNNNNNNNNNNNNNNNNNNNNNNNNNNNNNNNNNNNNNNNNNNNNNNNNNNNNNNNNNNNNNNNNNNNNNNNNNNNNNNNNNNNNNNNNNNNNNNNNNNNNNNNNNNNNNNNNNNNNNNNNNNNNNNNNNNNNNNNNNNNNNNNNNNNNNNNNNNNNNNNNNNNNNNNNNNNNNNNNNNNNNNNNNNNNNNNNNNNNNNNNNNNNNNNNNNNNNNNNNNNNNNNNNNNNNNNNNNNNNNNNNNNNNNNNNNNNNNNNNNNNNNNNNGUUUAAUGUUUCACCUAUAUAUGAACAUUUGUUAGAUAUUAAUGUCAAAUGUUAGAUGAAUUAGAUAUAAAUUAUAUGUUAGAUAUAUAUUUAAUUUAGUUAUGUGAGAUUUCAUUAUCUAAUUAACAUUUUAUUAUAUAGAACUAGCUACCUUAUUUUUAGUAAGAAAAUUAAUAGAACUAGUUUAGUUGAAUUAAUUAGUUGAACUAGUUAGUUGAAUUAGUUCAAUUAAUUAGGUAUAUUCUUCGUAAGUGCUUAGUUGAAUUAGUUCAAUUAAUUAGUUGAACUAGUUGAAUUAACAGAAUUAGUUGAAUUAAUAGAACUAAUAAGUGUUUAAUGUUUCACCUAUGAACAUAGGAAUGUCGUCUGACGACGAACACGAUUUCAUUAUGUGCGAAUACUGCGAAGACCAGCGCGGUCUGUGUAGCAGAAAUUUUCUAGUUGAUGAUAGACGCUUCAGCAUCAAGCUGGAUGAGAACUUCGAAGUGGAUACAGUAAGUCACAACGACAAGUCAUUUUUCAUAAUUAAGCAUGACUUAUGCUUCAUUUGCUUCAACUUUUAAUUUUAAUUUUUCACUAUUCUACUAGCGUAUCCCCUGCCAUGCAAGAAUUUUUGUCUUGGAUAAGAUAGGUUUCAGUCCUAAUGAAACUAUGGAGGUAAAAAGAGUUUACUUGAAGACCGAGCAUGGUUAUACCUUCAACGUCAAAUUAUACAAUGCUGACACAUACCCCUAUUUUGAAUGCAAAACUUGGCAAGCACUAUGCAAGGCUUAUGUAUUUGAGCCUGAUAUGGUUAUCACCUUUGAUAUUCGUCAGGAAGAUGAUAUUGAAGGUAAUAGAGACAUCUGGGUCGAUGUGCAGACGCCUCCAGUUCUACCAUUAUGUGAGUUUCUCAACCAUAUUUAUGUCUUCGAUAUGAGAUUAUUUGAACCAGUUGAAUAAUUAAUAGAUCUCAAUUUAUAUUGACAACUUACUUCCAAUCAAGAAAACAUGUCCGACGCUUGGUAGACAGGACCGUCCACUGUCCUGGGGCUGAACUAAACUGCGAGGAGACAAGUCAUUAUGUUUCAUGGCUUGAGGAUCUGAUAGAGGCAAAGGUGUCUCGUCUUUCGAUGAGAUGGUGGAUUUCGCUUUGGUGGAAGUCGACUUUGACGAUCCGACUACGAACGUGCGAGGACGUCGCGCCUUAGCAAUCGCUAAACCAACUCCGAGAGGUUAUUGACCACGCCGGAGCACGAUCAACCUGACCACGAGGGUCUGUUUCCUGCGAGCAAACGAAGAACAAGCAAGAAACUAAGAUUGCAAUCUGGAUAUUGCGAAUAUAAGAUGAAAGCUUUAUUGAUCAAGAUGGGGUUCUGUGACGCCUUUGUUUGGUCGUUGAACACAAACGAAGUACGCGAAGUUGCAGCUAUGGCGAACUUUUAAUCUAAACAAAACCCAAAGUCUAAACGAUGCCCUAAGGGCUGUAUAUAUGGAGGAAGAGGGGGGAAUUUCGUGGCCCUUGGUGGAGGGGUCCGAAAUCAACCCUAUCUCUUGUUUCCCCACACAUACGGACUCUAAAAAUAGCCUAUACUUAUGUAUUUCGAAAUUACAUGGGCCUGGCCCAAUAAUAAGGUGACGCAGCACCUAAAAUAGCCUCGGGACGAAAUUUAGGAAGUGGCAUCUUGUAUAUUUCGUCCAAGGCUUCACGCACCCAUUAUGGUGGCUUCCUGAAAUCAUCACUUGUAACUCCGUUCUUGCUCCCCUUGCGCACGCCAUCAUCUCCAUGCUUGUUCUUGCUCCAAUGUUCAUCCUUCUCCAAGCUAGGCCCUUCAUUUGUAAGCAAAACAAAUGUAUCCAAUUUAGGAAGCAUCAUAUUCUCAUGAACAUUAGAAUCAUUACCAAGAAACGAAAGUACCUGGUAAUUUAGUUGGCGUGCACGAGCUCUAGUAAUUGGUCCAGUAUGUAUAGCAGCAGGGGUUGUGGGUGUAACAAUUGUAUUGAUGUCCUCAUCAUCCUCCCCUUCUUGAAAUGAAGUCGUCCUCGACGGAAGUUCAUCUUGCUCACCCAAAUAAGGCUUCAAAUCUGCAAUGUUAAAAGUGGGACUAACCCCAAAAUCUGCAGGCAGCUCAAGUUUAUAUGCAUUAUCAUUUAUUUUCUCUAACACCUUAAAGGGACCAUGAGCACGUGGCAUUAGCUUUGAUUUGCGCAAAUCAGGAAAUCUAUCCUUACGCAAAUGUAACCAAACAAGAUCUCCAGGUGCAAACACAACAUGUUUUCUACCCUUAUCUCCAGCAAGUUUAUAUUUAGCAUUCAUAUGCUCAAUGUUUUCCUUAGUUAACUCAUGCAUUUUUAAAAUCAAUUCAGCACGUUGUUUAGCAUCAAAAUUAACCUUCUCCGAAGAUGGAAGAGGCAACAAACCAAUAGGUGCACGAGGUAGGAAACCAUACACAACUUCAAAAGGGCACAUCUUAGUAGUAGAAUGCAAUGAACGAUUAUAAGCAAAUUCAAUAUGAGGCAAGCAUUCCUCCCACAUUUUCUUAUUAUUCUUCAAAACAGCCCUAAGCAUAGUAGACAACGUUCUAUUGACUACUUCAGUUUGUCCAUCAGUUUGGGGGUGACAAGUAGUACUAAAAAGGAGUUUAGUCCCCAACUUAGCCCAUAAACAUCUCCAAAAGUGGCUAAGAAAUUUAGUAUCACGAUCUGAAACAAUAGUAUUUGGCACACCAUGCAAGCGAAUAAUUUCACGAAAGAACAAAUCAGCAACAUUAACAGCAUCAUCGCUUUUAUGACAUGGUAUAAAGUGUGCCAUUUUCGAGAAUCUAUCCACGACAACAAAUAUGCUAUCCCUCCCCUUCUUUGUUCGAGGUAAACCUAAAACAAAGUCCAUAGAUAUAUCCUCCCAAGGAACACUAGGUACAGGCAAAGGCAUAUAUAAACCAUGAGGAUUGAGUCGUGACUUAGCUUUUUGACAUGUAGUGCAGCGAGCAAUAAAACGCUCAACAUCCCGUCUCAUCUUUGGCCAAAAGAAAUGUGUAGCAAGUACGUCCUCCGUCUUCUUCACGCCAAAGUGUCCCAUUAAUCCUCCUCCAUGCGCCUCCUACAACAACAAAAGACGAACGGAGCUAGCUGGAAUGCAUAGCUUGUUAGCACGAAACACAAAUCCAUCGUUAACAAAAAACUUGUUCCACAUUCUUCCUUCUUUACAAUUCUGCAUUACAUCUUUAAAAUCAGCAUCAUGCACAUAUUGAUCUUUGAUGGUCUCCAAACCAAAUAUUUUGAAGUCAAGUUGUGAAAGCAUAGUAUAGCGACGAGACAAUGCAUCAACAAUAACAUUUUCUUUUCCCUUCUUGUGUUUAAUGACAUAAGGGAAAGUCUCAAUGAAUUCAACCCAUUUAGCAUGUCUACGAUUCAGUUUAGCUUGACUUUUAAUAUGUUUCAAAGAUUCAUGAUCAGAAUGUAUAACAAAUUCUUUGGGCCAUAAAUAAUGUUGCCAUGUUUCUAAAGUCCGAACAAGAGCAUAUAAUUCUUUAUCAUAAGUAGAAUAAUUCAGACUAGGCCCACUCAAUUUUUCAGAAAAGUAUGCAACAGGUUUGCCAUCUUGUAAUAACACACCUCCUAAUCCAAUUCCACUAGCAUCACAUUCAAGCUCAAAAGUCUUAUUAAAAUCAGGAAGUUGGAGUAAAGGAGCAUGUGUCAACUUAUCUUUCAAUACCGUGAAGCCUUCUUCCUGUGCGGUACCCCAAAGAAAAGGCACAUCUUUCUUUGUAAGCUCAUUGAGAGGUGCAGCAAUGGUGCUGAAAUCUCUCACAAAAUGCCUACAGAAUCCAGUGAGGCCAAGAAAACUCCUCACUUGUGUGACUGUUUUGGGCUGCGGCCAACUCUCAAUAGCUUCAAUCUUGGCUUUAUCAACUUCAAUUCCCUGUGGAGUAACAACAUAGCCAAGAAAAGAUACUCGGUCGGUGCAAAAGGUGCACUUCCCAAGGUUACCAAACAAACGUGCAUCACGUAGAGCAAUAAAAAUAGCACGUAAAUGUUCCAAAUGUUCUUCCAAAGAUCUGCUAUAAAUCAAUAUGUCAUCAAAGUAAACUACCACAAAUCAUCCAAUGAAAGCACGUAAAACUUCGUUCUUUAAUCUCAUGAAAGUACUAGGUGCAUUAAUUAACCCAAAAGGCAUGACUAACCACUCAUAUAAUCCAAACUUAGUUUUAAAUGUUGUUUUCCAUUCAUCUCCCAAUUUCAUACGAAUUUGAUGGUAGCCACUACGCAAAUCAACUUUGGAGAAUAUUGUAGAGCCACUCAAUUCAUCAAGCAUAUCAUCUAGCCUAGGAAUAGGAUGACGAUAACAAAUAGUAAUAUUAGUAAUGCCUCUACAAUCAACACACAUACGUGAUGUACCAUCCUUUUUCGGCACUAGAAUAAUAGGAAUAGCACAAGGACUAAGGGAUUCGCGUAUAUAACCUUUGUCGAGAAGCUCUUGUACUUGAAGCAUAAUCUCCUUCGUCUCCUCUGGAUUGGUACGGUAUGGUGCACGGUUUGGCAGUGAAGCACCGGGAAUUAAGUCAAUCUGAUGCUCAAUCCCUCGAAUAGGCGGUAAUCCCGGUGGCACGUCUUGUGGAAAAGCGUCAGCGAACUCCUGCAAAAUGUUAGUGACAGCAGGAGGCAAAGAGGAAGGCACGUCCUCGAAUGAAAAUAAUGCCUCUUUGCACACAAAAGCAUAGCAAACAGAUUUGCUGAAAUCUAGCUCAUCAAUAUCAGAUUUGGUGGCAAAUAAACAUGCACUUUUCAAUUUAAUUUCAGAAGCAACACUAGAUGGUUUAUUAUUAGGCUUCAUUUGUUGCUCAAAUUCUUUUGCCACAGUCUGAUUUUCACUCUUAUUCGUCUCCUGUUUUGCUUUAUUAGCUCUAUUAAUAUCAUCUUUCAAAAUGGAAUCAGGAGUCAUAGGAAGCAAAGUAAUAUUUUUAUCCUUAUGAACAAGAGUAUAUUGAUUGUUUCUACCAUGGUGUACAGAAUUUUUAUCAAAUUGCCAUGGUCUACCAAGUAAUAAGGAACAUGCUUGCAUAGGUACCACAUCACAAUCAACAUAAUCAGCAUAUGUAGAGAUACUAAAAUGCACACGAACAGUACGUGUUACCUUAACCUUGCCGCUGUUGUUGAACCAUUGGAUGUAGUAAGGAUGUGGAUGUGGUCUUGUGGUGAGAGAAAGCUUCUUGAUAGAGGCAAAGGUGUCCCGUCUUUCGAUGAGAUAGUGGAUUUCGCUUUGGUGGAAGUCGACUUUGACGAUCCGACUACGAACGUGCGAGGACGUCGCGCCUUAGCAAUCGCUAAACCAACUCCGAGAGGUUAUUGACCACGCCGGAGCACGAUCAACCUGACCACGAGGGUCUGUUUCCUGCGAGCAAACGAAGAACAAGCAAGAAACUGAGAUUGCAAUCUGGAUAUUGCGAAUAUAAGAUGAAAGCUUUAUUGAUCAAGGUGGGGUUCUGUGACGCCUUUGUCUGGUCGUUGAACACAAACGAAGUACGCGAAGUUGCAGCUAUGGCGAACCUUUAAUCUAAACAAAACCCAAAGUCUAAACGAUGCCCUAAGGGCUGUAUAUAUGGAGGAAGAGGGGGGAAUUUCGUGGCCCUUGGUGGAGGGGUCCGAAAUCAACCCUAUCUCUUGUUUCCCCACACAUACGGACUCUAAAAAUAGCCUAUACUUAUGUAUUUCGAAAUUACAUGGGCCUGGCCCAAUAAUAAGGUGACGCAGCACCUAAAAUAGCCUCGGGACGAAAUUUAUGAAGUGGCAUAUUGUAUAUUUCGUCCAAGGCUUCAUGCACCCAUUAUGGUGGCUUCAAAGUCCUGAAAUCAUCACUUGUAACUCCGUUCUUGUUCCCCUUGCGCAUGCCAUCAUCUCCAUGCUUGUUCUUGCUCCAAUGUUCAUCCUUCUCCAAGCUAGGCCCUUCAUUUGUAAGCAAAACAAAUGUAUCCAAUUUAGGCAGCAUCAUAUUCUCAUGAACAUUAGAAUCAUUACCAAGAAACGAAAGUACCUGGUAAUUUAGUUGGCGUGCACGAGCUCUAGUAAUUGGUCCAGUAUGUAUAGCAGCAGGGGCUGUGGGUGUAACAAUUGUAUUGAUGUCCUCAUCAGUGUUCCUCUUGCGUUUGGCCAAACUGUUGGUGCUGCUGUUGAUACUUCUGUGGCUCCUGCUGCUGAUGCGGAGGAGGAUGAUUAUGUGGGAGAUUAUGAGGAUGAGGUUGAUCAAAAUCAGCACUACGUGCAGCCACCUGUACCACCACCAGCAGGUCGACCUCAGGUAUAUAUUCGUAAUGGUAGGCCUGCACCACCACCUCAGGUACGAGAUGAUGUCCAUAUUCCUAAACUGAAAUUGAAUAUUCCACCAUUUGAGGGUAUAUAUGUUCCUGAUAUAUAUCUUACUUGGGAGUUAGAAACUGAACAACGAUUUACAUGUUUACAAUAUCCUGAGGAGAGACGAGUUGCUGCUGCUGUUUGUGCUUUCACUAGUUUUGCAUGUGUAUGGUGGUCUGAACAUUGUAGAUUAUAUCCUAUUCCAACUACUUGGGCUGCUUUGAAAACUGCUAUGCGUACGCGUUGGGUUCCACCAUAUUAUCAACGUGAAUUGCUUCAAAAAUUGCAGCGUUUAAGACAAGGAAAAAAUUCUGUAGAAGAAUAUUAUCAGGAAUUACAAACUGGCAUGAUUAGAUGUGGUAUUGUUGAGGAGAAUGAAGCUAUGCUUGCACGUUUUCUGGGUGGAUUAAAUAGAGAGAUUCAGACCAUUCUCGACUAUAAGGAGUAUACUAAUAUCACUCGUUUAUUCCAUCUUGCUUGUAAAGCUGAACGUGAAGUGCAGGAUCGACAAGCAUUGGCGCGAACUAACUUUUCUGCAGGCCGACCUUCAUCAUGGACACCACGUGCAUUUUCUACUUCAACUGCACCAGCACCUCCAUCAGGUGCCACCUCCAGCCGUGAUACAAGAAAACAGGCACAACCACCAUUAUCUGCCAAGAGCGCACCUGCGGGGCCUGCACAGCGUUCUUCUUCUUCCAUGGCAUCAACAGGGCACACAAGUGAUAUUAUUUGUCGUCGUUGUAAGGGAGGAGGUCAUUAUGCGAGAGAAUGCAAAUCUCCGCGUGUGAUGAUUGCUACCACGGAUGGUGGAUAUGAGUCCGCUAGUGACUAUGAUGAGGAGACUUUGGCUCUUAUUACACGUGAAGAACAUGGUGGAGAUGAUUCUGAUCAUGAGACGCAAUACAUGGCUCCUGAAGACGCUGACAGGUAUGAAUGUUUAGUUGCUCAACGUGUUUUGAGUGUGCAGGUCACACAAGCUGAGCAAAAUCAGAGGCACAAUUUGUUCCAUACCAAGGGAGUUGUGAAAGAACGUUCUGUGCGCGUCAUCAUAGAUGGAGGGAGCUGCAACAACUUGGCUAGCAUGGAGAUGGUGGAGAAGCUUUCUCUCACCACAAGACCACAUCCACAUCCUUACUACAUCCAAUGGUUCAACAACAACAGCAAGGUUAAGGUAACACGUACUGUUCGUGUGCAUUUUAGUAUCUCUACAUAUGCUGAUUAUGUUGAUUGUGAUGUGGUACCUAUGCAAGCAUGUUCCUUAUUACUUGGUAGACCAUGGCAAUUUGAUAAAAAUUCUGUACACCAUGGUAGAAACAAUCAGUAUACUCUUGUUCAUAAGGAUAAAAAUAUUACUUUGCUUCCUUUGACUCCUGAUUCUAUUUUGAAAGAUGAUAUUAAUAGAGCUAAUAAAGCAAAACAGGAGAAGAAUAAGAGUGAAAAUCAGAUUGUGGCAAAAGAAUUUGAGCAACAAAUGAAGCCUAAUAAUAAACCAUCUAGUGUUGCUUCUAAAAUUAACUUGAAAAGUGCAUGUUUAUUUGCCACCAAAUCUGAUAUUGAUGAGCUAGAUUUCAGCAAAUCUGUUUGCUAUGCUUUUGUGUGCAAAGAGGCACUAUUUUCAUUCGAGGACGUGCCUUCCUCUUUGCCUCCUGCUGUCACUAACAUUUUGCAGGAGUUCGCUGACGUCUUUCCACAAGACGUGCCACCGGGAUUACCGCCUAUUCGAGGGACUGAGCAUCAGAUUGACUUAAUUCCCGGUGCUUCACUGCCAAACCGUGCACCAUACAGUACCAAUCCAGAGGAGACGAAGGAGAUUAUGCGUCAAGUACAAGAGCUUCUCGACAAAGGUUAUAUACGCGAAUCCCUUAGUCCUUGUGCUGUUCCUAUUAUUCUAGUGCCGAAAAAGGAUGGUACAUCACGUAUGUGUGUUGAUUGUAGAGGCAUUAAUAAUAUUACUAUUCGUUAUCGUCAUCCUAUUCCUAGGCUAGAUGAUAUGCUUGAUGAAUUGAGUGGCUCUACAAUAUUCUCCAAAGUUUAUUUGUGUAGUGGAUACCAUCAAAUUCGUAUGAAAUUGGGAGAUGAAUGGAAAACAGCAUUCAAAACUAAGUUUGGAUUAUAUGAGUGGUUAGUCAUGCCUUUUGGGUUAACUAAUGCGCCUAGUACUUUCAUGAGACUAAUGAACGAAGUUUUACGUGCUUUCAUUGGACGAUUUGUGGUAGUCUAUUUUGAUGAUAUACUGAUUUAUAGCAGAUCUUUGGAAGAACAUUUGGAACAUUUGCGUGCUGUUUUUAUUGCUCUACGUGAUGCACGUUUGUUUGGUAACCUUGGUGAUAGAGGCAAAGGUGUCCCGUCUUUCGAUGAGAUGGUGGAUUUCGCUUUGGUGGAAGUCGACUUUGACGAUCCGACUACGAACGUGCGAGGACGUCGCGCCUUAGCAAUCGCUAAACCAACUCCGAGAGGUUAUUGACCACGCCGGAGCACGAUCAACCUGACCACGAGGGUCUGUUUCCUGCGAGCAAACGAAGAACAAGCAAGAAACUAAGAUUGCAAUCUGGAUAUUGAGAAUAUAAGAUGAAAGCUUUAUUGAUCAAGGUGGGGUUCUGUGACGCCUUUGUCUGGUCGUUGAACACAAACGAAGUACGCGAAGUUGCAGCUAUGGCGAACUUUUAAUCUAAACAAAACCCAAAGUCUAAACGAUGCCCUAAGGGCUGUAUAUAUGGAGGAAGAGGGGGGAAUUUCGUGGCCCUUGGUGGAGGGGUCCGAAAUCAACCCUAUCUCUUGUUUCCCCACACAUACGGACUCUAAAAAUAGCCUAUACUUAUGUAUUUCGAAAUUACAUGGGCCUGGCCCAAUAAUAAGGUGACGCAGCACCUAAAAUAGCCUCGGGACGAAAUUUAGGAAGUGGCAUCUUGUAUAUUUCGUCCAAGGCUUCACGCACCCAUUAUGGUGGCUUCAAAGUCCUGAAAUCAUCACUUGUAACUCCGUUCUUGCUCCCCUUGCGCACGCCAUCAUCUCCAUGCUUGUUCUUGCUCCAAUGUUCAUCCUUCUCCAAGCUAGGCCCUUCAUUUGUAAGCAAAACAAAUGUAUCCAAUUUAGGAAGCAUCAUAUUCUCAUGAACAUUAGAAUCAUUACCAAGAAACGAAAGUACCUGGUAAUUUAGUUGGCGUGCACGAGCUCUAGUAAUUGGUCCAGUAUGUAUAGCAGCAGGGGUUGUGGGUGUAACAAUUGUAUUGAUGUCCUCAUCAGGAUCUUGAUGCUGUCAAGACAAAUUUCUUUCUUUCACUUAGAAAUGUUAGUACUCAAAACAUGCGACCAAUAGUGUUCGUACUGAACUACGGUCACAUAUAUUUAGGAAAGAUGGUAAGAUUUCUACUAUUUCUCCUCAGUGCAUCUUUUGCAUACAUUAUUUUUUAAGCUAAACUUCAUUGCUAAGUAUGUUACUAUACGAUGUUCUUCAACAGGGACUCCCGAUGAAUGUUGUGCCUGAUUGGAUCGAGACUAAAGGUACCAUGAAUAUUGUUAGCUUACGACCAAGAUAUCCUACAAUGCACUUUAGUGCAUUCAGGAUUUCUAAUAGCGAGGAAUGCUUAAUAGUAAAAGACUGGAGCAAAAUUGUGACCGAUCACAGAGAAGUACUAGGGGGCAACAAUCAGAUGCGCAACCCACGAUUAGGAGACAGGUUCAUCUGCAUGCUCCAAUAUGAUGAAUCGGCAAAGCUAUACAUGUUCUAUGCUAUUUUACCUGAGAGAGAGCAGCAGGAGUGAUUAAUUAGCUAGUUCAAGCUCUUAGUACUCGUCCUCUCAUGUCCGUGUUCUUCGUCCUGAACUUAAUCUCAAAGAGUGAUUUGCUUUUGUGGUGUUAUGAACGCUUAUAAUAUCAUUACCAUGUUGAACUCGAUGAUAUCUUUGCUAUGAAAACCGUUGGUGAUGAUAUAUAUGAUGCAAGAGUUUUUAUAUUAAUUAAUAUGAUGAUGAUGAUGAUGAGUUAUUAUAUCAUUUAUGAAAGAAAUUGCAUAUUAGUUUCAACUGGAUGGAUUCUAGCUAAGUGAUCAAGUAUAUGCCAUAUCCAUAUUAUCUCGAUCACUUAAGUAGGUGAUCAAGUAUAUAUAAUAUGGAUAUGACAUAUACUUGAUGACUUAGCUAGGAUCCACGCAUCCAGUCAAACUAAUCACCUAAUGAUUUAACAACUCAUUAUAAUGUAAACCAAUCACUAAAUUAAAUUGAAAACACAAAAUUAAAGUAAAAAUAAAAAAAUAAAACCAAAACACACCCAAACAUUUAGUACCGGUUGGUGUUACCAACCGGUACUAAUGUCCUACGCGCCCAUGGAGCUGGCUCGUGCCACGUGGUUGCCCUUUAGCACCAGUUCGUGCUGAACCGGUACUAAAGGGGGGGGGGGCUUUAGUGCCUACAAUUUAGUGCCGGUUACCGAACCGGCACUAAAGGGCCUUACGAACCGGUGCUAUUGCCCGAUUAUGCACUAGUAGUAUAUCCCCAGGUGCCCACAACCAAUCCACCCAAAUGUAUGUUUAAGUAGCCACCUUAAGUUAACCAUUAAUUAAAUAACCUCACAUCUGUCAUGGAUACACUCAAACCCAAUCCACGUCUACGAGCAUAGCAUUGCAAUAUAAGCAUCACGUAGAAGUAACUCCCAAGGGUUUGAUAAUAAAAGGGCAAUAGGUUCUACCUCAUCAACUACUUCCCAAAACCCACAUGUUAAACUCAUCCUAAUCAUGCAAUGUUUGAGGACCGAAACUAAUGCAUAAAAACUGGGUAUGAAAAGAAUAUGAUCAAUGUGUUACUUGCCUUGCUGACGAUCUGCAAAACCUAGUGACUCGUAGUAGCAUGCUUCACACUCGGGGAAUUCUAUCGCAAACAAACAAUAGCAUACAUAAGCACUCAAGCAUAGAUGCAUGGGUAAAACUCAAAUAAGAAGAUCGAAUCUGAAAACUCAACUGAAAAGAUUCGAUCUACAAAAAGAAUCAAUCGAAUCAGAGAUAUGGAAUUGAAACUACGGUCAAAAGAACUUCGAAUUCAAAUCUACUUGAAACCAAAAUUUUAAAUUUUCAAAACCAUGUUCAAGUUUAUUAAACAGAAAGAGGGGCUCGAGACGAAGAUUUUGGCAUUGGUUUCACUGGAUUUGGACAAAAGGUUAAGAAACGACGAGGGUUUGAAAAUCAGAGGUUAAUUUGUGAUAAAAUAAUCGCGGAUAGGUCCCUGUCAGAAAAAGAAAAUAAAAAGAAAAGACUAACGAAUGAACGUUCGCUGUCUGAACCUAACCGGCGAACAACGUUCGUUAAAACGAACGGACAGACGAACGUCCGCUAAAUAAAAUAAACCGAUGAAAACCGAUCUAGGAAAACAAACCGGAAAACUAAAAAAACCGGGAUCUAACCGAGAAAAACCGACCAGUCAAACAGGGUCAACGGCGGCGGCUCCGGCGAGAUCCGCGGCGGCAGCGGUGUGGGUUGUGGGGGGGGGGUGGCGGCAACUUUAAAGGCUGGGGCGGCGUUGACUUGGGCGAGGGGCCUCGGGAGGCGUGUCCACCUUGGACACGGUCGGCGGCGGCGGGUGGAUCCCGCUCGGGGAGGCGGUGCGGGUGGUUGGGCCGGCCUGGCUUGGCUGGGCCGUUGCCCCAAUCGGGUGAAGCGAUUUUCUUUAUUUUUUAGAUCAAAUUCCGCCGAGAAUAAAAAAAUCCUAAUAAAAUAUAAAAAAAAUUCAAAGAAUGCCAAAAACAAUUUUCGCCGUCUAAACAAAAUAUUCAGAACAAAGCGAACAUUUUCUUGGCCUAAAAAUGCAAUUUUGAAAAAUGCAUAUUUUUCUAAUUCAAAUAAAAUCCAAAUAAAAUUAUUUAUUUUGGAGAAGCCAUAUUAUCUCCUCUCAUAUAAUUUUAAUAUGAAAUAUUUUCGGAGGGGAAAAAUAAUUAAAACGGUGAAAUACCCAACUCUCUCCGUGGGUCCUUGAGUUGCUUAGAAUUUUCGAGGAUCGCAAAGCAAAAUGCAAUAAAAUAUGAUAUGCAUGAAUGACCUAUGUAUAACAUUCCAAAAUGAAAAUUUGGGAUGUUACAGGUUGCUCGUCCACCUGCUCUUUAGUAGGCAACAACCAGAUAUGCACCAAGUCGCCACCCGUACCAUCGCAUGUGGGUCUCAUCACACCCCCACCGGCACACGCACCACAAGCGGUUGCUCAUCGCAACCCACUGCCAUUGGUGUGGUGCCACUGCUGCAAAUGAUGUAGAGUCAUCCGUCAUGUCUCAACCACAAUCCUCAACCCUCGUCGAGUCUUCUACAAAUUCCUGAAUCAUGGGGUAAUAAUAUAUUUUAAGUGUUGUUCUGCUGCUUUUAGUUGUUGAUUUUUUAAUAGUUUGGUUGAUGAUCUUCCAAUUUGAUUCAUGUAGAAAAGGGAAGAUUCGUGUGAUUUGUAUUUCUAGGAAGUUGCUGAUGUGGGGGAAUGCAACUAUGCUGAUCAUUUGGUUAGUCGAGGAAUUCCAAUACCAGCAGGUUGGGGUGUUGGACAAGUAACUGAAGGAAUGGCAGAAGAGGAAGAUGGAGAGCAUAAGGUUAAAGAUGUAGUUCCUCAGAUCAUGGCCAAGCAACAGUUGUUGAACGGCCUUGACAACAAUGAGGAGAUGAAAUAGCUUAUGAAGAUAAUGGGCAAAAUUGAGGUGCUUUGUAGAAUGAUUGUCUCUUUAUUUGCAGCGUAUGUAGCACUCGUGAUGUAUUCAGUGGCUAUGACAUAAGCACUUUGCUGAAACUAGUAAUGAAUGAAACCUAUUUAGCAGGCUGGAUGUAGUGUUGUGAACAUCUAAUGAUAAAUAGAUAAAUAAAUAUCAGAGGCCCUUUUGCUAAUAAGUAAAUAAAUUAGCAAAGGCCCUGUCGGGUCAGCUUUGUUCCCAUUCGAAGACGUCGAGCAAAUUGCAGUCCAACAACAAACUAUGUCAUGAAAUUCAAGUUUCACAACCAAAUAUGAGUACAACUAAACAACAAUGUCAUCAUAUCUUAGUCGUCAUACAGUCACCAAACACAAGCCAACAUACAUAAUAAGUGAUGUUCUCACAGCAAAAUACUAAACAACAAGUUCAUUAGGUUUAAAUUGUCAUAGCAAACACAAUUUCACAUAGUAGAUAAAAAAAUGUCUUCUAACAUGCAAAUACGACAAAAGCAGUCUAAUCAUCAUCCGCAGCAGCAGCGUCAACAUCUUUGCCAUGUGUAUCAGUCUGAAUCGUAAUUCCCCACAGUGUCAUCUUCUUCUUCAUCCUCAUUGUCCUCGAACGUUGGCUUCUUAUUGAUCAACUCUUGUAUGUCCACAGCCCGACAGGCAAUCUUUCCGCCAGCGUCAUUGACAUGAUGGUUCUCAAAGAUAUUAGGAACAUCUGUGGAAUCUUGUACAUUAGGAGCAGUGUAAGCAUCGCCUUGUUGUGCAACUUCAUUAAACGAAUUCCUUUAGUCAAACCUUUGCAAUACUCUCUAGUCAUUGCUACGUGCAAAUAUGUCUUCCAAGAAAAUAUUUGUGUUGCUUGAUUUGCCAAAAUAAAAAGCUCGUUGGUCUGGUAUGCCGCCUUGACAUUGAUGGAUUUGAAAUAAUCAUCAGCUCUGGGUUUUGCGAUCAUGGAAAACAGGUUAUACCAACGACAACACAACAAAACCACACACCGAUGAACCUCGAAACUGGACAUAUACUGCAACUGAACAAUGUCUGUUAUGUUAGCAUACAUUUCAGUUGUCACUUCACCGUACUUAUCCAUGCUCAUGAUUGCACUGUUUUGUGUCUUCCUGCCUUCGUCAUGUGCAAGGGUGUUGUAGCGCACAUCUCCAACAACGCAAGAUUCAUAUUGUCUUACCCGAGUAUCAGGACCCAUUGCUAGUGCGUAAAGGGCAUCAUCAACUGUCCUGCCCAUCCUCCUGCAUCUUCUUAACCUAUGGUUUGAAAAUAGAUAAGAUAAUCAUCUUAUGUACUCAAUAUAUUAAAAAAAACUCAUAGUGCAAUUCAAAAGCUUACAUGGCUCUUGAACAAUCCUGCCAUAACCAGUUUGUCAAUGUUUCUUGUAUUUUGCGGCAGUAACUCCUUUUUGUAGAUGUUGCACAACAUAGUGACCGCGUCAAACAUCUAAAUAUAUAAGAAUGUGCUACAAGUUUAGUAGAUUACGAUGUAUAAGCUGCAGUACUUAGCACUUACUUGAUAUAAGGUAGUAUCUCAGGACAGUUAUUCAACACAUACCAAACCAUUUUGUCCAAAUCUUUAUGUUCAUCAUCUUGUCGACUCUUCCCUGUAACUCGAACAAAACAAUCAAAAACACUGAGCCCGGGUGAUAGAGGCGAGGGUGUCCCGAUCUUUCGAUGAGAUGAUAACUAUCGAUUUAGUGGAGACGACUUUGACGAUCCGACUACAAACGUGCACGACGUUGCGCCUUAGCAAUCGCUAAACCAAUCUCCUGAGGUUACUGACGAUGCCGGAAGCACGGUCAGCCUGACCACGAAGGUCUAUUCCUGCAAGCAAUCAAAGAACGAG
RNAcentral lists this long non-coding RNA (90191 nucleotides) under Triticum aestivum (bread wheat). Its description in RNAcentral is "long non-coding RNA (TAES_LNC010305)". The record is from RNAcentral. Lineage: Eukaryota; Viridiplantae; Streptophyta; Magnoliopsida; Poales; Poaceae.